ACAUUUUGGAACAAAAGGAUGUUCGCACACAUACUUGGAACAAUGAGAAUCAUCUUUGCACCUCAUCCUUGCAAUUUCUGUAAUAUAAAAGAUAAGAAACAAAUAUUACUAUUAAAAGUGGUGAAUUAUUUUGUAUAAGAUAAACAAUAAAGCUCAAAAGGAAUAAAAAAUAUAUUUACCACUAGCAUCAACUACAACAAGAAAUAAGAAAAUUAAAAAGAUCACUAAAUAAACGAACUUAAAAAUUUGAGACAUAUUUUUCUCCUAUAGAAAUGUUUAUAAAUGUACUAUGUUUUGUUUAUUUGUUUCAAUUUUUUGCACUUAUAUAUCUUAAAAAAAAUGUAUCAUAGGUGAUCAAUUUUUCAUUUUUGCCUAUUUAGCUCGCUCAAUAGAUAAGGACAAUCCUUUCAUUAUUUUCCUUUUUUUAAUGUCUAGCCUUUUAUGAUGUAUAGGGGCAAAACUAAAAAACAACAAAAAAUUUAAUUGACAUAAAAAAGAGAUUUCUUGCAUGUUUGCAUCUUUUAUUUAUAUUACAAUAUGUUUCAAUCACAAAUUGAUGUGUUAUUUCAGUGAAAAGUCAUGUAAUUUUGGGUGUUUGAAGCAUCAUAAUUCAUAAUAAUAUAAUAUGCAGCGUCUAGAGAGUUUCAUUUUUCUUUUCUAAUAUCUGAAUGAAAUAUUUUUUCCUUUUUUAAUGCAUAUAUUUGAUUAGAGGUGGACAGUGGUGAAGCCAAAAAAUUUAUAAAAUCUGGACAACUUAGUAAAUGUUCGGGCUUGCUGGACGGUGGAAUCGCGCCUGAUUAAAGGAGAACAAUGUCAAGGUAAACAUGCCCCAGAAGAUAAAGCUAUCACAAGAGAAUUGAAGCUACUUGUUCAACAUGACAGUUUUUUUAAUAUAAAAAUUAUAUAUUUUGUUGUUUGACCGAAAUCAUGGGUGGAUUGUGUAAAACCUUCAUAAAACCUCCAGAUGCAGUACAACAAUCUAUUGUACGUAGAUCGACAUUAAAAUUUUCCAACAAUAAAAACACAUCUUAUCUUAUAAAAUAUAUACAAUCAUAAUUUGUAAAAAAAAAAAAAUACAAUCAUAGUCCCUUCUAAAAAUACAAGCCUAUUUGCUUACAAUUCAUUAAUUAAGUGAUAAAACUAAAGUAGUUAAUAACUACCAAACAUGUACAUUAGGCAUAGAAGUCCAAGCACAAUAAGCACAAACUAACUUCUGAGAAAUGUACACAUAAACAGCAAAAGAAAUACUCAUUAAAAACAAAUCUUUCCAAUCACCCUUUUGUUGUUGUGGACUUAAAUUAUUCAUCUUCUCUUGUGACUUAUUCUUCCCAAUUAUCUUCUCAAAAUCAUUCAAAAUAACUUUCCAUUUCAACAAUGGUACCUUCCCUUUUCCACCUCCUCUUCCAAUAUCUUUCUUUUCUUCAUUAUUGGAGUUAGAGAUAUUUAAUGCUCUUCUACUUUGACAAGAUAUUGGAACAAUAGGUGCCCUUAAUCUACAAAAAGAAUAGCCAAUAAUUAGAGAUGCCAUAGAUGAAUUUUUUUGUUUAUUGGAGUAGGAAUUGUAUUAUUAAUUUGAAGUCAACAUAUGUAGAUAAAAUAAAAUAGAUAUAGAUGUCACUUUAUGACUACUAAAAUGUUGGAACUCUAUUUUUUCAUUACUAAGAUGAAUUAUUGUACCUUAGAUAUUUUGAUUAAAUGGAUUGGUUGAUGGAUAAGGAGUCUAUUAUUGACCUUGGACAUUGUGUGGAGGAGACACGAUAUAAUGAGAGAAUAUAAAAUAGAAUUUUUCCCGUAAAAAAAAUAAUAAAAUAGAUUUUUUUUCUUUCAUAAAUAAAAUUAAGAGAAUUCUUUAAUCAAUUAUUUAGAGGAAAGUGGAGAGAGCUUUAGAUUGUUAACUGUUGAGUCUAUAUUAUAAAAUAUAUUUGAUGUUUUACAAAAAUUAAAAAUUUUAAAAAAUUUAUUAUUGAUUUUAAAAAAUAUUUUAUAGUAUCUGUAAUUUAAAUGAAAAAGGUAAGUCAUCUCCUCUCCUUAAAAAAUUUUCAUCCAAACAUAUCCAAUAAUUAAGACACAUAAAUCAUGUCAAUCAUCACACUUUUUAAAUAAAUAAAGACAUGUAUGUAAGGCUUAACUUGUUUGACGAUGUUGAAAUAUUUAAGUUGGAUACUUUUAACCAUUAUCCGGGUUCGAACCUGAAAUUCCUUAUUCAUGUUUGAACUUAAAAUUCCUUAUUUGUGCAUGUAGGAUUUUAGUGAAACUUGUCAAUUUGUCAUACGACAAAAAAAAAUACCAUGCCAAAAAAUAUCGUAUAAUAGUACACUAAAAAAGGAUUUUAAGGUUUUCUUUUUUUGAAUGAAAAAAGGAUUUUAAGGUUUACUACCUAUAAUGUAAAAGAAAAAGUUGAUUACCUAUAAUACCGCUUUUAAAUGCUACUAUUUAAAAACCCUUAUAUAAUAUUCCCUCUGAUUUUUAAUAUAAAAAGAAGUUCACUAUUUAGAUAUAUUGAAAUAUUGUCUAAAAAGUGAACUUCUUCUAUAUUAAGGACCGGAGGGAAUAGUGUUUCCCCGGAAAGUGCUAUCAUAACCUAUUUUAAGUGCUAAUAGUCCUUAAUAGCACUUCAAAUAAAACUUGCUAUUACACUCUUGUGCUAUAUGUUUUUUGAAACACUUUUGUGCUAUUUUUACAAUAGGUUUUUUUAGUGUCGGUAUAGUUAAAAUGUCUUUCUCUAGUGAAGCAGUUUCACUCCAUUAACUUUCAUUUUUUGAAGACACUAAUAUAAUACAAAUUAGCAUUAAUCACAAUUUUUUUUGGAUAUGAUCUGACUCCUCUAAAAUAAGAAAGCGAGAAGUGGGUAUUAUAAACUAUUGAUUAAAUCAAAAGUAGAGAUAUUACAAGUAUAAAAAAUGUUGUUUAUAGCGGACAACAAACCACGAGAGAUAGCGAACAGUGUAUUUUUAUCACAUUUCAGUCCAAUCACCCAUGUUUUCCGCAAAAGUCAAAUUUGACCAUUUUCGUUUUAACUAGUACAAAAUAAUGCUUCGUUAAGAAUUCGUGAUAAAAGUCUUCGCUAUGAAUAACAUUGCUUAGUAUGUCAUAACAAAUCAUAAAUUUAUUUGUUAACAUCUCUCACUAGACAGUCAAAUACCCACCUCACUCAAAGUCAUCCUCAAGCAAUCUUAAUGAAAAUUUGAACAAGCCAUGUAUUUAAAACAGCGCAACUCUUAACUUCAACUAGUUGGUACAAAUGGUUUUUUCAGGCAUUGAUUUGUAAUGUGGCUCAUCAAACAGAUAAUGCAAUUGGAAGUCUUCAAAAAAUGGGGUAUAUACAGUCAAACCGGCUUAUAGAUUAUGCUUCAAUUUAGUCAUCGAACCACCCAUCCCAAUAGUAACUGUAACUUCUUUUGUCAAGUAAAUUAAUGGUCAGAAAUUCUACGUAAAUAAAUAGGCUUUGUUUGGUAAAAAAAACGGAUAACUGAUAAGGUAACUUAUAGCGGAUAACUUAUAAACUAACUUUUAGCUUAUAGCGAAUAAGCUAGCUGAUUGAAUUUGUAGUGUUUGGUAAAAUUAGCAGUUGAAUUACCUUAUAAGUAUGAAAUGACAUAAAAAAAGAUAUGUUUAAUUAAUAUUUAUUUUUUUCAAUUAAGAUGAUAGGGGUAAUAUUGGAAGAAAAAAUGAUAAGCUAUAAGCUAUAAGUUCAUAACUACUUGAAAAAUAAGCAAUAAGCUAGUAAAAUAAGUUAUAAAUUCUUUUUAAAAAACUGUUACUAAACAGAUCUUUUAGCUUAUAAGCUAUAAAUAAGCUAGCUUAUUGUACUUCUCAAACAGAGCCAGAGUAUCUAAGGUUCAAAUUUUGACUUUUACCUAUAUAAUGCGAUGUUCUUAUCAACCGAAUUAAUCUCACCAAAACUGUAAAUUAAUUUGGAAAUUAGUGAUCUUACUAAAAUAAAAUAAGUUAAAAGUUGGAGUUUUUACCGCCCCGAUUAUAUUAAAGGAGCCUAUUGAGAAAUAUGAUGUUAACGAAAAAUGAGUGAAAAACUUAUGAAGUUUAUAUCGAUAAUAGUAUAGGUAAAAUGAUAUAUUUAGAUUAUAUAUUUAAUCAUUUAACUUAAUUUCAGGUAAUAAUUCAGUCUUUUAUAUAUGUUUUUUUGUCCUUUUUUUUUAAUCUUAAUUCAUGUUUGUAUAUGAUUUUUCAUGCUUCAAAUCUAUAACAUAUAUUUAUGAUUGAUAGUGAACAAAGAAAAAAACUAUAUUUAAAGUUUAAAAGUCUGUUUGGUUCAAAAGAGACGAGGGAAGGGGAGACUAUGAGGAUAAAUUUUUUAAGGAAUAAUGUUGGUAUUUUAAAAUAAAUAUGAAGAUAAUUAUGUCAUUAAUGUAAUUAAAAUUAUAAUAGUUUUUCAGCCGGAGCUGGCUGCUCAACUAAACUACUUGUGGAAGCCGACCCAUCGAUAGAAGCAGCGGGGCGGGAAGGCUGAUGCAACUCUUGGUUUACGCUUGCUUCUGAGCCUGCAUCAGACCUAGUAGACACCCAAAGAAGAAUUUCCUCUGCACCGAAUAGUGCUCGCACUAUAAAGCCAAUAGCAGGAAGUUGAAUCAAUCUCGUUUGCUACAGGAUUCUUUCGAUCUAGUAAAGUAAACCCCUUUUUUACUAAAAUGUCAAAUCCUCAAUUCUUCUUAGUACCCUUUAAUGAAUGGGAAGAGGAAGUGGGAAGACUUCCCAUCACGACCUAAAGGUCUGUUUGAAACUCCUGAUCUAACAGCCGCUCAAACUAAGAGCAGUUUGGAACAAAUCUACCUCCCUAUUUCUACUGGUCGAGUGAGUUCUUGCUUCUCUGCUUCGAGUUGCCCUUACCUGAUAUGGAAUUUCCUUUGUUUUCAAAAGAUGUCGUAGUACAUCUCUCCUCCCCUCCCCUCCAAAUCUCCCCAAAUUGGGGGGAAGCAAAAGAUGAAGUUAUGAGGGAUUUUGCACCCCCCCUAAAAAUUGAACCAAACACAUAUAAUUAAAAAUAUUACAUCUCACCCCGUUUCCUCCAUCUACUCCGAAUCAAACACACCCUAAAAUUCAUAUUCAAACAUGAAAAAGAAGAUAAAAGACUAAAGUAAUAAAACUGAAAUUUUUUCAAUAAUUUAAAAUAGUGUUUAACCACUAUAAUGUUAGCGAAUUUUGAUUUAACUCCUAUAACAUAAUGAUUUCUUUUAUUACUCUUUGUAAUGUCAAUAUUAUGUUAUUUUAACCCAUACAAGGUUAGCUUAUCAUCAACAAACCCGGGGUACUCCACUUAUUCACCUUUAAAGUGGAUUUUCUAGCUACUAGACUACUUGAAAAGAAAAAAAUUAACCAUAAAGAACACUUAUUACUCAAAACAUAAAUAAACAUCAAUGUUUAUUCUUAACCAUCAUAAUUUCAUAAACAAAAGCCAAACUAAUGUUUAUACUUAACCAACCAAGAAAUAUAUUACCAAACAAGGCCAAGUCUAACAUGCACAAGUGGAGAAAGUCCUCCACGGUGCACAAGUUAGCAAUUAUACUAUAACGAAUACAAAUUUUACAAAAUUCACCGUUGGAUUGAAAGUUUAUACCAUAUAGGUCAUCCAUAAAAAUUUUGAAAAAAAUUGAAAAUAAUUUGAUAUGUCAUUGAGACCCAUUAAUAUUAACGUUAGUCAAUAAAAAACCAUAAACCGUUAAUUUUGACGGGUCUCAAUAACAUAUCAAAUGAUUUUCAAUUUUUUUCAAAAUUUUUAUGGAUGAUCUAUAUGAUAUAAACUUUCGAUGCAACGGUAAAUUUUAUAAAAUUCGUAUUCGUUAUAGUAUAAUUGCUAACUUGUGCAUCGUGAAAAACUUUCUCCAUUUAUUCAUGUUAGACAAAACCACCAAACAAUUGAUGCACCAAGAGCUAGUGUAUUGCUUAAGUAAAAAUAAAAAAGCUAGUGUCUUGCUUAGAACCAAUAGCUUCAACAUAAAUAUAAUCACAGACGAAUCCAAAAACUUAUCAAUUAUCAUAUUGAGGAUAAAAAAUUGUAAAUAGUAAAAUGAAUGUAUUUAUUUAGAGAGAUUAUUUUUGUUUAUAUUGUCAAUAAUUUUUUUAUUAUCAUGUUAUAGGUAUGAAAUUCUCGUCAUCAUUUGACGGCGACUAACUAAUUGCCUUUGAAAAACAUGUGGGCACAAAAAUAAAAAUAGACCAAAAUAUAAACGGACCAAAAUAAAUUGAUCUUGAAAUCUACACAGACUGCAUGUUAUAAGAAUCGAUCAACGAACCUUAACUCAUGUAUUCAGCUCUAACAUUAAUUAUAAGCAAUUUUUGUUCUUCAAAAUUCAUUAAAUAGUCUUUAACUUUUUAUAAAACUAUAUGUAAUUUUUUUUGGUUACUAUGAUGUUGGUAUAAAGUUUCCACGUAGUUAGUGAUAACUAAUCUCAGUCACAAAAUUUGUGGGGCACAUAAGGUGAGUUAUACCUUCAACCGAAUUUUCUCCAUAUUUAUAAGUCAGAAAUCGAAUUUCUUACCACGUGCUUAAGAAAAUCAAGACCAUACCACAUUAAAAUUUGAAUAUUUUAACAUUUUGAAUAAUUACUCCUUCAGAUUCUUAAUACUACCUCCGGUCCUUUUUAUAAGGAGCACUUUGAAAAAAUCACACAGACCAAGAAAACACAUUUAACAUAGUUAUUUUCAUUUAAUACUCUUACAAAUUUAAAUUUAUUCCAUGUAUACCCUUAUUUAAUUACUCUUUAUUCAAUUAACUUAUUUAUUUUUAAAUUCUCUCUCAUAAUAAAUAAGGGCAUAAGUGAAAUUGAACAUUUAAAACAUUUGAAAAUUGGUCAAAAUUUCUUAUAAAAAGAAUCAAUUUUUUUUUCUCCAAAGUGUUCCUUAUAAAAAGUACUGUAAGAAGUAUAAAAUAAGCUUUACUCUAUAAAUUCAUUAAAAAUUUAAUGUAUUUAGUCCAUAAGAUGAACUAGAUACAUUCAAUUAUCAAUACAACUAAAAUGUAAAAUUUCUCAGAGUAUUUAUUUUGAAGUUGAAACUUGAAACCUUUAAUUAAUUUUUGUCAAAAAGAAAGACCUUUAAUUAAUUAAUCUCCCAAAAACAAAAAAAUUACAUGACAAAAAAAGCUUAAUUUGAGAAACGUGUCAUGUUCUUAGUGGUUUACCAAACACAAAAUUUACAUUUCCACCACACGCAAUUCAAAACACCCAAACCCACCGAACCAUUUCUCACUUUGCAUGCACAAACUUCAAAACUAACAAGUCAAGCUAGUUUUACAUUUUUAAAUUCAUCUAAAAUACGCCGGCACCGCACAAUACGCACCCUCAAAUUUCCUUUUUCUCUUCAAUUCUCUUUCACGUUCAGUGCGCUCUACGCACAUUGCGUAUUCAAGUCCAACUCUUUCUCUUUCUCUCUCUUCACUUUACUUUUUCUCCGUUGACUACAACAAGAAUNNNNNNNNNNNNNNNNNNNNNNNCAUUUUCAUUUUUCUUUUAUUUUCUCUCUUCAUUUUCUUCACCGCCAUAAAACUUGCCGGAAAAUCUCUUCCGAGUAACCCUAGCCGCAAUUUUCAUGCUCUGCGUUUUUGGUAAUUUAUCGUCGUUUUAAUUAUGAAGAGAUUGCGAUCAACCGAAGAUCUUCACUCUUAUGGUGAAAAGAACGGUGCUGAUAAGAAUUCAAAUCUUUCUGUUAAGGAUUCUAAUUCCAAUUCAAAUCUGAACCGUUCGUUUUCUUCUACUGGUCAAAGAAGUUUUUACUAUAAACAAGAGAAUGUGAGGAAGAAUUUGAUAUCUUCGUCGUCGUCUUCGUCGCGAUUCGAUAGGGAUAGAGAUAGGGAUAGGGAUCGGACGGUGGAGGAAGAUCGAGAAAGUUCUAGAAUUGUUCGGAAGCGAUCUGAACAUGAUUUCGAUGGUUUUGAUCGGAGGAAGGGUUUUGAUCGGUAUAAUCGUGAUGGUGGUUACAGUGGAGGUGGAGAUAGAGAUAGAGAUAGGAAUUCGAUUCAUAGGUCGGAGAGUUUUUGUGGAGGUUCGAGGAGGGAGUUUCCGAAGGGGUUUCGGUCGGAGAGGGAUCGAUCGAGGAGGGAAGGGAGUGUGUCGUCGUGGAGGAGAGGUUUAAAGGAUUUUGAUGAGAGUAGCAGAGGGGGGAAUAGUAGAGUUGAAGAGAGAAUUGUGAGGUCACCAAAGGGUUUCUCGAGGGACGUGAAAUCGCCUAGUUGGUCUAAGGAUUCUGAGAGUGAACAAUCGAAGAAGAGAUCUUCGGAGUCUCCGAGGGUGUUUAGAGAAGCUACUAAGUCGAUAUCAAAGUCGCCUUCUUGGUCUAAGGAUUCGGAGAGUGAACAAUCGAAGAGUGUUAGUGUGGAGGUGAAGAAAAGUGAUGAGUUGUUGCAACAGGUUCAGAGUGGUAGUGGUAGUGAAAUGGAAGAGGGGGAGCUUGUACCUGAACCCGUCGCUAAAACUGAGGCCGAAGCNNNNNNNNNNNNNNNNNNNNNNNNNNNNNNNNNNNNNNNNNNNNNNNNNNNNNNNNNNNNUGCUGCAGCUGGAAGGGAAAGACUGCAAGCCUCUGAGGAUGAACAAGUGCACAAGAAGAAUGAAUUUGGUUCGAGUGAUGCAGAUGUUGUUAUGGAAGAAAAACAGAUGUUGGGUGAGAAAGAGGUGAAACCUAUGGAGGAUGUUGAUUCUGAGGUAAAAGAUGCAGAGAAGGAAGUUCAUGAAUUGUCUAAGAAUCAAGAUAAAUCUACUAAGGAAAUUGCUGUUAAUAAGGAUGAGAUUAGAACUGUUGAUAAUGAUAAUGUUAAGAAGGAUGUGUGUUUGAAUGGUGAUGAUACUCGGCACAAGGAGGUGGAGAAGGAAAAGGCAGAAAAUAACGAGAAGGCAUUGCUUAAGAAGGAAAGGGGGGAAAAUAACGAGAAGGCGUUGCUUAAUGAAGAAGAGCAUGAGGUGGACAAGGGUGUAGGUGGUGACAAACUUGACGGAAAUGAUGAAGGCUCAACAGAGAAUACAGUUGGUGUUGAAGUGCAGGAAGAAAUGAUGAUGGAGAGUGUGACAAAUAAUGUGAAGGAUAAAGGCAAAAGCAUUUCGGUCGCACCUGAUGUUGCUCAUGCUUCAGAAGAUGGCUUGUGGAUUGAUAGAGGGUCAAAAGAUCUCACAACAAGCCCCGCAGAUGUCAUGGAAGGUCCAAGCACAAGAGGGUUUGAACUUUUCUCUAGAUCUCCAGUAAGAAAAGUAGAAAAGUCUGAUCGCUCGGUUCUAAAAAAGGAGAAUGAUGACAGUCUUGGAAUGGGGCAGCUUGUUCUUACUCUUAGCUUGCCGAAUGUUCUGUUACCUAUAGGUGCUCAGGAGACGGCGUCGCAAGCCCCUGGUUCUCCUAGUCAAGCACUGAGUGUUCAGUCUCUAAGUAAUACAUUUUGCACUAACUCAGAUGGUUUUACUGCAUCGAUGUCAUUUUCAGGUUCACAAUCACUAUAUCACAAUCCAAGUUGUUCGUUAACGAGAAAUUCAGUGGACUAUGAACAAUCUGUUGGCAAAUCGGUUGGUAGUCGCCCCUUGUUCCAGGGAUUUGAUUGGCAAGCCCUAUCUCAGGCUGAACCCAAGCAGAAAGAAGUUCCCUCUGGUCAGAGAACUUCGAGUAAUGGGAACGGCUCUCUUUACCAGCCUCAAGCAUCAUGGGGAAUUUUAGAUAAUCAAGCUUUGAAAGGACAACCUUCUAGGCCUCUUGAAGGAAGCUCAAAAAUGGGAAAUGGGCUUGAAAGGCAAUUGAGUUUUCAUAAGCAGCUUUCAGGACAGUCAAGACAACAUGAUGAUGUUCGAUCUCCUACACAGAGUGUUGGGUCACAUGACAAUGGAUCGAAUUAUAGUUUCGAGAAGAAGAGGGAUGUUAGGGAAAGAAGUAGCAGUAGUCUACAUCGAUCAACUAGCCAGAAGGGACAAGAUAAUUUUCUGAUGGGUGGACUUGAAUUUGUUAAGACAAUCAUUGCAAGAAUAGUUUCUGAACCUGUGCAAGCAAUGUCCAGAAAGUUCCAUGAAAUGAAUGGACAGUACAUAACGCGUAUGAAAGAGGGUAUUCGGGAACUCAUGGUCAGUGCAGAUAACCAGGGACAAAUACUUACUUUUCAAAAUGUUUUGCAGAACAGGUCUGACAUAUCCUAUGAUGUCCUAGUGAAGUGUCACCUAGCGCAACUGGAAAUUUUGGUUGCAUUAAAAACUGGUGUAGUCCAUUAUCUUCACCUAGAUGAUAACAUUUCAUCUUCUGAUUUAGCUCAAAUUUUUCUAAACUUGAAGUGUAGGAAUUUAUCAUGUCGAAAUCAGUUGCAUGUCGAUGAAUGUGAUUGCAAGCUUUGUGUGCAGAAGAACGGUUUUUGCAGGGAAUGUAUGUGUGUUGUGUGUUCUAAGUUUGACAAUGCGUCGAGCACAUGUAGUUGGGUUGGGUGUGAUGUUUGUCUUCACUGGUGUCAUACUGACUGUGGAUUACGAGAAUCUUAUAUUAGAAAUGGACUUAGUACUACUGGAACGAAAGGGACGACUGAGAUGCAGUUUCACUGCAUUGCUUGUGAUCACCCUUCUGAGAUGUUUGGCUUUGUCAAAGAGGUGUUUCAAAAUUUUGCAAAAGAUUGGUCACCCGAAUCUCUUUGCAAGGAACUUGAAUAUGUGAAGAGAAUCUUUUCUGCUAGCAAGGAUAUUAGAGGGAGACAGUUGCAUGAGAUUGCGGAUAAAAUGUUGCCGAGCCUGGCCAUCAAGUCUAACAUCCCUGAGGUUUUAAGACACAUCAUGUCUUUCUUUUCUGGUAAGUAACAAAUGUCUUUGAUUAUUUGAAUGCUUUUAUCCUAUUUUCUUAUUUUUACAGUAUAUGAAAUGCUUGCAUUCAACAAUGAUAUACUAUUUUCCUGCUGUCUGAAUGACAUGAAAAUAUUAUUGUUGCAAGAUUUAAAUGAGCCUUUCUUUUCCGUAAAUUAUUCUGUUUGGCCUGGUAUUUUUUGGAAUGUCUCAAACCAUGUCAACAACUCUAUGUUAGAUAGGUUCAUUCAAUCAUGUGGAAUAUAGCUAGUGAUGGCGUUUCCUCAAUAUAGUUGGGCAUUUAUGUUCUUAGGUCAUAUACGUCAUUGGUGUUUGUGAAGGCUAAAUUGUAUGUAUUUACAUGCAUGGUUAUUAGUAUAUUACGUUUGUAUCAUGAGUCGUAUCCAGAUUUGAUACUAAACUGAACUCAAUCAAUACAAAUCCCGAUUCACUAUGAUGAAUCACGUUUCAUUCUAAUGAAUUUUUACCUAAACUUAGUGUAGUCAACCACCUGUUAUAUCAACUUUGUAUAAUCAACCGCUUUUCAUUUGUAAUUUGCUUUAUGACUCAAAUCUUGAAUUGCUUUGAGGUUCAUAUAUGAUAUAUCUGCUUAUAAUUUGUUGUCACUUGUUUUUACUUAAACAAGUCAUUAUCAUUGGUAAUAUAUCUUAAGAUUCAUCAUAAAAUUUGAUUCACUAUUCGCAAAAUAGGUCUUCUGAUUUCUGAUAUGAUAACCAUGUUUACAUGCAUUAUGGUUAAUUGCAGAUUGUGAUUCUUCCAAAUUACCCAUGACAACAAACUUUUCUGGUAAGGAACAAGUCAAAGAAAACAAUGGGGUAGCUGGGCCCAGCCAGGAAGCUGCUUGGCUAAAAUCUAUUUAUUCAGAAAAGCCAGCUCUGUUAGAAAGACCUGCAAGCAUCCUUCCAAGAUUUGACCAGAAUGAUAAAAGGACACUGGUGCAAGAGUUGCAGAUGAGUAGUAUCCAAAAAGACUUCUGUUUUGAUGAAUUAGAAAGUAUAAUAAAAAUCAAACAUGCAGAGGCCAAAAUGUUCCAAUCUCGUGCUGAUGAUGCUAGGAGAGAAGCUGAAGGGUUAAAACGCAUCGCCCUUGCAAAGAAUGAGAAAAUUGAAGAAGAGUAUGCCAAUCGAAUUGCCAAGCUGCGUUUUGCCGAGACAGAUGAUUUGCGUAAACAAAAAUUCGAAGAACUCCAAGCAAUAGAGAGGGCACAUCAUGAGUAUUUGAACAUGAAAAUGAGAAUGGAGUCAGACAUUAAAGAUCUGUUAUCCAAAAUGGAAGCUACUAAAAUGAACCUUGCCAUGUGACCUGAUCAAAAUAUUUAGAAUAGUUAUUUCAGGUAAAUGUAUUAUCACUCAUCCUGAAAUUUGUAGGUUCUAGUGCUCUACCAUGUUGUUGUGAACUACCAUAGUUUUAUUUAUUUUUCAUUGUAGUUUAUUUUGCUUAUAAGCUGCUAACCAAAAUCUGUAGAGUCCAUCACAGUAGUUAACAGUCUUAUAAAACAAUUUCGAUUAUGAAAGCAGUUUUAAACAGUUUAUUAUUUGAACUGACAAAAAAUUGGCCAGCAUGUGGCUUGGAUUUGAUGUACAGGCUUGUUGUACUGACUGUUGCGUAUGAAAAUUUAUAAAAUAGAAACCUUGGUGGAUAUUGUGCUUUCAAAUUUAAUGUUACAUUUAGGACAAGUGUGGUCCAGCAGUACCUUUUUCAUCACUUCCUGUUGGUCUGUGUUAAUAUUUCUGACACAUUUAUUCAAUCAUAAAUUCAUAAGUUUUCCAGCUAUCUUUUAAAGAAUCUUCUACAUAGUAUAUGUUGGGGUUAUAUUUGUCAUUCUGACAUGGAUGUAAAUAAAGCUUCAUCAGGAGUUGCAUUCUCUUAUGAAGCUACAUUUUUUUCUUUUUUCUGCAUUGGUUUUCAAAUUUUAAAGAGCAAUAAAAGUUGCAAGAAAUCUGUUGGUGUAAAUUCUUGGCAGAUUUUACUUUUAUCUUGUGCCCGAAUUUUGGAUUAUCGGGAUAUCUUUUCUCUAGAAACCAAAGGGUAUAAUACAAAAAAUAUAUAUUUUUCUUUCACUCCCAAAAAAUCAAUUCAAGAAAUCUGGGGUGCUUUGUUUUAAUAUUUUUUUUCCAUUCGUUUGUUAGUACUGAUUUUCUAGUCUGGUUGUAUCGUAUCAUUGGAUGAAAUUUCUCUCAGACUGAAAGAGGGUAUGGGUAUGAGAGUUUUUUUUUUUCCCUCUUUAAUUUUGAGGUUAUUUUAGUCCUUAAAUGUGUUUUUGUUUCCCGUAAAGUCAACAAAUUUGGGUUUUAAGUCUUCGUACAAAAAAUCCUCUCAUUUUGCCUCUGUAGUUUCAGAUUACUUUGGUUUCAGUCCUUAAUGUGGUCAAGUGGAAGAGCCGUGUUAUGGGUUCCGUCGGGUUGGUAAAGCAACCAGGAUCCUCUUUCCUCCAAAAAAAAGGUCCAAGCAGUCACGUGCCUCUUCCAUCCGUUCGGUCCUCGCUCUCAAUGAAAACUACCGGAAUAUUGAAGCAACCUUUCGCAUAGCCCUUUCUUUUCUUUCUUGGGCAAUUGAAUCAUGAACAGGUGCAGAAGACAUGUCACACAAAAAUGCUGACAUGGCCAAAACCUGCUGAUUGGACCAUUAUUAUAUGUUCAUAGACUUGACAAAUUAUACGGACAGAAACCAAAACUCACAUAAAUUAUAGAGACGAAAAUCAAAACUCACAAAUUACAAGGACGUAAAUCAAAAUUCACUCAAAUUAGUGACGAAAUUUAAUAAGACUACUCAUUCACUCGAGUAUUUUAUCAUACACAAAUUUAAAUGUGGUGGGAUGGAUUGACCCACAUGCAUGUUUUUUUUUAAUGUAUUGAGAUUAAAAAUGAAGUGCUCAAUCCAAUUUUUGUCUUUUUUGUUGAACACUUCAUUUUUAAUCUCAAUACAUAAAAAAAAAUGCAUAUGGGCCAAUCCAUCCUACCACAUUUUUUAAGCGAGUUAGACGGAGCAGAUUAACUUAAAGUUACCAGACACAAAAAUUUAGCUCAACUUGUAAAAAAUAGUGGCUUAAACAGAUUGACUUGAUGGACUCGAUUCAUUUUACCACCCCUAACCAUGAAUAGACAAAAAUAUAAAAAUGACUUAAAAAUGAGAUGAGGGACUAAAAUUUAGAUCAAAAUUUAAUUGAAGACUAAACAAUCAAUCUUCAAAAUGGGAGACCAAAACUUCAUUCUUUUAAAAAUAGAGAAACCAAAAAUGUUAUUAACCCUUUUUUUAUUUUUAUUUUUAUUUUUUUAUCUCUCCUAUAUUUUUUGUUACAAGCAUUACAUUUUGAGAUUUACUUUUGUCACCCUACUGAUUCUAGGGUGCGUCCUAUAAAAUUACCAAAAUACUCCCGGCCGCUACUUAUGUAACGGGUUCUACGUAGGAGGGUGUUUUUCUCUAAAAAAUCUUAUUUUUAUAACAUUUGCUACUUAAGUAACAGAUUAUAAUGAGAAAUUUUCAUGUUAAAGAGUGUUUAUUUUCUUCUUCUCAAAUUUCAUAUUUUUAUAACGUCCGCUACUUAAGUAGAGAACUGAUAAAAAUCUUAGUAGAGUAUUUUUUUUUUCAAAAUUUCUCAUUUUUAUAACGUUCUCUACUUAAGUAGCGGAAGGGUAAAAAGAAAAAUGCAUAGGGAGCGUGAAUAGCCCGUAGGGUGGCAAAAUAAAUCUCCUACAUUUUAGGGUGGAGAGGAAAGAGGAUUUGGCAAAAUAAAUCUUCUCAUUUUUGUUCUUUGCUGUUUUGGUUCAAGGGAAUUUCUUUUCCUGCUUCCCAUGUUUCUUGUGCGCCCCAAUUUUUAUCUUUAUGUUAUAUUAUUUUAGUAUUGGACGUUAUAAAAAUGAGAAAUUUGAGAAAACAAUCGUCCGCUACCUAACUAGCUAACGAUGUGUGUUAUCUAUCUAGUGGAUGAAGCUGACACAAGAAUAUUAACAGAAAAUAUGAUGAUCUCUUUAAUAAAAUAACAUAUUACAUUGUGAUGAAGAUCAACAACAAAGACAUAAUAAGAAAACAUAAAUUAAGCACAAACGAGACUAUGAAUUAGAUAAAUCAACCGCUUCAUCUUCAUCGUCCUCAAGUUUAACCAUGCACGCNNNNNNNNNNNNNNNNNNNNNNNNNNNNNNNNNNNNNNNNNNNNNNNNNNNNNNNNNNNNNNNNNNNNNNNNNNNNNNNNNNNNNNNNNNNNNNNNNNNNNNNNNNNNNNNNNNNNNNNNNNNNNNNNNNNNNNNNNNNNNNNNNNNNNNNNNNNNNNNNNNNNNNNNNNNNNNNNNNNNNNNNNNNNNNNNNNNNNNNNNNNNNNNNNNNNNNNNNNNNNNNNNNNNNNNNNNNNNNNNNNNNNNNNNNNNNNNNNNNNNNNNNNNNNNNNNNNNNNNNNNNNNNNNNNNNNNNNNNNNNNNNNNNNNNNNNNNNNNNNNNNNNNNNNNNNNNNNNNNNNNNNGAAAUUCAAACCAUAUUUUUAAUUUUCUCUUAUAAAAAAUAAUUUAAAACCAUAUUCAUUUUUUGGACUAAAAUUUAAAACAAAUUCUUAAUUUCUGAUUUUUGGAUCCAUCAUCAACAUAGUACAUUUACUUUUUUUGUGUUCCCCCGAUGCUUCUGCACCGACCUCUCAAUUGUCAUUAAAAUAUUGACACCAGUUGGCAACAUGGCAUAGAGUAUUGUUCUUAAUUUAUACAUGAAUUUUUAGUAUUGUGUUCACCAGAAAUAGACACAAUUAUUUUUACCAUUGAAAAAAUAGGUACAUGUUUAUAUCUCACUUUUUGUGUUUUAAAUAUUAUUUGCAUGCAUCGAUUUCCGUGCUUGUGAGUGGUAAAAAAAAGUGUGUCAAUUUUGUGUCCCUAAAUUUUGUGUUUAGAUAACACUCCUCUAACUAUUGUAUUGAAAAAUAACUAAUCACAUCUCAUUCAUUCAAAUGUGAGUGGAUAAGUAUCAAGUCACAUCGACCGUGAAUGAGAAGAAUAGUGAGUUUAUAUAAGAGAGGUGAUUCAUUAACUUUGUUUUUUUGACAAAGACUCAUUAACUUAAUAUCUUAAAGUUUUAGGUUAAUAUUGAGAUGUUGCAAUGUCUUCUUCUCUUGUGGUCCUAGAGCAUUUGACUUUGAUAUUUCUCCCGAACUCCCUCAAACUCUCCAACACAUAUUAUCUCUCUCCUUAAAUAUAAGACUCGUUGAUUAAAUCACAGAAUUAAGCAUUUUCCAAUUCAUACAAUAGUUAUACUCAGGGAGCGGUUAUGAUGCAUAAGCGAAUUCCUUAUGCACAAUGCAUAAAUAACACACAAAAUCAUUUCACAGUAAAAUGGUUUUGGAUUACAACCCUCUGAAACCAUUCCACAGUAAAAAUAGUUUUGGCAUGAUUAAAUAAAUCUAAUGUGAAACAACUCCACAGAAAAAAUGAUUUUGACAUGAUUUUUGUUUAAAACUAACUACGAAGUAAUCUGAUGACGUUCAGGGGUUGCUGUUGUUGAUUUGAGGGUGAAAAAUGAUGCAUUUGGAGAUUUGUUUAUACACUAUGCAUAAGUUUAUUCCUUAUACAUAAUAAUUCAUGUCGUUAUACCGAUAUGUUCCACUAAUAACAUAUAACAUAUAUUGUAAAAGAAUAAAGAGUAACAUGCCAUAUACUUUGCCUCAUAAAUGAGCCAUACAAAAAUAACCUCAAACGAGAUGUUGGUGAAUAACAUUAAGUUUGGCAGGACAAGAGUGAAGAACUAGGCAUGGUAGCUAUAAAUUAUCUAAUGUUUUGGUAACACAAAUUAAUAAUGCAAGCAAAAGUCAUGUGACCACGUACACAUAUAACACUAUAGUUUGAAAUUACAGAGUGUGAGAUCAACAGAUAUUGUUUCUUAAUUCUUACUAUUAUAUAGGGACAACUUGCCGCCCAUUGUUUAAAAAUUAAAAUUAGAGCCCACAGAAACCCAUUUGUAGGUUAAGUAAUUGGAAAUCAAACUAAUGAAUUGUUGCUUAAGCAGUUAGCUGAUGUUCAAGUUCUUUGCUAUUCAGAUUGGCCACAUGCAUGACAUUUUGGUAUUAAUCAACGGACUUCAAGUUGUUAAUGAGCUCUUACUUAGACGAAUCGUCUGGAAAAAAUCGAGUUUGAUUCUUAGUGAGAGUAAUUUUUGGUCGGACUUUACUUAUCUCACGAUCGAACUCUGGAUCACAGGGACUCCAUUUCCUUAAAAACUAGAGUAUUAAUUAAUGUAAUAUUUUCAUAAAUUAAAACAAAGCAGUUCUAAAUUUGUGCUUUGUGGAGUUCAUGAUCAAACUAACGAAUCAAUUAAGUGAAUCCAAUUUAGGCAGUCUAUAUUGGUAUAGAAAUGCCACCGGCUUAGUUUCUCUAUAUUGUUUGUUGCAUCUAUUGGCAAGUAUAAAAUAUUUUAGCGACUCUUGAACAUAAUUUAGGAACAUUCAUCAAGAAAGAAGUCAAAAAAUAAUUUAAGAGUUUGAACAUGGCUUAGUUUAAUUUAGGCUUAACUACACAUUUGAUCCCUUACGUUUAUUUUACGUUUUAAUUUUAUCCCUUACGUUUUAAAAGUAUUAAUUUGGUCCCCUACGUUUAUUUUAGGUUUCAAGUUAGUUUUUUCCGUCAAUUUUGUCACAUGUGACAGUCAAUUUGCAUACGUGGACAGACACGUGGCACUUGGACACACUGACACAUGUACUGUUCAAACGGUGUUAGUGACAAAACUAACGGAAAUGAUUAACUUGAAACCUAAAAUAAACGUAAGGGACCAAAUUGAUACUUUUUAAACGUAAGUGACCAAAUUGAAACCUAAAAUAAAUGUAAGGGACCAAAUAUGUAGUUAAACCUUUAAUUUAAGACUAAGAAACUCUUCUUAAGAGUUUUAACACUAUUGAAUGUUAAAGAUAUAGAUCGGACCCAAGACCUUGAUUAAGUUAGAAGAGAUUCAUCUAUCUAAUUAGCGCUAUUGUUUUUUUUUUCUACCACCAGUAUAAGGCCCAAUGGACUGCCUAAUCUGGUUCGAGGGUUAGUUCUACAUUAAGUGAUUCCAGCCCCCUUUCGAUCGCAGUUGCGGGGAUCGAACUGUGGUCGUCCCUCCUAAGUCUAGUAUCAAUCACCACCGGACCAACUAACCAUUGCUAUUAUUAUUAUUAUUUUUGUUUACAAUGAGCUGGGGAUCGAACCCAAGACCUAUAACAUACUACUCAAAUCCUUCACCACUAGACCAAACCUAGUGGCUUUCAUUGCUAUUGGGUUUUGUUUAAACAUAUUUGAUAACAUUAAACGUUUAUUUAUCUUAAGUCACAUGAAGUCAAUAAAUUUUAAUUAUUAAAUGUUGAUAACAAAUACCUUGCCCAUGUUAUUACUUCAUAAGUGUUAAUGUAGAUCACAAUGUAAUAACUCCUCCUACUUGUAGUUAUUAGACCGUACUUAUCCUAUGUACUAACUAUCAUAAAAUAAAUCUUAAAUCCUAGAUUCCCUCAGAAAUCUCGUGGCAUGAAUUAAGGAGAAAAACUCGUUUUGAAAAGUCAAAACCUUGGUGCAAAUCAAUAAGUGUUUCUCUCCAAGUGCACAAUAAAAGAGAGCAAUGCUGUGUCCAUUUCUCUUGCACACAAAACCAAAGCUUUUCUUUCCUCAAUACAUUUCUCUUUUAAUAUUGCUACACAUUUGUUUUUCUUUUCAUGGUGAAAAUGGCAGUGACAUUCAUAUAUACACUUUUUAUGACUUUGCUAUUGGCUUCUUCAGCAUUUGCUAAUUUUCAUCUCAAGUCACCUGAAGGUAAUGUUCACUCUAAUAAUGCCAAUUCAUAUUUUUUAAAGGAACACGUUGUACAUCUAACAUGUUUGAAUGUUUAAGUGAGACAAGUCUUUCCACAUAUGUUAUAAGGUUUGUCUAAUAUGAAUAAGUGAGACAAGUCUUUUAUCAUACACAAAUUUGUUUUAAUCAUUAGAUCAAUAAGUCUCACCAUUGGAUCAAUAUGUUGCGUUACAUUUCUUUUGAUCCAAUGAUAAGAUUUAUUGAUCCAAUGAUAAAAAUAAGCUUGUGCAUAGUGAAAAACUUGUCUCACUUGUGCACCAUAGAUUUGACCUUGUUCUAUACAAUAAAUUAUCAUAUUUCAAAAAGUGGGUAGUGUCUGUAUUAUCCCUGUAACACCAACACUUGAAAUUGAAGAUUGUCCGGUUCUGACACGAACAUGACACCUAAUAUAUUUGAUUAUAUUCAGUUAUGUUAUUUUUUUGAAAUUAUUACUGAUGUAGACUUGUGAGUGUCAUAUCUUGUAUUCAUCGCAGUGCUAUAAGUUGUAUUGCGGUAAUGGUUAGAUGACCGGCGAGUUUAAAAUUAUCCCAGUAGUACAUGAUUUUGUUGAAAUUCUAAAGUAUACCUUUUGUCAAAAUAUUGGUGGCUUAUCGUAAUUAUGCCAAUCUCAACGUCAAUCCAAACAUAUUAUUUAAGUGGUUAUGCAUGUUGUGUUCCUUUCCCUGAUUCUGCUAUUGUCACUCACUGCGGUUAUUAAAGUGUAACUUUUGUCAAAAUUGCGAGGGCUUAUCGUGAUUAUGCCAAUCUCACACCGUUAUUCCAAACAUAUUAUUCAAUUAGUUAUGUGUUUUCCUUUCCUAUAUUUCUAUUGUGCAUAACUUCAUAUUCUUAAACUCUGAUCCAAUGUGUUUGGUUGUGUUCUAUUAUUUCUUUUGUUUUUUUUUGUUUGCUUAAAGUUUACUUCAAAAAUGGGAACUUUGAGGAGAAGCCAAACCCAAGAUUCUUGAAGAAAACAAGAAUCAUUGGGAAACAUUCACUUCCAAAAUGGGAAAUCAAUGGUCUAGUUGAGUUNNNNNNNNNNNNNNNNNNNNNNNNNNNNNNNNNNNNNNNNNNNNNNNNNNNNNNNNNNNNNNNNNNNNNNNNNNNNNNNNNNNNNNNNNNNNNNNNNNNNNNNNNNNNNNNNNNNNNNNNNNNNNNNNNNNNNNNNNNNNNNNNNNNNNNNNNNNNNNNNNNNNNNNNNNNNNNNNNNNNNNNNNNNNNNNNNNNNNNNNNNNNNNNNNNNNNNNNNNNNNNNNNNNNNNNNNNNNNNNNNNNNNNNNNNNNNNNNNNNNNNNNNNNNNNNNNNNNNNNNNNNNNNNNNNNNNNNNNNNNNNNNNNNNNNNNNNNNNNNNNNNNNNNNNNNNNNNNNNNNNNNNNNNNNNNNNNNNNNNNNNNNNNNNNNNNNNNNNNNNNNNNNNNNNNNNNNNNNNNNNNNNNNNNNNNNNNNNNNNNNNNNNNNNNNNNNNNNNNNNNNNNNNNNNNNNNNNNNNNNNNNNNNNNNNNNNNNNNNNNNNNNNNNNNNNNNNNNNNNNNNNNNNNNNNNNNNNNNNNNNNNNNNNNNNNNNNNNNNNNNNNNNNNNNNNNNNNNNNNNNNNNNNNNNNNNNNNNNNNNNNNNNNNNNNNNNNNNNNNNNNNNNNNNNNNNNNNNNNNNNNNNNNNNNNNNNNNNNNNNNNNNNNNNNNNNNNNNNNNNNNNNNNNNNNNNNNNNNNNNNNNNNNNNNNNNNNNAGGAAAACACCAAUAAAACUUGUUUUUCUAUUUUAUAUUUUUUUUGAAAAUCUUUUUCUAUUUUUUUUAAUUCAAAGAGAAUAACAAAAAAUAAAGUUUCAUUUUUAAAAAAUAAAGAUUAUGUUUUUUUUUAAUUCAAAAAGUUUGAAAAUAAAUCUUUAAAAAUUUUAUUUCGGAAAUAAACUUUAUUUCGGAGUAAAUCUUUAUUUUGGGAGCAAAAUAAGAAUUUUUUUUUUUUUUNNNNNNNNNNNNNNNNNNNNNNNNNNNNNNNNNNNNUAUUUUGGGAGGAAUUUUUUUUUUUGUUGGAAAUUUUUUUAAAAUCAUUUAUAUGAAAAAAAAUUAAUUUUUUUGUAGGAAUUUUUUAAAAAAAUUUUGGGGAAAAAAAACAGAAUUAUUUUUUAUUUUGUAGGAAAAAAAAUUAUUUUUUAUUUUUUUAAAAAAAUAUUAUCUGACUUGGAAUUUAAAAAAUAAAUAUAAAUGAUUUUUUCCACAUGUACAAGCCACGUCAACAGGUUNNGUCCUGCUGUACACCCAGGGGGCGAAAUGAGAGAAUCUAUUUUUUGCAAGGGGGUAAACAGAAAAAAAAUCUGUGCAGGGGGGUAAACGAAAAUUUGCUUAUUUUGCAGGGGGGUAAAUGAUCAUUUACCCAUUGUUAAAUGUUGGAAACAGGUUCCUUGCCUGUUAUUUUCUUUUUUUACACAAUUCCUUUCCUAUGUUAUUACUACUCCAGUAUUUUUCAUAAGUUAAAUAUAGAUCACAAUGAGUAACAUUUAUUUGGGCACAAUCACAAUGGGUCUAUUUGGGGCAAGCCAAAAAGGUUAGCUUUUAGCUUUUGUUAUGGCUUAUAAAGACCUGUUUGGUAACGGUCUUUUCAGAAAGAGCUUUUAGCUUAUUUUACUGAAACAACGUACCUUACUAUAAUUAACCAUUAUAUUAUAUUGUGAAUAUAUUUUGUUGUUAUUUUUUCAUAAAGUAUAUCAACUGAAAUGAAAAUAUUUUUUUUUUUAAAAAAUUCGACAAAUAAAAAUUAGUUUAAUAAUAAUAUUUGAAAAAUAUAUUUAUUGAAUUAAUAAACUUAAAAUAUUGUACCAAAAAAAUAAAAUAAACUUAAAAUAUUAAAUUAUAAGUAUCUUAAAUAGUAUUAAUUUGAUAAAAAAAAUUAUUGAAUUAAAGAUGUCCUUUUAUGUCAUUUUAUAUUUAUCAGUCAGUUGAACCGCUAAUUUUACCAAACACUUCAAUCACCUUAUCAGCAAGAAGCUAUGAGCCAUAAGCUAUCAGCUAGCUUAUCGGCCAUAAGCUAUUUUUGCCAAACGAGCCAAUAUUAUUUUUGGUUUUUACCACCAAUAUCCGGCCCAUAUGACCACUUAAUUUGGUUCGGGGUCAGUUCUGACAUCAAAUGGUUCCAGUUCCAUCCCGAUCGUAGUUGCGGGGAAUCAUAGUCUUCCCUACCGAAUCUAGCUUCAAUCACCACUGAACCAACUAACGAUCGAUCAAUUUAUAUAUAUUUAGGCAUACUCCCCUCUUAACGAGAGUUUGCCAUUUAUUUGGGCCUCAAGGCUCGAGGGAUUAGUCUCUGCAGUUGUGUAUAGAGAAUACCCGAUUUAUGCAAAAAAUAAAUAAAUAUGAGUUGCAUAAGUAUGACGUAACUUGUAGGAACUACUUAUUAGUAAUUAGUAAUGUAUGAGACUCAUAAUAGAUUUCUUAAAAAGAAAACCAUCGGAGAUACUCUAACAGCUAUCGGCAAGACACUUCUUAAUUUAUGUAAAAAGAACUAUAAACAAAUCUAAAAUCCUUAGAUUCCCUCAGAUAGCUCAUGGCAUGAAUUAAGGAGAAAAACUCGUUUUGUAAAGUCAAAACCUUGAUACAAUCAAUUGCAAAGUGUUUGUCCCCAAGUGCACAAUAAAAAGAGCACAGCUUUGUCCAUUAGCAACCUGAAUUCAUUUGUCUAAUUUGUUUCUUCUCAUGCUGAAAAUGGCAGUGACAUUCAAGUGUACUAUUUUUAUCACUCUGCUCUUUGCUUCUUCAGCAUUUGCUAAUGUUCAUCCCAGGUCGCCAGAAGGUAAUAUGUUCCACUCUCAUAAUUCCAAUUCUACACCUUGAUAAUUCAUUUUCACAAAUUAUUAUCUGUGUAGACGUGUCAUUAUCAUGUCUAGUGUAUGUGUUAGUUCUACAUAUUGUACUAUGCUAAUGGUUAAUGUUUAGAUGUCUAAAGUUUAGCUUUUGCAUAAAUCGCGUUAUCAUACUGUGAUUUCGUCAAUCUCAACUCCAAUCCAAACACAAUAUUCACAGGGUAAUAUGUGUUGAUUUCCGUGAUUCUGCCAAUCUCAUCGUAAUUCUUAAAGUGGUCAUUUGACUUUCAUAUUAUGGACCAGAUACAUCGGUUAUUCAAUGAAUAUGAAAAAUGAAUUUUUGCUUAUAUAUGAAACCAGAGGGGAGUAUUACGUGCAUAACCUUAUAUUCUUAAUUUCUGAUCCAUGCCAGUGUGUUGGUUGUGUUCUUUCUUUGUUUUUUUGCUUAUAGUUUACUUUCAAAAUGGGAACUUUGAGGAGAAACCAAACCCAAGAUUUUUAAAGAAAACAAGACUAAUUGGGAAACAUUCACUUCCAAAAUGGGAAAUCAAUGGUCUAGUUGAGUACAUCUCUGGAGGGCCACAACCAGGAGGAAUGUACUUUCCAGUCACACAUGGAGUUCAUGCAGUUAGGCUUGGAAAUGAAGCUUCAAUUUCCCAAACCAUUAAAGUCAAACCUGGUCAAUGGUAUGCUUUAAUAUUAGGAGCCACAAGAACUUGUGCUCAAGAUGAAGUUUUGAGAAUCUCAGUGCCUCCACAAUCUGGUGAUGUUCCUUUACAAACACUUUAUAGUCUUAAUGGUGAUGUUAUUGCUUGGGGAUUCAAGGCUAGUUCUAAUGUUGCAAAAGUUACAUUCCAUAACCCUGGUCUUCAAGAAGAUCCUACUUGUGGUCCACUUUUGGAUGCUGUUGCUAUUAGAGAGUUUUACCCUCCGAUGCCGACAAGAGGUAAUGAACCAUAUCUGUGAAUCUAGAUUCUUUGCAGGCCUGUAGUAGGUCUAAGUCCAAUCUCACAAAUUCAACUGUUUUUGUUUUGAUUUGCAGUUGAAUGAUCUGCAGCGCUGCAUAGAAUCUAAGUCAAAUAUCUGCAGCGCUGCAUAGAAUCUAAGUCAAAUAUCUAGUUUAGAUUAUGCUUUGUCCUUUGUAGGAAAAAAAUUAUUUGAAGUUGAGAAAAUACUUGUUUUUUGUGAAGUCUUUCCAAUGCAAUUAUUAGAUUUUUAUAUUUGACCUAACUCAACUCUACAAAACUGGCCUAUAAGAGGAUGGGGUGUCACUUUAUAGAAAAUCAAGCAUAUAGACUUGUUUGGAUUGAUUGAUUUAAGUUUAUCUACCAAAAUAAGCAAUUGUGUGGUUGUUUGGGUGAGCUUGCGGAAACAACUUAUGACAUAUUCAUAGGCUGUUUUCAGCUGAUUCGCAUAUGCUCUCGGUGAUUAAUUAUGAAAACAACUUAUAACAUAUACGAAUAAAGUAUGCCUUUAUUUUAUUUUCUGUUAUAGAAAUAGCUUAUACGUAAGUACUUAUACGAUAAACACUUAUGCUAUAAUCACUUAAUUAUUUAUUUUAUCCAAACUGGGCUUCUAUCUUCUUUAACAUGAUCUCUUGCAGGUAAUUUGGUAAGAAACCAUGGCUUUGAGGAAGGUCCAUUCCCUAUUUUCAACUCAACCAAUGGUGUUCUACUCCCACCAAAACAACAAGAUCUUGUAUCACCACUCCCUGGUUGGAUUAUUGAAUCUCUCAAAGCCAUUAAAUUCAUUGAUUCAAAGCAUUUUCAUGUCCCAUUUGGACAUGGAGCAGUGGAGCUUGUUGCAGGCAGAGAAAGUGCCAUUGCACAAAUUCUCAAAACUGUUCCAAACAAAGUCUACAACCUAAAAUUCACAAUUGGUGAUGCAAGAAAUGGUUGUCAUGGAUCGAUGAUGGUCGAAGCAUUUGCUGCAAAAGAUACUUUUAAAGUUCCUUUUAAAUCGGUUGGAAAGGGAACAUUCAAAACAUCAAGUUUCAACUUCAAAGCAGUUUCAAGCAGGACUAGAAUCACUUUUUAUAGUUCUUUUUAUCAUACAAGGAUUGAUGAUUUUGGAUCUCUUUGUGGUCCUGUUCUUGAUCAAGUUAUUGUAUCUCCUGUUGCUUAAACUCUCCUUAUGUUUUACCUAGUAAUUGUGAUUUUUGCUUUAUAUCAGUUGAAUGUAACGUGAUUUAUGUUUGGAUACAUUUAGGUAAAAGUGAGUUGAAUAAUAAAUGAAAAGGUUACAAAAUUAAUUGUAGAGGUAAAAACUCGAAAUUCUAGCUUCAAGUUUGAAACAAUUCCGGUGACAAAAUAAAUCCUAUUUAAAAUCUUUCGAAUAUAUCAAAAUGAAUCUACAACAGUAAAACUAAUUUUGCUUUCUUUAAAAGUGAAAUCAAACAUUAACAAAGUGCAUGCUCGGUUUUGCUAUAGAAUCUCGUUUACUUGCAUCACAAGACACGGUAGGAGACAAGCUAUAAUUGCAAUUUUUUAGAAGUUACCUCCUUAUAACUUCGAUUCACCGUAAUUUGUAACGUGAUUCCAAAUUUUGCUCAAAUUAACAUACACUAAAUUGACUUAAAAGAAAAUAUUUGAGAGUAACUGCACAUGAUUUCGUAAGUAUAUAGUACAUCUGAACGAUACAAAAACUCGUGAUUUGUGUGAAAAUGCACAUUCAGAUAAUAAAAGUUCCUCCCAAAAAUUUUAUGAUUUUAUGAUAAUAACAAAACAACUCAUAACUUUCUUCCACUAUGUCUCCAUGAGACCAGAGGCGUCUUUUGGGGGUGUGUGACAUGUGCGACGGCAUAAGGCCUCAUAAAAAUAGGGGUCUCUAAAUUUUUUUAUAGGAUAGUAGUCUUAGUAAAUGAGAGAUAUAAAACUAGGGAUUGCAGAUUUCCAAAUGCGAGAUUGUAGAGUUCAAAUACUUGAGAUUCUCUUUAUUCUAAAAUGAUUGAUUUAUUAGUUACAAAAUGUCCUAAAAGAGAUUUUUCUAUUGUGAAUAAAUUUUUUAGACGCUUUAUAGUUAAUUGUUAUACUAUAGUUUUAUUAAAUGAAGAGGCGUGUAAUAGAGAUUGUCUUGUUUUUUAGACGCUUUAUAGCUAAUUUUGCAUUGUUUAUUUUAUUAUGGCCUAUUUUUAAUAAUCCCACAUGGUCUUCAACUUUUUGGAGACGCCCCUUUUGUUAGACUAUGAAUCUUUUUUAUGUUAAUUACAAAAUGAUUAUAUUUUUAUGUUAUUUGCAAUUAAAUCAACGAUGGUUUUUUUUUUAUAAAAAAAACUUUACGUUGUUUUUAUUAAAGGGUCACUUUUAUAUUUUGCACAGAGCCUCCAAAAACUCGGAGACGCCCCUGGAUGAGACAUGCAGCAGUAGCAUGCAAAACGUUAACAUUCAAUGCUUGUGCUAUGAAUAUUUUUAUUUUAAGCAUGGCUCUGAUAACUUAAUGCUGAAUCUGAGACAUUGCCUGCAUUGUGAAGAUAGUAACAAUGAAUACUGAAUGCUCACAUUAUAACAUGCAUUGAUGCACGCGAGUCAUGACAGAAGAAUCACAGAAAAGUUAGACUUACGAAACAUGAUUUUGGAAAUAAUUUUUUAUUUCUAAAAAACAAUAGGAUAGGGAAAGAUACUUAAGUCUAAAAUAAUUUUGCUAGGCACAUUGAGAAAUUUUGAAAUAGUAGUAAUUGAUAAUGUGACAAAAGCUUUUGUAUUAUUCCACUCGAAAAAACGCUCCUUAACUAGGCGAAUUACCCUUAAUGUACCCUUAUGGUUGUAUUGGAUGUACUUACCAAUUUUUAUGAAACAACAAAAAUUAGUGGGUAGUAACGGAGACUACCAAACUCUCCAUCCAACUCUCUUCAUUCAUCUCUCUCCAUCCAACUCNNNNNNNNNNNNNNNNNNNNNNNNNNNNNNNNNNNNNNNNNNNNNNNNNNNNNNNNNNNNNNNNNNNNNNNNNNNNNNNNNNNNNNNNNNNNNNNNNNNNNNNNNNNNNNNNNNNNNNNNNNNNNNNNNNNNNNNNNNNNNNNNNNNNNNNNNNNNNNNNNNNNNNNNNNNNNNNNNNNNNNNNNNNNNNNNNNNNNNNNNNNNNNNNNNNNNNNNNNNNNNNNNNNNNNNNNNNGAGUUGGAUUGAGAAAUGCAGAUGGAGAGAGGUUGAUGGAGAGAGUUGAACGGAGACCUGAAAUUCUAGAGGAUGUGAUCAAACAGAGGAAGAUCCGGUCUAAUGUAUCAGUGAUUUCGAUAUCAACCUAUUUCGGUAAAAAUGAUCAUUGCUUCAAUAAGUAACUGUGUUCUAAUUUCAUGUUAUAUCUCGAUCUCUAAUUUUAAUCUUAUAGGAGUGAGAUGGAUGGAGAAAAAUAGAUGGAGAGAGGAAUUGAGAGAAAUUGCCUUAGCUUUCCAAGACAAUACCAUUGAAGACAAAGCAAACAAAUCAAAGCUCACUAUGGUCUAUGGUAAUAAAAGUUAGAUGGUUGAAAAAUGCUUUAGAACACUAUUCUGCUAAAAAAUUGAUAUUUAGUACAAAAGAAAUGGUUUUUGGCUGCUUGUUCUGGUAAGCUCAGUUUGAGAUGAAACAUUAAAUUGGGUCUGCAGACUCAUAUGUCAACAUGGUAAAUUAGUUUAUUUUUGCACUUAUAUAUAUUAUUGGCUUGGCACCUUUCUAAUUCUGUUUUGUUUUAUAAAAUUGCAGGUUCAACUAAUAAACAAUUUCACCAAGAAAGGAAUGACCAGCCAUUGUUACAGGAUUGCAUAUACUUUUGGAAAGUAAGAGAAGUGGUGCAAAACAAAUUGGAAGGUUUAUGGGCCAAUUUGGUUUUAAAAGGAAAAAACUGCGUGUAGGCUAUUACUUAGCAUUAACUUAUUUUAUUUUAUUGUGGUUUAUAUGAACAUAGUGGGAUGAAAUAAAUCAAAAGAGAUAUACGAAAAGUUUUAAUAUGUUCAAUUGCAAAUAUUUUGUUUUGUAGAAAUUCAUGUGUGAGAUUUGAUUGUUAUUAUUUUAUGAUUUAAGUAUGAUGCAAUUUCUUUUUGAGUUGUACCAUUGAUGAAAUAGUUUUUAUAUACUUGUUAGUUAACCAACACUUAGAGAAUUAUCUGACUCUGAUUCCCUAAUUAUUUAGGGAUACGUAAUACAAGAGAUCUUCUCUGUCGAGUUAUAAUAUCAGUAACUCUAUAUUUUAACCAAGUACAUUUGUUAUAGUGUAUAAUGUAUUAGGCUUGCCAAGCUAAAUACAUAGUUAGUUAGAGGUGGCAUGUACACCGGUCAUGACCAAGGAUUGGGUCGUGACCAAGUUUUGAUGAACAUAUAUGAGCAAAGUGACCUAUUAUAUGUCAACUCUUUCUUUUUUGUUAUAAAGUUAAAUUAACCAUUUGGACAUUAAUUAUUCUGCCGUCACCCAUUCCCUUCCCCCAAAGUCAUUUUUUUAGAUGUAGAACCACAUAUAGUGGUGCGAUGAUCGGUGGCCUUUUGCACCACCUUUCUGCCAGCUCUCCGGCAACACCGCCUUCAUGGAGUAGAGUUUUGCAGCAGAUCUGGAGGGUAUGUAGCGGUUUUUUUUUGCAGUUUUUUGCAGUGUUCUAGAAUGAUUUCUACGUUGUGGAGGUUCGACGAGCUAGGAAUUUGAUUUGUAGCAGCGGCUUUGCUACGGCUGUUUCUGGUUCUAGCCAUUGAAGCAAUGGAAAUUUGGGUUUUAGAAGAAAAUGGGUAAGGAAAAUAUGGUGGGUUUGAUCUAGUUUUUCUAAGUAAACCAUGCCACAAACGGUGCCACUGAAUCGUCUGUUCAGAUCAGAAUAUUCUUUCGGUGUGAUUGAGGUGUCAGAGUUGUACUAUGUUGAUGAUUUAGGUUUAAGUACCAAGGGGAAAAGUAUCUUCAAAAAUGUCAGUACUUCAAUGCUCAAGUCAGUAUUACUCAAGGUGAGAAAAGGAAUGAAUGAAUGUACCUCAAGGCGAGUGCAUGCAUAUAUAAUGGAAUGUGCGUGUGUAACCGUUUUGGUUGGGUUCCCAUAUGAAUGGAAUGAGUCACAAAUAUUUUUAAGAAGAAUCAUUUAUCUUAUGCUUGGUAACAUGUAUAGCGAUUAUUGCACCUUACUUUUAAUUGGACCUUUCUGAUAAUUGCGCUUUUGACCAACCGAAAACAUUAACGGACCGCAUACAGUCAUGGAUGCUGACUACCAAAUUUCAUAUCAAAUAAAUGAUAAAUCCGUGUGUCAAAAACAAAAGCUCUAUUGGCAAGAAAACUACGAAUUAAAAUAUAAAUAAAACUCAAAGAAUCCAAUGGAUUAGAAAUGUAUAACUUUAUGUACGACGGUGGAUCUAAGGCAAUUUUGUUCUCAAGUGAUUUUUAGUGAGACAUUUAAAUCACAACCAUCAUACAUUAUCGAUAUAUUUCUUAUAAAAUAUACAAACAUUUGGGAAUUCAAUGCCCAAAUUCACGAAAUAUACAAACAUUUUCAUACUAUUUUAUAAUCGAAUGGCUGAAACCGAUUAUAACAUCCUACUCUAACCUCAAAAAAUCUAAUCCUAAAUUACCCCUAUUCCGUGACAUACAUGUGGAAUAUUUCUCAAAGCUGCCCUUGUUGUCGAGUUUUUCACACAUUCAUGCAUUUGAAGUAUUUGCGACUGACCAUUUUUGACCGAAUUGUUCAUAACCGUCUGAUCUUGAUUGAACAUCUAUCAAUGUCUUGAAUGCGUGGACCUCUGACGGUUUGAAAUUUUGAUUUGUGCUUCUAUAACUCUUGAAUUCAAUCUCAAAACACACAAUUCCACAUUUGUUCUUGAUUCCUUGUAUUAAAGAUACACCCAAAAUAAAAAAAAAGAACCUAAUCAGAAAUAGUAUGGUUGUGCCAACAAAGAAGCAUAGUUACACAUCGUCCAAAGAUAUGGAUACGUGCCUUGUGUUGUUUAGCCACCGAAAAACAACGUUUUGUGAAGCUUAUUUUCCUCCUAGGUNNNNNNNNNNNNNNNNNNNNNNNNNNUUUUUUUUUUUGGUGUCACUUUCCUCCCAAGUACUACUUACUACUUUUUUAAUUAAAUAUUAAAUAUUCCUAUAAAAUAAAAUUUAUAUAUGUAUAUCCUUCAAAAAAAAAAUCAAUAUAUGUAUAAAUUCUAGAGUUAAAAAUAAAACUUCUCUCAAGGUCUUAAAUUCAAAUUAUUAUUAUGACACUUACGUUGAGUCGGUCUAUAAAAAUUAAAGAUAUGAUUUCCGAUAUUAUUUAUGAAAAUCUAGAAUAUUAUUUCUGGAUAUUACUUAUGAAAAUACUAUUUAUUUUUAAAAAAUACAUCAUUUAAAUUAGUAUUUUUAGUCAAUAGACAAAUUACUAGAUUGAAGCAAACUAUUUCACAAAUGAUAAAAAUACAUUCAUCAAUUUGCAUAUGAACUAUAGUCACUAUAAUAAUUAAAAUAUUAGAGAGAAGUAAAAAUAAAAUUUUCUGCUAGUUUUAAAAUAUUUGUCUAUAUAAAUUCAGCUUCAUCUAGAAGGAAGGAAUAUAUAUAGUUAAUUGUAUUUUUUUUGGCGAUAGAAGGAAUAAAUUCUAGAAGCCGUAUAAGGACAAGGAAAAUACUAGUAAUUGAACUUGGUCAAAACGAACGAACAGCAAAGAUUUUGUUCUUUGUUUAGGUGAGAAGAGAAGAAAAGUUACAUGGUGCAUGGAUGCUUCCAUUCCCAUAAUAACCAAUUGCUAGUACAUUAGUUAGUAUAAGAAGAAUCGUACCCACACGUGGUGUAUUACACUCCCUUAUAGUUAUACCUACCCUACUUACGUGGCAUUGUAGUCCUUAUCCAAACAUGUUUUUCUUAUUGUAAAAUUAGAAAAAGAACAAAUUGUAGUAAAACACUACUUGGUGUGUGUCCCAUCGGUUGGGUAUUUUGUGAGGGAAUAAUUUUUAUAUGGACCAAAAGAUUGGACCUCUUUUUUGUCAUACACAUAUAAAAAAUUAAAUGUAAAAAAAAUAUAUUAAAUAAAUGUGACCAAAUAUGAUUUUCUUGGUAUCAUGAACAUGCAAGAAUAUCUCUUUGUGAGGAUAGUUUCUGCUGGUGUACUAUGAAUUUCUGGCACACCUUAUUUUUACUUAUCACUAUUUAAGUAGAGAAUGUUAUAUAGCAGAUAUUAUAAAAUAAGAAAUUUGAAGAAAAAAUAUUGUCUGUUAUUUAAGUAGUAGAUAGUGUUUGAGAAAUUCAUAGGAUGCAAAAAGAAAUUACCAAAAGAAAUUCAUAGUAUUGGUAGCGGAUUGGCUAGCAUACAUUUUUAAUAAAAAAAAAACGUUUAGGUAACACGUACUACAUGUCAUUUUUCUUAUUUAUUUGUAACCUAUUCGUUUUGUAUUCUUUUUUUUUCCUUCAAAUUGGCCAUCUAUCUUUAUAAAUGUGAACAUGUUAAUCCUUUAUCUUAUUUUUUUCCCCACACUGGUUCGUUAUCUUUAUAAACAUGCGCGGAUUAAUCAUUUAUGUAAUUCAUUUGUAACAUAAUGAAGAGUUUGAAGCAAACAUAAACAAACAAAACACAUAAAUUCCUAUAAUCUUGAGGUACAUUUGAAUGUAUACUUUGUUAUAAAUUAGUGAAUAAGAUGAUGGAUGAACGUGGUGAAGAAGAGGAUGAACAAAAUAAAUGUUCAUCAUCAUAUGGUUUUAUAAAAUGUUUCAAGACGUUCAAAUGUCUCUAUGUUUCAAACCCUCCAUUAUGUUAAACAUGAAUAAGAAUAUAUUUUGAUGGCCCUAUAAAAAAAUGCACAUGUUAAAAUACACUUCAAAUUUGGUAUAGCCUAUUUUUCUUUCAAAAAUACCCUUCACAACAAUUACAUCUAUGCCAUGUCAAAAAUAAUUAUAAUUUCCCUUCAAUUUCUUUUUUUAUCUUCCAACCACCACUUAACAAUUUUUUGUAGUUUUCUUUAUCUUUUCACAGUUUAUGCAAGAUGAUUCAAUGAUCAUCGAUUCAUCUUUUUUAGAUGCAUCCAUUGAAUCAUCAAUGGAUGCAUCUAAAUUUUAACAUGUACAUUUUUUUAUAGGGCCAUCAAAAUAUAUUCUUAGUAGUACAUUAUUUGUAAUUUUUGGCAUUUAUGGUUGGAUGGAAAAUAUAUAAAUUAUUCAUCUCUUGAAUUACCUAUUAAUAGUUGUAUAUAAGAAUAAGUCCUUACAUUUUAGUGAUUUUUUUUUUAAAAAAAAACUGUUAUAUUGUUUUGUUAACUCUUGAUUGAAUUCAAUUUUAACCUUCAUGUUAAAGUAGCAUUGUCGAUGACAACAAAAAUCGAGUAAAUGUGAACGUUUAAUUUUGUAGGAUACAAUUUUCUAUCCAAAGCUUCAUUCAAGUAUGGAAAAUGUGAAUGUUUGUCUUCACAAAUUCAUGCAUGAUCAUGGGAUCAACAAACAUAUAAGUGGAGCAAGUGCUUUCUAUCGGAGUAUUUGGGAAAAAGAAUUUUUUUUUUCUUUUCUUUUCUCUUUCAAUUUAUGCUACAACUAAUGUUAGUAUUUUUCAAGUGGUUUUAUAGCUUCUUCUUUGGUUCCUAUUGCUAAAAUGAUUGUUCUUUUCAUGCAUGAUCAUGGGAUCAACAAACAUAUAAGUGGAGCAAACACUUUUUUUUUUUUGAGAUAGUGGAGCAAGCGUUCUAUUAGAGUAUUUUUGGGAAAAAUAAUUUGUUUUCUUUUUCAAUUUAUGCUACAAUUUAUGAAUUUUUCAAGUGGUUUUUUUUUUGUUUUGUUUUCACACAUAUUAGUCAAAAUAUAUACAUGUUAGUGCAAUAACAAAAUAAAAAGAGCGGACAGACGGGCACGAGAGUGCCCGUCUGCACGCUAGUAAUAAAUAAUGUCAUAAGUGAAACUAAAUAUUUAAAACAUUUGAAAGUUGAUCAAAGUGUUUCUAAUAAAAAUAAUUAAUUUUUUUUUCUUCCAAAGUAUUCAUUUUAAAAAGGACUGGAGAGAGUAUGUGAUUUUGUCAAUUUUGAGUAACAGAAAAAGAAUAAAGCAAUCACCGCGAAUAAGUGGGUGUACAGGGAUUUGAACUUUGAUCUUUGUAUAUUACGUGUAAUAUUUUUAUCAACUGAGUUAUGCUCAUGAGACUCUAUAACUAAUUUUUAUAUAAAUAAAUACUCUCGACUAAAGAUGUAUAAAAAUAAAUUGCAAAAUUAUUUAUAAAGCAGUCACACGAUAAGGCGGUGAACGCGGUGGUUGCUGCAUUCCAAGCCUAUGUUUUCAUAGGCUCCACCGCUACAUAUCGGUGAAGUCANNNNNNNNNNNNNNNNNNNNNNNNNNNNNNNNNNNNNNNNNNNNNNNNNNNNNNNNNNNNNNNNNNNNNNNNNNNNNNNNNNNNNNNNNNNNNNNNNNNNNNNNNNNNNNNNNNNNNNNNNNNNNNNNNNNNNNNNNNNNNNNNNNNNNNNNNNNNNNNNNNNNNNNNNNNNNNNNNNNNNNNNNNNNNNNNNNNNNNNNNNNNNNNNNNNNNNNNNNNNNNNNNNNNNNNNNNNNNNNNNNNNNNNNNNNNNNNNNNNNNNNNNNNNNNNNNNNNNNNNNNNNNNNNNNNNNNNNNNNNUCCGUGACUGAUUCCAAGCCUAUGUUUUCAUAGGCUCCACCGCUACAUAUCGGUGAAGUCAAUUCUCAUUUUAUGAUUCUCCACCACAAAAUUGAUCCAUGCUUGUAAGUAAACUCAUAUGUGAUCUUCACAUUUUUAAUAAGUUUUUGUAUUUAUAUUUAUAAUAUAAAAAAAUCUCUCCCACAUAAAUUUGUCCCAUGAAUCUUAUAAAAUCAAACUGAAGAAUCGAGAUCGGUGAAGAUGUUGAUGUUCCGAACCAUAUGAUCGAUGAACUAUUCUAAGCAAGAUGCUGGGAGUCGGCUUAUUUUAUGCAAGUUGCUUGUUAAUUAUUUUGUGAGAGAACUUUUGCAAUAUUAGAGACCUCACCAAUAGUUUUGUUUUCAGAGUAAAUUACAUUGUCAUCUCUUGAGAAAUGCUUAAAUUUCUUUUUUUUUUUUUCCUCUUAAAAGAAACUUGAAUUUCGUUCAUCUCAUUCUUAUAUUAAAAUCUAGAUUUUCCUCAUUUAAAUAUAAUUAAACUUAUAAUGAAUAUGUUUUCAAUAUUUUUUUUUUGACAAUAAUGUUUUCAAUAUUUUUUUAUUCACGUCAUUAACAUAUAGUUUUAAACAUUGUCAUAAAAUAUGUAGCUAUAGAAAAUAAAAUACAAAUCUUGGAUGAAAUACUAAAACCGAUUAAAAAAUAUUUCAAAUUGAAUUUUAUGUUCUAAAAUAAUAAAAUUUAAAAGAGAGAAAAAUUAAUUUCUUAAAUGAUGAGUUAAAUAAAACAAAGGCUUAAAGUUAAUUAUUAUCAUACAUUUUUUUUUAUGUUAAAAUGAAUUAAAGUGUAUAUUUUAACAUAUUUAUGCUAAAAUGGACUAACAUAUAUGUUUUAACCUAAGAGGAAAUGAGAGUGUAAAUCUUGUUUCUUUUAAGCACGGGGAUUUUAAUUUACUAUUGUUUUUACAAAUUAAUUUUCCAUAGCAAAUCAAAAAGAAUGUGAUGAAACUCAUUGUUCUAGGGUGUUUUAUUUUAUCAUAUAACAAGAAAAUAUAUCUUCAACAAAUUCACUACACUUUUUUUUCUAAAUAAAUGUAUAGAUAUUGAAAAACAUAUGUUUUCCUGUAUAAGUCUUUAUAAUAUCGAUACAUUUUAUUAUGAUGAUAGCACGUGCACUUGCGGCCUAUCAAUGAAAAAAAACAAAUAAAAAUCAUGAAUGAUUAUUAAGUCAAGAUAGUUUGUUAUCAAUGAAAUAUAUAUCUUGGAGGGAUUUUGGAACAUUCAUCAACAACAAGUAAUUGUCACUGAUAUUUUUUCCUGUAUAAGUCCUUAUAAUAUCGUCACACACAAAGAAACUUGAUUAGAGAACAAAACAAAUAAAAAUCAUGAAAGAUUAUUAAAUCAAGAUAGUUUGUUAUCAAUGCAAUAUAUAUCUUGAAGAGAUUUUGGAACAUUCCUCAACAACAAAUAAUUGUCAUUGAGAUCCUUGUGCGUUUAGCUUAGUUGCAUUUUAUAUGCAUGAGUUAAGGUUCGAACUCCAAACACGCAACUUAUUCACCUCAAAGGUUAAAUUCUAGUCGCUAGAUUAUUUUCAUAUCAUUGAUAAUUAUAAUUUAUCAUAAAAAUCAUACCCAAGGCAAAUAUUUGUAACUAAUCAAUAAGUUUAAUAUAUAUNNNNNNNNNNNNNNAUAUAUAUAUAUAUAUAUAUAUUUUUUUUUUUUAAUAUCAUGUAAAUAAAAUUGAGAAUAAUUAUAGUAUACUUCCUUCGUUCCAAAAUAAGUGUCAUUGUUGACCACUGCACACAUGGCAAUCCAAAAAUUUAACAGUUAAUAUAUUUGGUUAUAUACUAUUAAAAAUUAUAAAAGUUAAUAUUUAGAAAAUAAUCUCAUCAAAUCAAAUCCAACAAUACCUUAUUUUGUCUUUUAUGUAUUAGUUAAAAAAUAUAGUCAAAGUAGGUUAUAUGAAUAGUACACAUAAUCAAAUCAAACUAUGACAUUUAUUAAUUUACUAUUAAAACAUACAUGAAAGUGCACAAUAACUUCAAAUAUUUCAUAAUCGAUAUUUUCUACGUUAACAUAUUAGCCAAAUACAUUACAUUUAUUAUUUUUUGAUUCAACAUUAAAUAUUAAUAUCUCUAGUCUUUAACAUGAGGAAAAGCUUACUUUUUAGACUAUUUGAGUUUCUAAUAAAUCUAUACUAUAAUAUAGACUAAAUACAUUAGAAAUUGAAUGAACCUAAAAAAAAAAACUUCCUUUAUAUUAAAAAUAAGAGAGAAUAUAAUUAUUUGUUUUUUGACUCAACGUUAUUAUAAUUAAAAAAACGAAUAAAGUAUUCAAAUAUUCAACAUAACUUUACCAUAAAUUUCAUUAAUUUACCUCUUUAUAAAAAGUCUUGAUAUUAAUUAGUUAAUUAACCUAAUUUAAAUUACAACUUUGCGUUGAUUCUUUACGUAAGCUCUUCUAUAAAAACUCCUUCAGGUGAUUCACAGGAUAUCAACAUCACUACCUCCAUUUCUUUAAAUUACUUUAUCUUCUAUAGAGAGAUGGCCAAAGUCUUGAUGUUAGCAUUANNNNNNNNNNNNNNNNNNNNNNNNNNUUAUCCUUACAACAAACACCACAAACAUCAUCACCAUCACCCAUCAGUCCCAACCACUGCCCCUGCUCAACCACCAUCUUCUCACAAUGAACACCACCGACAUCAUCACCAUCAUUCAUCUUCUCCAACGCCUUCCCCUAUUCAAUCACCAUCACCUUCCCCUACAAAAACUCUUAGUCUAGAUAAUCCUAACAAAGAACACCACAAACAUCAUCACCCAUCCUCCCCGAAAUCUGCCCCUGUUCAACCACCGUCUCCUUCCCCUAGUCAUUCUCACCAUAAACAUCAUCAUCCAUCCUCCCCGAAAACUGCCCCCGUUCAACCUCCGUCUCCUUCUCCUAGUCAUUCUCACCACAAACAUCAUCACCCGUCCUCCCCAAAGUCUUCCCCUGUUCAACCACCAUCUCAUUCCCCUAGUCAUUCUCACCACAAACAUCACCACCCAUCCUCCCCAAAAUCUGCCCCUGUUCAAUCACCAUCUCAUUCCCCUAGUCACAAACAUCAUCACCCAUCCUCCCCGAAAUCUGCCCCUAUUCAACCACCGUCUCCUUCUCCUAGUCAUUCUCACCACAAACAUCACCACCCAUCCUCCCCAAAAUCUGCCCCUGUUCAACCACCAUCUCAUUCCCCUAGUCACAAACAUCACCACCCAUCCUCCCCAAAGUCUGCCCCUGUUCACCCACCAUCUCCUACCCCUAACCAUAGUCACAAAGAACACCACCAACAUCAUCACCAUCAUCCAUCAGCCCCAACCUCUUCUCAUGUUCAAUAGUUAUCUUCAAAUAUUUUGAAUGAUAGUUUUUGAUAGAUAAUUUUUGUAAGAAUAAAAAAUAAAUAAAAUUAUGUUUAUUGAUAAUUCUUGCCUCUAAUAUUCUUCGCCUUUUUUUUUAAUUUCAAAUUAUUACAAUUUGUCGAAAGAGAAAAUUAUAUGUUGAUAAUCAAUAUUCGCUAAUCAGUUCAUAAUAACGUUUAUGUUUAGUUUUUUUGUUGAUAGACGAAAUGACAAAGCCACUGAAAACACACACACACAAAGUGGAGUGACCGGGGUUUGAACCCCGGUCAUAACGUUCAACACUAACAAUUUCGACAUNNNNNNNNNNNNNNNNNNNNNNNNNNNNNNNNNNNNNNNNNNNNNNNNNNNNNNNNNNNNNNNNNNNNNNNNNNNNNNNNNNNNNNNNNNNNNNNNNNNNNNNNNNNNNNNNNNNNNNNNNNNNNNNNNNNNNNNNNNNNNNNNNNNNNNNNNNNNNNNNNNNNNNNNNNNNNNNNNNNNNNNNNNNNNNNNNNNNNNNNNNNNNNNNNNNNNNNNNNNNNNNNNNNNNNNNNNNNNNNNNNNNNNNNNNNNNNNNNNNNNNNNNNNNNNNNNNNNNNNNNNNNNNNACGUUCAACACUAACAAUUUCGACAUUUCUACUAGUUGAGCUAAGAUUUGUGAACUUUUCUUUAAUGUAUUAUCUUUGUUAGACAUAUAUAUUUCAGCUAAUAUUAUAUUCUUAUCACCAUUAAGUUCAUUCUUUUUUGUUUUUUGACGCACCAUUAAGUUCAUUCUUAACCACGCGUCAAAAGGAGUUCCUCCUAUUCAUUAAAUUUGACAAAUUAUUUUCUGACUCAACGAUUAAAUUUCUCUUGUCGAGAAGUAAUAUGUAAUUCGUAAAUAUAAAAAUUGUAAAAUUAUUGACAUAGACAUUAUGGGAAACCUCUCUCUAAAUUUUUACGAUCCACAUAGUCUCCAAAUAUUAUAAAGUAAUGUUAUUAUGGGAUAACUAUGUGAAUACUUUUCUAAUUGAUUGCUGGACGUACACAUCUUUUAAGUAAAAUUUAGAAGAGCUUAUCAAAAAAAAAAAAAUUUAGAAGAAGUGAAUGAAUGAGAAGUAAAAUUUAGUAUUGAAAUUGUAACAUCCCAAACGAGACAUUUAAGCAUUGUCGAUUGAUCUGACAAACCAACACGAGUCUUUUCAGUGAUCCAAGCAGAUAUGCCUGACCCCUAUCCAUGUGCAACAUUGGUCACUGUCUUCAUAAAAUUGGGAAAGCUUCUCUUCUCACCCCAUAUUUCUUUUCUACCCCCAAAACAUGUAAAAAACUUCGAUAAAUAGUAAUCGAUGUUUUUUUAGUUUAAAAUUUACACUAAAAAAUUUCGAAAAAUAGAAACCAAAAUUUUCUGCAUGUUUUCGGGUAGAAAAGAAAUGUGGGGGUGGAAAGAGAAGCCUUCUAAAAAUGAGGACUCGACAUAAAUUUAAUGACGCGAAAACAGAGUACCGAGAUGUUGUACUCACAAGUUGGAACAUCUGGUCCAACAUGCUAGAACAUUGUUUUAACAAAAUGAAGCCAACAUACAAAAACCUCAACAAGAAGAAUUCAUGGCUCAUUAAGGUAGCUAAAGGUAUUUUUGUUGUAAUUCUUAAAAUAUUAAUAUUGUUCAUAUUAGGUACGACUGAUUAUUUUUUUACGCUAUUGAUGUUAUUUUAAAUGUAAAUCGAGAAUGAUUCUUUUUAAUUUUUUUUGUUUUUAUUAAGGAUCCAUUUUAAAUAUUCGAAUAGGGGGGCUCCAAAUUGUCGGGAUUGGCUGUGCUCGCACACUUUUUAGAAAAUUCCUGGAUAGUCAUGGUUUAUCCUCACUUGCACACUUUUUGCGAACUUCCCAAAUUGUCACCCAUUCAAAGAGGGUUCCAAGUCAAGAACACUUAAAUGUAGAAUUCUUAUAGGAUGGCUACCAAAAAGAAAAUGCAUGCAUCUUAUCGGUAUAGAUAGUGCAAAUCAUUUCACCAUACUUGCACUGCCAUAAGAUUUCUCUCAUUCUGAUGUUAAUUUAUUUCACUUAUGUGCCCUCUCAUCCGUUCAUUGUCUAUACAUGCGAACUUCCCAAAUUGUCACCCAUCCAAAGAGACUUAAUAUUUAACAGUGGGAUACUUAUUUGCUAGUGCAAAAUUUUCUAUAUAUAUGUGGUUAUAUAAUUUUAUUUUAUUUCAAUACUAGAGUGUCACAAACUCAACCACAUAUUUUGCACAUAUAUAGCAGAUUUACUAACACAAGUGGUAACUCAAUAAUAAUAUAAAAUCCAAUAUAUACAAAACUUUUCAAUGGCAGAUUUUUAUAAGUGUUGGAUUUCAUGGUUAACCACAUAUUCUGCAUUUAGAAUUAAGGAGAUUGCUAAUUUUUACUUAAUAAUUUAUAAUAUAAAUCUCCUUAUAACAAAUAAAAUUCUCAAAAGAAUUUUUAUAUAUAAAGUAGCUAUCAUAUAAAGAGUAUGAUGAUCAUAUAUCUAAGGUUUAUAAUCAUAUGAGUGAGAUUAAGUCUCUAGUAUAUUGUAAAAUAGGGUAUGAGACUAUAUAUAUUAAAAGUUUAAUAACUCACUCAUAAAACUCAAGUGCUACAAUUAUAGACACACACAUUUGAGAAAUAGUUUGGUUACACGCAGCGGAAAUACACAAGACUUACAUUUUAUUAUUAUUGAGGAUAUAUGAGAAAGUAGUCAUUAACUUCCAUAAGUGUUGAAAAAUAACAAUAAUAUGAAAUAUGUCAAAUAUAGUGAAAAUUGAAAAAAUUGAAUAUCUCAAAUGUACAAUUUAAAAUAAUGACAUAAAAUAAAUAGAAUUUUUCUUGAUAAAGUUGUUAAGCAUUUGAGAUUUUGACAUAUUGCGUUUACAAAAUGAGUUUGCAAAAAUAUAUAAUGAUAUGAAAGUAUAUAAUAAUUUAUGAGAGAAGACUAUAAUUAAUAUCCUCAAUACAAGUCUCUACGGUAGUUUUAUGUCUAGAAUUAUGAGACAAAUAAAUAUAUUUGUUUCUUAGCUAUAGUUAAUUUGCAUGUAGAAUUUUUCUCACUUGACAAAGAUUGAUAAUUAAAAUGGUGAGAUAUUUUUCUUACACCAAGGAGAGGAUGAUCAUGUUAAGCAAUGUCAUACGGAUAGGGUAUGUCCAUCACGUCACACAAUACAUAGUGAGGCAAGUGUAUAUAUACUAUAUCAAUUUAGAAAUAUUUACCUCACUUUUUCCAUUAUUAUAGUAAAUAUUUUUUAGUUUUUUUAUUAUCGAAUCUUUUUCCAUUAUUAUAAUAAUGUUCCAAUGCUUAACCAAUUUUAUUUCCUCCCUUUGCUUUUUUUAUUAUUGACUCUUUUUCUUUAUUAUUAUUAUUAUUAUUAUUUAUUAUUUUGGAUCAUACUUAUUAUUUCAAUUUUUCUAUGUUAUAAUAUAAAACAGCGCAUCACACCCACCCGUGCAUCGCACGGGUAAGGGUCUAGUAAACUGUAAAUUGGGAGAAGUUUGCAAUUGGUUGAGAUUAUAAAAAUGAAAAUCAAAAGAGAUUUGAAUAUCAGAUGAGAAAAUCCUUUGGAUUUUUCAGCUUUUUAAUCUUGUUUUGUGUUUUUUCUUCAAACUCUUGUAAUGUCUUCAGUUGAGCUAAGUUCCUUAUUUUUACCAUAUAAUUAUACUUAAAACUUAAUAUAAUAAUAUAAAAUAACUACUAAAAACCUAAUGUGAUUGAAUGUCAUCACAAUCUUUGGAAUAUUUGUUGAGGGCUUAUGUGUUAGAGCAGAGUGGGAGUUAGGACAGGUUUCUAAGAGCGGAGAUAGUUCUGUAUUAGGACUGAACGUGGUUUAGCAAAUCACUGAGAAAGUUAAGAUAAUUUAAGAAAAGAUGAAAGCGUCUUAAAGUAGACAAAAGAUCUACCAUGACAAAAGCAAAAUAGACUUAGACUUUUAAGAGGUCGAUCAUGUAUUUAUGAGAGUCACUCGAAUGUGGGGUUUGUCGGGAAUUGAAAAUGCUCGAACUUAUCUCCUGCUUUAUUGGACCCUCUCAAAAUUUGAGACAUUUCGGUAGUGUAGCCUACCAAGUAGCAUUACCUCCUUCACUUUUCAACCUUCAUAGUGUAUUCCAUGUAUCCCAACUUCACAAGUAUGAACAGUCACAUUUAUAAGUUUAGGGUUUUGAGACCUUGGUAAAGCUUGUGAUGAUGUGAUUCCAUUGGUAAAGCUUGUCUCAGGUGGAGCAGCUAAUGAAUAUGCAACUUCGGAAAGAGGGAGUGAGACGUGCAAUUUGUACCCAUAAUUGUUUACUUCAAGCAAUUUUUUAGAAAAAAAAUUCCUUAACGAAGAGAGAAUUGGAACAAAACAAUGUAACAUCCAGAUUUUUAUAGCAUUAAAAAUUGAAUCCAACUUAUAAAUGUAUGAUGAUUUUGAGAGUAAUUACUCCUUUCUCUUAAAUAAAAUGCUCGUGUACCAAUCAUCGGUUGGUUCAGUAGUGAUUGACGCUGAACUUCGUAGGGAGAACCACGGUUAAAUCCCUCGCAACUGCGGUCGGGAGAGGGCUGAAACCACUCCUCAAACCAAAUUAAACUGGUGGUGAAAGCCAAAAAUAAAAAUAAAAAAAAUAAAAUGCUUGUGUAGUCUUGACAUUCUCACUCUCAAAAAAUAACUCAUAAAUAUACUUCUAUAUAUUUAUUUAAUUUAUUCAAUCAUACUCAAACGCAUUCCACAUUAUUAAAUGAGUCAUGUCAAACCCUAGUGGUGCGUCCUUAUCGCACUUCCGUUAGUCCAAUCAGCUGAAACUUGACAACGGAGAUCAAACUUUCAAACAGAGAAAACUAUGGAGACCAAAAAAUUAUUAAAAUCUAAAUAGAAACGAAUGUUAGAAGAUCGCACGGGAUACUUUUUUUUUUUGAACAAGUCGCACGGGAUACUUAUCAAUAAGAUAUCUAAUCUAAUUGUAUUAAUUCCCAUUAGAGAACAAAUAACAUAAACUAAUUCCUUUCAUUCCAUUAUUUUAUCGACGUAACAGUUUAACAUCUAGUGAAACUAAUUUAAAUGGACUUCCUUGGCCUUCAAGUUUUAUUUUUAUUCCAUGAGAUACAAGAAUAUUUAUUUUUAUUCCAUGAAUUAACAGUUAGUUAACAUGGACUAGAGUGAAAAGUACAAAGAGUAACACCUUAGGCCAUGCAAAUUAGCAUGAGUUAAAGAACCAGAGAAAAAUAAAACAGAUAGAUAUGAAACAAAAACAAAUGCUAAAAAACAUAGUUUUUUACUGACAAUCAACAUCAGUGGCUAAGAUGUAUACAUUACUGUUUUUUGUCGUAGUAUUUGUCAAGCACCAUCUCCGAAUACUCUCCAUAAGUAAGGGAAGCAUUUGAUGGAAUAAUCUGGAAAAAAAAUCAACCCAUUAUUGACUAGAAACUAGAAAUGUGGCAUAUCUAUUUAAUAAUAGAGAAAUGGUUUUUGUACAACCAAAUUUACACAACUUUUACAACAAUUCUUUAAGUGGCUAAUAUGGUUCAAAUAGGUGGUUGAUUGCGUUCAAUAGAUAGUUAAUGGAUAUAUCGGAUGUCAAAAUUCAUUAACCACCAAACUAAGUUUAUUUAUGGUUGAUGAGGUUUGACACUAGCAUAUCUAUUAACCAUCUACUGAAUGUAAUUAAUCUCGUAUUUGAAUUAAGUUUUUUAGGGACGUAUUUGAAUUAAGUUAACCACUUAGAUUGUUGUCGCAAAUAUUGUCUAAUUUCUGUAGUUCAAAUAACACAAUUGUCAAUAAUAUGCGGAUGUAGCAGGUAUAGUCUAAAAUCUAGAUGCGGAAAAAUAUGUUAUGUAGAAAGCUAUCUUCAUUCUUCAUGAAUUUCAGAAUUCUAUAUUUGUGAUGGAUUUCUAGUUGUUUAGUUUAACAGAAAUCAUUCAUCGGUCCCAUCAUCCACAAAAUUUAGAGGUAUUGCAGAAACCCUACAUAUUUAGUGGAACAUGAAAUGCUAUGAACUGAUAAACUAGAUUCCCUAUAUAAAGAACUUCAGUUUUUUAAUAUGCUAUGAAAUCAUUCUUUUUCUGUUUUUCAAUGCCAUCUUUUAUCAAUAAUCUGUAAUGGCUGAAUGUGAAGAACAAUUAUGACUUUCAGGAAUGUACAUACCUCUUUAUGAAUAUGAACUUCCUCUGGAAAACUGAGUUUCUCAUCCCUGGAAAGAAAAAUUAUUGACGCACAAUAUUAAGAUGAGCUCAGAUACAUCAUUGACCUCAAGCUUACACGUAAUUCUACUAUUGAAGACAACUCAACAAAAUUUAAGCAAUGGAACAGCUAAUUUGAUCUCAGAGAACAUACCAAUCAGGUUGCAUGAAUAAUGCAAAUGUCGAACGCUCAACACCAGAAGACUCCUCCCCUUUCGGAGCCUAAAAGUACCAUAUCAUCCAUAUUUUAUAUCAAAAAAUGUGCACCCAAAAUGAAAAGGAAACACAACAAAAAGUCAAAGAAAAAAUCAUCAACUAGUAUAUAGGCAAUGUAAAGCUAUAAUCUGAGUGACAAAUAGUGAGUUUGGGUGACAUCUGAUCCGUUGAGUCCACAACAACUAUUUGUUGCUUUGGCAUUGGACAUGGUUUGUAAUACCACCAACAGCAAAGCAAGCACCCUAGAAAAGGGUACUCGAUUUACAAUUUUUGGUGAAUAACAGUUUGUUACUCAAAUUUUUGUGAAUAUCAAUAGUAGUGCUCAUUUAUAUAUGUCAAUAAACUCAAACAUUUGAAAAAUCAAACUUUAUAAGUCGGAAAAUAAACUAAAAUAUAAUCAUGACAUGAAUACAAAGCAUGGUGGAAUACAAGAAACCAAUGAUGUAAAGUAAAAAAUGAGAAGGAAUAUCUGAACACAAUUCAACAGGAUGACAAUAAAAAAUGCUACAAGUCUAUCACAAGGAGAGAAAAUUUAUGCAACUUUCUGAAGUUUUUUAAAUUACCUGGACACAAUGUGGUGUUGCACGAAGAAUACCUCCAGAAAGAAUUUCAGCAGUUUCACCAAUUUGGUAAGCUAUGUCAUCUGCUCCAAACACAACCUAUAAGGGAAAAUACAAUGAAUGCAUUGUGUUAAUUCACUAAAAUUCUAAGCUUAAUAUUCACGCCAUUUAGGAAUAAUGUAUCAGGUCCAUGAAAUACUUUCAAACUUUAUCCUGACAGCUUCAAGUUAUAAGCUUCAAAUGCUUUCAAAUUCUAAGCUUCAAAUUCUAUCCUAAUAGCUUUGUUGAAAAAGAGUGGAUCAUUUUACCAUUAUUUAACAACUUUAAAAUUCUUCCAAAUACAAGUUUAUUGAAAGGGAGAAAAAGCUUCUUCUAGUUGAAAGAAAGAUGAACCAACAAAAUAUUUUUAUGUUGCAGUUGUGUAUAUCAAUAUCACCCAGUUACUUUGCAUUUCCAGAAGAAGAAAUAUUACCCAGUUACUUGCAUUACCGGGAGAAGAGUGUGUACCUUCACAAUUUGAUCAUUUCUUGUUCGAAUAUAAAGGCCAGCAGCACUAUCAGGGCAAGGUAUUUCUACACCAUCUCUUGUAAAUAUACCACAAGUCAAACCUACAUGUGUAAUCGAAAUCAACAUUGAACAGACGAUACAAUGUGAAGAUCUUCGUUAGUAAUGCUCUGAGUAACAGUUUAUAUUUUUAAAAUCCAUGUGGUUCUCUAAUCAACUUGAAUAGAGGAAUAUAGAGUCUAAGAAGUUAACAUUAUAUAGAAACAAAAUAUAAUGAAAGAGAUGGAGUUGCUACCUAGGAUUCUGUAAUGAGCCCAUAUUAAAUAAAAAUAACCAUUUGUUAAAUACCUGUCAGUGAACCAUUGUCUGUAUGCCAUCCACACCAAGAAGACAUGGAGUUGGCACCUGGGAUUCUGUAACAAGUCAUAUCUAAUUUAUUAAUAUAUUUUCAGUCAUAUACAAAGGGAUAAACUAGAAUUGUUUUCUUUAUUUAAGCAUAAUAAUUACAUAAACUAGAAAACUACAAUAUAAGUUAAAUAGCAUUGGAAAUGAACUGAAAAUAUUUAUGAUCCGAGACUAUUACCAAGUCUAGAAGUGAAGGAAUUGAUGAAAUCAAACUAUUUUACGUGUGCAAGUAAUAUUUCUCCCUUUAACCCUCUAUCCAAAAUGAAAUUGUUAUUCGGCUACCAUCAUAUAGUUAUUUCAUAUCUUUUACAGCUUAUAUGAAUAGAAAAUGUUUAAAGUAACAACCAAGCUUGUAGCUCAAUUGGCACCGGCCCAAGUCUACUAAGGUUUGGGUGUAAUUGUGAAUUGAGAGGCCUCAAUCUUGGACUGGGACUUCGGAUACACAGAUCCAUAAAUCAUAUAGUCAAAUUCUGAUUAUAAUAUCUAAUUCAUAUGUCCAACGCAUAUUAUUAUCAAUUCAGUUUUAAAAACAAGAACGAAAGAUGUUUUAAUGAAAUUAAAACAAAAAAAACUCACAUGAUUUAAAUGCAAAGGUUAAAUUGAAACUAUAAGUCUCCAUUAUCAAGGGUUGGGUUUUUCUAGUUAUCAAUAAACAAGAGGGAAAUUUUGACUAUUUAAUUUUCAAUUAAGUUGACAAAGUAAUAAUGUAUUACACCUUGAAAAAUUCAAAGAAAAGACAGAUCAAACUAAACUCUAUCAGUAGAGUCCCAUUGGCAAUGUGAACACAUUUAUUUUGUGGACAAUAUUCACACUUCACAUAUUGAUUCUACUCAAUAUUUUAGAAAAUCAACAAACAUAACCUUGGUGGUUACAUCAGAUAUCAAUAUAAAAGUCUUCCAAUAAGAUAUGAGACAUUGUAAAGAAAAUUACCCCUGUUGUGCAGGAAAAUAAUAUAGCAAACGUCCUUUGUGACAGCGGGAGCGAUUAAGUAUUGAUUCCAGACCUUCAUCCUUAUGAACUUUCAUUCCUUUGGAUACUGAUAAGUUUUGAAUGCGACAAUUGAUCAGAACAGCAAUACAAAUGAGCAGAAAAAUAGGUAAAGGAACGUGAUAAUCAACAAAAUGUUCCCAAGAUUUAAUGCACCAUCAGUCAUAUAAGGUGCCUCAGGCCUUAAUUUGAUGAAAGUAUUGAAAUUUCAAAACUUUGCCAACGUUAAAAAAUUGAAAGAUGAUUCCUAGCUUAAGGAGCAAUUGGAAAGGGUGAAAAGGGAAUCAAAAUUCAUUGAGGUGACUAAUUAAACUAAUUGGUUACUGUUUCCAUUUUUAUUUUACAUGAGAUAUUUCGGGGUAAAAAAUAAAACAGAUAUUCUUUUCUCGAGAUAGAAUAAUCACUAGUCCGAAGCCCCAAAUUCUAAUUCCUAAUCCAUCUAAAACUAUUUAGAGACUUGACAAUGGCUCUGUUUGGGAAGACAAAUAAGCUAGCUUAUAGCUUAUAAGCUAAAAGCUCUGUUUGGUAACGGUCUUUUCAUUAGGAGCUUAUAGCUUAUUUUUCGGACGCUAUUUUAAGUAGCUUAUGAGCUUAUGACUUAUCGUUUUUUCUUUCAAUUUUACCCCUUGGAAAAAUUAAAUAUUAAUUAAACAUAUAUUUUUUAUGUCAUUUCAUACUUAUAAGCUAGUUCAACUGCUAAUUUUACCAAACGCUACAAAUUCAAUCAGUUAGCUUAUUCACUAUAAGCUAAAAGCUAGCUUAUAAGUUAUUCUCUAUAAGCUCAUCCGGUAUAAGUUACCUUAUCAGUUAUCCGCUAUUUUAUACAAAACAGGGCCAAUAUAAGAAACACCACUUCAAUUUGCAAAGAAAUUUAUUAGGUUUCAAAAUUCAAAAUAGGACGGGAAAUUAUUGUCCCUGGGGAAAAAUAGUUUUUCCACCUCCAACAAGUUACAACAUGUAUGAAAUAAAAAGCUAGAGUAAUGCCACGGUUAAAGAGGCCUUUGUCUAAAGCCAAACAAAUAACAAUGACUGCCUUACCAUAUUGAUCGCAGUGAUAUGCCACCAUCAAUCCAACAUCAAAUAUCAGCUUCCCAAGUGCUUUGAAAGCUACAUGCCAAAAACAAAAGAACAGUAUACAUGUAACCAAUUGUGUUACCAUCCGGCAAAACAUGAAGAUCAAAUAGUUAGGGACAAGUUAUUACCGUUAACUAAAUUUAACAUGAUUUGGAAGUUGUAUAAACAUCAUGCACUUAACCUUCUAAAUUUAAGUUCAAAAUCCAUAAGUCAAUGUAACAACAGAGCAGAAGCAUUGUUUGAUCUCAACUUUAAAAAAAAAUAAAAUUGAACUUCUAAUAACCGUUUAUCCAUAAAAGAUGAAAAAACUAUAUGGAGUCAUUGAGUAAAUAUUUUAAGGUUAGGAACAUCCAACCACUAAACUUGAAUAGAUUAACGAUACUCAAAGUGGUUAAUCAUAAGUAAGUAUACUUAUUAACUGGAAUUAUUUUUAUCAAUAAUAAUUACUUUUUAUUACUCUGCAAAGGUGGAAUAUUUUUUCAAAAGUAAAGUUAGAGCUGAGUAAUGUUUUCACUAUCUUCUGUAUACUUGAAAUGUAAAAAGCAACAAAAACUGACAACAGGUAUACAAAAGCAAGCGGCAUGGUUUGAUUCAUGCCUGAAUGUGUAUAGGCAUAGCACCACAAGUUAAACAAUUUGUGACUUACAAUCAUCAUCUGCAUGAUCAUUCAUGUAAAACCCAAGGAAAGAAAACCGAUAAUACAGACAGAAAUCUAUAUCCCCAAAAAUAUGAAAAUAAACACAACAAAGGCAAAAUCAAUUUAGGCUUCAGGGCAUACCCAAUUCAAGAUCUGGUAAUGUGCUUCUCGGCCAUAUAUUUGAUCCACAAUAUGAUGGGUACCUACAGUUUCAUACAAAAUAAAUUAUGAUAAAAAAAAAGUAAGCAACCUAUAUAAAUAACAAUAAAAAGUAACAUCUAAGUUUAAAAGGGUAUGGAAAUAGAACUUAUAGACAGAGGUGAACUCAGUAGAAUUCUGUGAUAUCUUGCAUGAAAGUCAUAUAUUUAAAAGAAUAAUGAUUGAAUUAUGAUAUAGCAAGAAUUUCUCUAGAAUAUCCAUACAUUAUAAAGAAACACCUGGUGUAAGAAACAGCUAAAAAGUUUAUACAAAAUCAUGUGUUCUCAUCCACUUUACCGUUUUAACAAUGAUUUAUCUGUUGUAGGUGUAUCAAGUAUGGGAUUGGCAUAGAACGAUCCUUUUAAUAAAUCUGCACUCAGAGAAGAAAAAAGUAGAUAAAUAAAACCGGCCUGGCUCUAAUAAUGUAGAUAACCAACAGAUUUUCCAAAAUGCAUCCAUGCAGCAAAGUAUAAGCAUUUCCAAAUUAAUAGAUACAAAUUAAAUGUAAUAUAUAGUAUAUAGCUGAAGUACUUUCAUAUAUAACAUGUCUAUGCUAUCAACCCAUUGCAUAUUUCUUCUUAGAAAAGUGUAAUCCAUGUAGAUUCAUUAUAUAACUAUGUUUUACAUGGUUCUGUUACACCUUUGACUGGAAUAAUACACUAACCCAUUCUCAUCAAAGACUGUCCUAUGGGGAUCUCUUCCUCACAAAUUACUUUUGAAACAUGCAAUUUAGAAACUUGUUUAAACUACUUGAAGAUAUUUUUCUUUUGUGAACAGAAAACCAAUUUUUAUCGAAGAGAGAAGAAGGAAAGUUCGAUAAUGGGCAAAGUAAGACAUCCUAUUAAACCAAAAAUUCAAAAUACAAUGUAAACAAGAAGUUAAAAAUGCAGCAGCUUUGUCAAAUAUAUAUGCAUAUCCAAAAUGGAAAAAGCCAAUAAAAAGAAAUGGAUACAAACACAAGAGAGAAGCAAUAAACAAAAUCUAAUGUGAAGCCAAUUAAGGCUGCCCUGAGAAAAACCACAAUAUAAUUCAUUAUAUCCAACAGAUGAGAGAAUUACCAGGCUUGCCGGAUUCAAGUCUCUCUUUCCCAUGACUCCAACCAAUAUUAUAUCUACAAAUUCAUGGUGAAUAGAAGACGCAGAAGUCAUUAGCAAUAUGCUACUAUUAAAGGAUUUGGACAGAUGGAAAAAGAAAAUUGAAUACUUGGAUGAUGGAAUGAAGUGGAAGUGAAAAUAUAUUAGUAAGAAGUUUUAAAUUAAAAAAAAAAGUAAAAGGAAAAAAAGAAGAUAAGUUACCUACUGUUAGGAUCUUCAAGAUCAUCCUUCACUUCUUGAGGAAGAUUUGCCAAUCUGACAUAAGGAAAGGAAAAAUGUUAUCAACAAUAACAACUUGUGUUGCUAAUGUUCUAAUGUUAUCAAUAACUAAUGCACCAGGACUAUAAGUAGAAAUAGCAUAUCAAAACACCUACCUUGGUGCGAGAUGCAAAAGAUUUUUGCGCAACGAAGAAUAUCCUGGGACCUAUAAUUAGUUCCAAUUAAGUAAUUAUGAAAAUAAAAAUUGUAAUACAGCUCAAAAUAAACAUGAAUUUCCAGUUCUAAAGUUUUAUAACAUAUCUACAAUCACCACUUUUAGGAUAAGAUAGAGUUAAUGACAAGAAAUGGGCAGAGCCUAACCCUGUGUGUGCUGCCAUUUUUCACUACAGAAGCCAUUAUACUAACUAGCACAAGGUGUAAGUUCAAUCUGAGAAACUUUUCCCCUAAAAAAGAUCAUGUCUCAGCCUCAAUAUGAUUCCCGACUAUAUUUGACUUCACAAGGUAAAAUAAAGUAUAUUAUGUGUUUUGUAAGUUUGUGCUAUUACUUUGAGGUUGAACAAAAAUUGUGGGUCAUACAUUUGACUCUUUUCUUCAUAAUUUGAUAUAGGGGUGAACAUCAGUUACAGUCAAAUUCAGUCAGAAAAUCGUCCACCGAAAGCAAACCAAAGAGAACAAACGUGAACCCAUCUCCAUCCAGUCCGCUUAAUCAAUGGUUAGAGAAGACAACAUUUGCAGUCUUGAUGGGAGUGGGACAACUCAGCGCAUAUAUAAUACUGAACAAUGUGAGGCAACUGAAACUCUCUAAAUACUUGCAUUGAGCGUGUUCGAGCACCACUGAAUUUAAUUUUGGGCAACUGAGCCUGCCCGCCCUUUCUUAUGAAGCCAUCUUAAACCUUUUUUUUUCUCAUUUAGUACCCAAAACCUGCCUGAAACCAACCGCAUUACGAUUUUGACUUUCGGAUAACUUGGUUUUUGGGUGGGUCUUUAAUUUUGAUCUGCCCUUAGUUGGGUUAAGAUUCACAGACUUAAUUCAACUUUACAUGCAAACACCAACUAACUAACACAAUUAAACAUUAAACUUAUUCAACAGCAACUUAUCCAAUAAAUGAAUUCAAUCCUUAAACUCAUUGUUAUGAGAAAAUAAGAUACGCACUAUCAAUGCCAUCCAAUAGCAACAAUGUAUUCCUCCAAAUCACCCCACUUUAAUUAUAUGAUAUGGAGGAAUGUUUGAUUUCUAUUGGAUGUCAGUGUAAAAUUAGAUUACACUUAUAGACCAUAUUCCUUAAACUUUCAUCGGUAAUAAAUCGAACAAAAAUAAAAGACAAAAUAGGAUUACACACUGAUAGUGUAAAAUAAUUUUACACUAUCACCAAAUAGCAACUAUUGUAUUCUGUCAAGUCACCCCACGAUACACCACUUUGAUUAUAUGACAUUGCAGAAUGUUUGAUUACACCGUACGACUGACAGAGAAUAUCCAUUAAACUGAAAAUAAAAAAAUACAAAUGAAAUUAAAUAUUCACAUACAUCAGUGACAGAUAGAAUCCCUAAACCAUUAGGUCCAAACCCUUGUUCAAUCUUCAAUGACAAAUCAUGAUUCUUAUCCUGUCACAUUAAAAUUAAGAACAAUAUAAUCAAUAAUAAAAAACUAUAUAUAGUAAUAAUACAAAUAAAGUAUAUAUCCAUAGUCAAACAUCAAGCCAAUUAUAUAUCAGUAAGUAUUAAACAAAACAAAAAAUCAUUCAAACAAAUGAUCAAACAGAUGCAAGACGAAUCCAAUCGAGAGUUGAGAGUUGUUUUCACUAGAGAGAGAGAGAGAGUACUUGGAGGUGAGAGAAGGGAAUGGAAACAGUGGAGUAGGACAUGGUGAUUGUGUGGCGGGGAACGACUGCGUUUUGAGAAAGAGGGCGCGGGAAUGGAGACAAGAAGGUCAACAUGCCAAUGACUCCAUUUUAGUUUGAACUUCAAGACGGUAAGUCAAUACUAUAAAUUACUGAAGAAACUAUUUUCGAGUUAACGGGAUAUCUGCGCAACUACAAAGAUUAAUUACUCGAGUUUUGUGGGACAUAAAUGGAUGACAAGCUCUUCCCAAGAGUUUUAUGGAAAUAAUUGGCUAUUAUUAUGAGUACUGUUAUGGAAAAAAAAUUGGCUAUUGGACAAAAUUAUUAAUCAUCAUAAUACUAUUAAUAGAAAUAAAUAAUGAUAUUAUUAUCAUAAUUAUAAUUUAUUAUCAUACUUAAUUAUAAUUAAGUAUGAUGGCUGCUCAAUAAAUUGUUGCCAAAAAUCCUACUCACUCGUACAAUAUGGAUAAUCACCCCAACAAAAUAAGAAAAAAACAUGAAAGAGUAUCAUUAAACAUAGACCACUUGUGGUAUUUUUUGAGAUUGCGACUUAUACCAGCUUUGAUGUAAACAGAAUAGAGAUAUGGAAAUGGAAUAGCUUUAUGUGAUACAAAAGUAUCUUUAAUUUUACCAAAAAAAGUAUCUUUAACGAUUUAUUUAUUUUUCAAAUAAGUAGGUGGUUACUUGUAAAUAAUUGGAGUGUCCGGGAUUCGAACUCCAACUCUUACACACAUAUUAUAAUGUCACUGUCAAUUAAGUUAAGUCUAAGGGGACCAAUAAAAAAAAAUACAACUUUUGUAAAGAUAGUUUAUAAAAAAAAAAUAGCUUAUUAUAUUUUUAUUAGUUAGAACUUAUGAAUUAACAUAAAAACUUAGGUUAAAUUGCACUUUUAGUCUCCUGAGUUUCAGAAAGUUGCGAUUUUGGCCCCCUAUGUUUCAAAAUAGCACUUUUGACCCCUAACUUUAACCCUUUUUGCAAAAGGUUAAUUUUGAUCAAGUCAACACUGAUGUGACAAGUCACUUAAGUGGCUUAGUUGCCACAUCAAUUUUUUGUCACUUAUUAUUUGAAAAAAUAAAAAAUAAGAAAAGGAAGAGUAAAAGCAUAUUAACACUUUUGGAGCAUAAAAACUACCGUCGUAGAUCAUCUUCCUAUGCAAAACAAUCACUAGCAUUGAACUCAAGUGACUUGCUACAUCAGCAUUGACUUUGUUAAAAUUGAUCUUUUGCAAAACGGAGUAAAGAUAGGGGGCUAAAACUACUAUUUUGAAACAUAGGGGGUCAAAAUUGCAAGUUUCUAAAACAUAGAGGGCCAAAAGUACAAUUUAGCCAAAAACUUAUUUAUUUGCAUAAUUUAUUUUGUAUAAGCUCAAAAAUAAGUCAAUUUAAACGUAUCCAUAAUGCAAUGCCGCUAAAUUAAACUCACUUGAAACCUUUCUACUUUGUACUUAUUCCUUGGUUUGAUGUGAACCAAUUGUACUUAUUCCUUGGUUUGAUGUGAACCAAUUAUAUUAUAUUAUAGUUAGUUAAAUGAUGACACCUAUGCUUGGUUCCAUUUUUAAGUCGACCCAUAAUUUAUAGACCAAAAUUUACUUUCAACUCACUUUUUUAUGGAAAUGCAUCAAACAUAAAUUAUUUUACAUUCAGCUCAAUAUUUUAAGUUAGAUCAAUUUUAUAAAAUUAAUUUAUUGAAAAUAAUUUGUUACCACAGAACCAACAUGCAUGACAUUGUGACAUUGUGCACUAUUAGACUCUAUUUUAAUUCAUAAUAACCAUAACCAUAACCACACAUAACCAUAACCAUUAACCAAUUAUUACAACCAUAUUUUCAGCGCACUUCUCUUUUUAUGUUGUACGGCAUUCUUGAAGGAUCAAUUUAAAAGAAGAAGUGCGAUGAACAUAUGAUUGUAAUAAUUGGAAGAAAAAAAAUAUAAGGAGAAGUAUUACCAAGCAAUUCUAAGGUGAAGCAUUUCCAAGAUUGAUAAUUAAAAAGAUGACACACACACACAUAUGAGAAGGAAAAAAACUAAACACCUAAUGAUAUAAAAUGCAUAAACUAUCAUAAGUAACCAACCAUGUACUUUGUCAAAAAAGAAAAAACAUGUACUAUUUUUUUCAUGACUAGAAUCGAACUUGAUACUCCAGAGUUUACAAAUUACAACACUCGCACACAUUGCACACCAAUCAUUGUACUAAGGUUUAUUAUUACAGUAUAUGAAUAUUUAACACAAUGCAAGAUAAUCUAAAUUUUUGAGGUUUGCAAUAUCUCUGACUCUGAGGCAUUACACCUGAUAACUGUUUUUGUCUAUAAUAAUAUUGGAAAGUUCCCAACCCAGUCAAGCUAUUCUCAAAUCCUACAAUCUGUGUAGUGGCAAUUAUAUUCCCUAUGUUUGAUGGGAUUGUGCCAGCAAAAUUGUUGAAAUUGAAAGCAAUACUUAAAAGAGAAGUGCAGUUGAAUAUGCUAUCAGGAGGCCUACAAUCAAGUAUUCCAGUUUCUUAAUGCAGGAGAGAAUUUUAACAAUGAUUAAUUGAGUUAUAAGUUGAGUGCGACUGCUGAGAUCAAACGAUUCAAACAUGCCAAGCUGAAAAUUCUGUGCAAUUGUUCAACUUGCGUAUGUAACAAAAUUGAAUUUACAAGUCUAGGAAUUACUAUUUCCAGUUGAUUCAUCUAUAAGCCAUAAACUGAUUAGCACGCAUCUAACUACUUUAGAAGCAACAUUACGACGAAUUACUUCUUUUUAUGUAAUGUGUAUUAUAAAUAUAAGGAACCAUUCCAUUGAAAAACAUCAAAUAGCAAAGUUCAACAUAAAAUCUACAAUAUGUCAGUGUAUGCUCGAAUUUUCUGUUUGUAAGAACUUGCUAGGAUUACAAGUUGAUGGAGGAAUUGGAUAUUGAUAUUUGACACUACUAUAGAAAGAAAAGAUUUUCUGAAGUACAUUCACAUUUUAUAUUUAUAGGAAUGGAGAAACUUUCUCGUUUUACCAACCAACAUUGAGUAACUCAUUCCAAGUAAUUGGAUAAGCCGGACACCGGGAUCAAAGACUUUUCCUGCCUGCAAGUGACUGUUGCAAAUCAAUGAUAUGAUCCAAAUAAAAUCAUAAUUCGGACCAUUACCGAAAGAGCCUCCUCGGGACUGUUCUCUUAAAGGCUUUUCCUUCAAGCUUUAGUCGUCCAUGUGCUUCUCUCAAAUGACUUGGCCGGAUUGGCCCAGAUUCCCUCCUCUCUUCCAUAAUUAUUCUAGCUGCAAAGAUAGUAGCUUCGAUUAAUGGAAACAAUACAGCAACAUUAAUCACCUUGGAAACACUAUAUGCGCAGGAGUAUUUACAUUUUUCUAUUUCCAAUUUAUAUUAAAAGAAAGCAUGUCAAGCUUGUAAAGGAAAACUAAAAACAAACAUACCUGUUUCCACAACUUCACCCACAAACAUUUUUGUAAUCACUGAUACUGCAAGUGAAAUUAGCUCAGGGACUGUAUUGGUCCCAUUUAUACUUGCUACUAACUGCUUUGAGGCAAUCAAAAGAGAAGAGGCAACUGGUGAGCAAUCUUAUCAUACUAUAAUGUAAAUUAUUAGUGCAAACUGAAAUGUAAAAAUGGCAAUCUGCAAUCUCAAAAGAGUUUUGUGUAAGGAUUCGUGGCCUUAAAAUGUUGGCUUGUGUAACACCGACACAUUGAAGGCGUAUUUGGUGUUAACAUGUGUCAGUGUCCGACACCUGCACCAGACCGACACAUGUGACUACAUUGACUUUAUGUAUGAUAUUGGUGUUGACGUGUCAAUUUCCGUGUUUGAUGCUGACUACCCCGGGAGGCAACCAAGGUUUUAAAAAAUUUCUGUUACAGCAAAAAUGUCCGCGACAAAACAACCGAUACNNNNNNNNNNNNNNNNNNNNNNNNNNNNNNNNNNNNNNNNNNNNNNNNNNNNNNNNNNNNNNNNNNNNNNNNNNNNNNNNNNNNNNNNNNNNNNNNNNNNNNNNNNNNNNNNNNNNNNNNNNNNNNNNNNNNNNNNNNNNNNNNNNNNNNNNNNNNNNNNNNNNNNNNNNNNNNNNNNNNNNNNNNNNNNNNNNNNNNNNNNNNNNNNNNNNNNNNNNNNNNNNNNNNNNNNNNNNNNNNNNNNNNNNNNNNNNNNNNNNNNNNNNNNNNNNNNNNNNNNACCAAGGUUUUAAAAAAUUCUGUUACCGCAAAAAUGUCAGCGACAAAACAACCGAUACUGUUUUUUACCUUGUUUAAUUUAAAAGAAAUGCAUACCCGAGUCAUUUGAGCUUUCGUGAAUUUAGCCCUACGAAAGGACUCAUAUCUUCUCAUUUGUUGAUCAGUGAAUUGUGAAACAAUAGAACUGAGUAUUAACAAAAAAAGAAAUUAGGGUUUAUGAUAUGAUAUUGAAAAUCAUGACAUGAAAAGAAGAAAAGAAUGAAGAUCCUAGUAGUAAGUAACUGCAUCUUAGCAAUUUUGGGAGGAACAUCAGCAGGAAACAUGGCGAAAUAAAUGUCCAUAUCAUCUUUUUCUUCUUCUUGUUCAUCUUUAUUAUUCUUAGUGAUUAUGGUAGUCCUCGUGUUACUUAGUUGGGAAAUCAAGGAAUUGGAACUUGGGUCCUCUGUAUCUGAAUCGGUUUGAAUUGGGGAUUCCGGUGGUGAUUCGAAUGGAUCCUUUGAUUGCUUCAUUCUUUGAAAACGCAGAGAUAGAUAGAUUGAUUGAUUUUGUUGGAAAGUUAGAAGUGAAAGGGAAAUUCUUUGCUUGCUUAUAUAGGUUUGUGUAGUGGGUGGCUUAUUUAUAUAGCUGUCAAAUGGGCCUCGGAGGACCAGACUAAAUAAAUAGUCUAUAUUGAUCCAACUUAACUAUUAUCGACUACCCUCCCACUAUUUUAGUAACGGAUGUUAUAAAAAUGAAUUUUUUUGAAAAAUAUCGUAUGGACGUUAUAAAGGUAUGAUAUUUUUUGGAAUGUCCGCUACAUAAGUAUUUUGAUAUUUUGAAAACAAGACCUAACAAUAGUAUGACAACUAUCAUGUCACUACUAUAUAAGUUGUUUUUAAUUUAAAAUAUUAUAUAAAUAUAAUAAUUAAUCUAUAGUCUUAUAAAAAACUUCUUUAAAGUACAAACAUAUAAAUAGAAAAUUGAUUUUGGUGGGUUUGUUGGUUUUUUUUUUUAAAUUUUUUUUUACAAUGACAUCUUCUAAUUAUUAAUGACAUUAUUCUUCUUAUGUCAUCUUCUAAUAUAAACUUUGAGGUUNNNNNNNNNNNNNNNNNNNNNNNNNNNNNNNNNNNNNNNNNNNNNNNNNNNNNNNNNNNNNNNNNNNNNNNNNNNNNNNNNNNNNNNNNNNNNNNNNNNNNNNNNNNNNNNNNNNNNNNNNNNNNNNNNNNNNNNNNNNNNNNNNNNNNNNNNNNNNNNNNNNNNNNNNNNNNNNNNNNNNNNNNNNNNNNNNNNNNNNNNNNNNNNNNNNNNNNNNNNNNNNNNNNNNNNNNNNNNNNNNNNNNNNNNNNNNNNNNNNNNNNNNNNNAAGUUGUUUUUAAUUUAAAAUAGGCUUAGAUGCACUUUUGGUACCCCUAUUUUCAAAAAAAUGAAGUUUUGGUCCCCCUAUUUUAAAAACCAACUUUUUAGUCCCCUAUUUUCAUUUUUUUUGAGUUUUGAUCCCCCAUCCUAUUUUGGAGUUAAUUUUGUUGAUGUGGCCAUGUAACUAAUGAUGUGGCAACAUUUAUGUAGACAAAUUUAAUAUCCACGUCAUUAUUAUAUAUUUUUAAAUUCAAUAAAACUUUAUUUAUAAAAUAUUUUAAUUGUUAGAAUUAUAUAUUCAACUGAAAUAAUAAUUGUUAAAUCUUAUAAAAUAUGAAAUUUGAAACUCUAAUUAUCAAACCUUCAACUACUAGAAUUUUAUUCACCGUCGGAGAGAAUCCUUCCUUAUGGAUUUCACUAAUUUUAUAGUUUCCGUUCAAACUCAACAAUUUUUGGAUUUUUAAAAACGAAAAGAAAUUAGAGAUGAUUUUGUGUUUCAAUAGAAAUUACUCACACUCUUUAAACUAUCUAUGACUUUGGAUGAGUUUGAAUGAAAACCCAAAAAUUGUUUUAAGUUUGAAGUUUAAUUCUAGAUUGGUUUUAUAUAAAGUNNNNNNNNNNNNNNNNNNNNNNNNNNNNNNNNNNNNNNNNNNNNNNNNNNNNNNNNNNNNNNNNNNNAGUUUUAUUGAAUUAAAAACAAAUAAUGACAUGAAUAUUAAAUUUGUCCACGUGGACGCUGAUAUGCAUUAGUGACGAUGCCACAUCAACAAAAUUAACCCCAAAAUAGGAUGGGGGAUCAAAACUAAAAAAAAAUGAAAAUAGGGGGACUAAAAAGUUGGUUUUUAAAAUAGGGGGACCAAAACUUCAUUUUUUUGAAAAUAGAGGGACAAAAGUGCAUUUAAGCCUUUAAAAAAUUAUAUAAAUAUAAUAAUUAAUCUAUAGUCUUAUAAAAAACUUCUUUAAAGUACAAACAUAUAAAUAGAAAAUUGAUUUUGGUGGGUUUGUUGGUUUUUUUUAAAAAUUUUUUUUUUACAAUAUUAAAUCAUUAACAAUGACAUCUUCUAAUUAUUAAUGACAUUAUUUUUCUUAUGUCAUCUUCUAAUAUAAACUUUGAGGUUAAGUUUGUUAGGAGACAAGCGAAUUUGGUUGUUCAUACUCUUCCUAGGGCGGCCAAAGCUUGNNNNNNNNNNNNNNNNNNNNNNNNNNNNNNNNNNNNNNNNNNNNNNNNNNNNNNNNNNNNNNNNNNNNNNNNNNNNNNNNNNNNNNNNNNNNNNNNNNNNNNNNNNNNNNNNNNNNNNNNNNNNNNNNNNNNNNNNNNNNNNNNNUCGAUCUUAAUUUCUUUAUUUUCAUUCAUUUUUUCAUCAUCUGAUUAUUAUUAUGAGUUUAAUUGUUGUGCACCGUCGGUGUAAAUUAUUUUUACACAUACAUCCAAUGACGCAUUGCCACGUCAUAUAAUGAAUGUGACACAUCAUGUGUUUUUAAUGACCAUACAUGAUGUGUCAGUUUUUUAUUGGACGCAUGUGCAAAAUAACUUUACACCGACGGUGCAUAUAAAUUAAAUUCUAUUAUUAUUAUUAUUAUUAUUAUUGAUAAUCAUGAUUGUUAGGUCAAUGAAGAAAUUGAGGCUCAUAUUCAGAUCACACGCGAGAUCGAAAACAGUAUCGUCAAAUGCGAAGAGAUGGAGAGCCAUUUUGAGAUAAAGGAAGCUGAAUUGAUCAGAACCAGUGGCGUUUUGCAGUUCGAAACUGUUGGAUAUGUAACUGUCGCCGGUUAGAAUUAUUCCCUUCGCUCUAGCUCCCUUCAUUUCGAUAUAUCAGAUUAGAUGUAUUUGGUAGUAUCAUUGAUUGUUCUGAUCUGUUAAUUAAUCGGCGUGUUUAUAGAAAUAUUCGAUUAGUUUUAGAUCAGUUUUUCUGAUUAACAAUUGAAAUUCCUGAUUGAACAAUGAAUAAGUCCGUGUAAAUAAUUAUAUGCAUGUUGAACAGUACUGUGAACCAACAAUUAGAUCGGUUAAAUUAAUCAAUUAUUUUCUAAUUAGUGUUAAUUUCUUAGGUUUUAUUCUUGGGGUACCUAUUACUAGUGUGAAGCACUUUUCAUUUUAUAACAGAUUAAAACUUGAAUUCAAAAAUAUAAUAAUAACAAUAAUUUAAUAUGAAUGUGUAAAAAUUGUAGAUGUUAUUACUGAAAAUUUGUUUUUGCCAAUUUUUUGAAUAUUAAGAAGCAAACAGAUUUGCUUGGUUUUAAGAAAAGGGUAGGUGACUGCAAUUUCAGUGGGUAUAUCAAGAUUUUUGACGUCUUUACGAUUACGAUCGCGUAGUGAAUACACUUGAAGUUUAUUUAACAACUAUUCUAUGUAAUAUUGUCGAUUAUGUCGUGAUUGCGAUUUAAAACUUUGGCCGCGACAUAUUGCUUGAAAAGUUUCUUUUUUAAGGACACCAAGUUAGCUAGAUUGCACAUAUUCUUCUUCUUUAUUGAUAAAAAAUGAAUUAAUUGGACCACAUACCUACCUAGAUAUCAGUAUCAUUCCUUUACUUCUUAAUUUUUUUGGAUUGUAAGUCCUUCACUUCUUAUUGGACAUUAGAAUGAAAUAAAUAGGCAUUUUUUUAACUUGUCCUGUUUCCUUCAUAUAUGUAUUCGUGUUUAAGUUUUAUUACCAAUAAAUAGCAUAGGCUUUGGGGCUUUGCCCCUCUUUUGUACCAAAAAAAUAAAAAUAGCAUAGGCUUUUCUUUACUUUUUUUUCCUCUCUGUGACUUUUACCUUUACCUCUGUUAAGUUUAUAUUUUUUUUUAACAUUACUGUAUGUUUGAAAAUGUCUUCCUAUAUGUAUGUAUAUGUUUCUCUCAAGCCUUCCUAUAUGUAUAUGUUUUAUUACCAAUUUGGUUAGCAAAAUCUGAAAAUGUCUCAAAAUUUUGAUUUUGAAAUUAGUAUAUCCAGAAAACCUGGUUGAGGACUUGUGCGUCUAAUAUGUUCCCCGAUACAGAUCAGCCCCUACAAAACGUCGGUGAACCAUUUGUAGUCUGUACACUUGUAACAUGGUUAUAAAAAAGAAAUUCUGAACCUACCUUAUUGAACAAUUAAUUGUUUGGUAGCCAUUUUUAUUGUUUCUGUUUUCCUAGGGUGCUGUAUUAAUUUUUCCUCCUUCAUUUUAUAGCUGAUUUCAGGGCAUCAGUGAAUACUUUGGAGAAAGAGAUAUGCUGUCUAAAAAUCAAGCGGGAUGAAAUGGUUAAUAGAAUGGACGAAAAACGGUACUGAAAGAUUUUUUAUUAUCCGUAGAUAUAUGUAGUUAUUGAAGUCUAUUUUGUUUUGGACUUCACUACAAGUUAAAAUUUGCAAAUGCUAAUUAUUAUUUGGGCUCCAUCACAGCUAAAAAGAAAACAAUACUGUACUGUGAGAAGAAAUAUCAAUUUUGAACUUUUUGUUUGGAUUGAAAUUUGCCAUAUCAUAUAGUAUAGUUUAUGCAUUAUGUUAUAGUACUUCCAAAAAUUGGGAUGACAGAAACUUUAACUGGGCAUUCACAUGUGGUAUGGAUGUAUAUCUACAAUUAAUAUAAGAUCUAGUAAUAUAGUCUGAGAAUAUCUUCUAAGAACCUAUAGCCUAUGCACGGACCCAGACACGAAUACCGGACACGACACGGACACUGACACGUCGACACCAAUAAUAGUUUGAGAAAAUGACAUAAUUCAAUGUAAGCAUAAGUGUCGGUGUCGUGUUUGUGUCCGACACUGAUGCAUGUCGGACACCGAGAUAUGCUGAAUCUGAGUAGUGUCCGUGCUUCAUAGUAUAGCCGACUAAAUAGCAUGAAUUAAUGUGCCCUUGUGUAACAUUGCAAUGUUGCAUCUUAAUUUGAUGACCAAUUGAUUUGUUUCCAUGCAGGGAAGAAUUUACAGCACACUGCCUAGAAUUUCAAAGAGAAAUUGACAAUAAAGAAAAUUGUAAAGUGAGGACUUUGUUGUCCGAGAAAUAUUCACUUGAAAAUGAAAUUCAACUUUUGGAUGAGAAGAAUUCUGUUUUGAAAAAUUCAGUAUUGGCAUUUGUAGAGGAAAUUCUUGAAGAUCUUCAUAAUUCAAACUCAGGUAAUAAUCUGUACAUAUUUAUACAAGGAAGUAAGUUUUUCAUGCUAAGUGUUGGUUUAUAUUAUUGAUUUGAUCCACCAAACCAAACUAAUUGUAUGUUUGGUAUCACGAGUAUGCCAAAAUCGCGGUGACUCAUCGUGAUUUUGGAGAAGCUACAGUGUGUAGCUUUUAGGAAAUCACAGUGGAUUACCGUGAUUCUGAGGUAUCCACCACGAUACCAAACAUAGGCUAAGAAUUAACAUAUUAUUAUAGGGAUUAAAGUUAAUGCUGUAGCCUAACUUUUCCUAUCUGCAGCAUUAGAAGUUGAGAUCCAGAGCAAGAAGUGGGAGAAUGAGAUAUUACUUAAAGAUAUCAAUGAACUAAAGAUUACACUGUUUUCAGCAAUUGGGACCAGUGAUAAUCUACUGUAAAUUCCUUUCUUUAAACAAAUUCCUUUCCAAAUUUGGUCAUUAAUUAAGAUUGAAAGUUAUUUGAAAAUGAUGCUAGAAAAAACCAAGCAGUGAUCAGUGUGUUGUAGUUCUCAUGUUCUGGUAAAGUUGUAAGAUUGACAAAAAAUGAAAGAGAGGUAGUCCUUUUGGUUGAUGACUAAUUAGCAUAGUUGUAAAUAUUUAGCAUAGUUAUAAAUAUCAUAUCAUGUGUCAUAUUCAUCCCUGUGAAAUUAAAUUUGACCAGUUCCGUAGUACAUGAAGAAUCGUGACUAGCUAGUAAAUGUUGGUUUCACAAAGUCCCAGGUGCAAGCCAAAGGAAAGGCAAAGCAUAGGAAAAAUUACAUUAAGAAACUUUUAAGGCUAUAUUUGGCAAACAAUAUUGGAUAGCUGACAAACUAACUUAUAACAGAUGAACUUAUCCNNNNNNNNNNNNNNNNNNNNNNNNNNNNNNNNNNNNNNNNNNNNNNNNNNNNNNNCAAAAAAAAAAAAAAAAGAUGAACUUCAAAAUAUAAAUUACAUCCUCAAUUCAUAAAAAUAACAUUUAAAUUAAUUUGUCAACGAAGAUCUAAUUAGCAAUGAUUGGUUANNNNNNNNNNNNNNNNNNNNNNNNNNNNNNNNNNNNNNNNNNNNNNNNNNNNNNNNNNNNNNNNNNNNNNNNNNNNNNNNNNNNNNNNNNNNNNNNNNNNNNNNNNNNNNNNNNNNNNNNNNNNNNNNNNNNNNNNNNNNNNNNNNNNNNNNNNNNNNNNNNNNNNNNNNNNNNNNNNNNNNNUCAUAAAAAUAACAUUUAAAUUAUAUCACGAUGAUUGUUACAACAUCUAAGAUUGUGACCUCGUUAUUGUUAAUUUGUCAACGAAGAUCUAAUUAGCAAUGAUUGGUUAAACAUUAUUUAUAGUAUAAUAUUUGUGAUUAUGUACACAAAUUUGUAAUAGAAAUGGACCAAAAACAGAAAUUGGUUCAACAGUUUAAGCAAUUUUAAAGAUUAAUCGAUUCAAAUAGAUCUUGCCAACUUCCAAAACAAGUCUGCUAUAGUCUUUCUUGUUCUAUUGUUCAUAAUUGUGAUACUGACAUAUUUAACUUCUAAUAGGAUUUUACAAAGAUAGAUAUCUCACAUUUUACAUGUCAAUUUUAUAAGAUCAAUACCAAAAACUUAUGGUUUUCAUUGGAUGAAGGAGCUUGCUGGUUGCAUAUACUGUUGCUACAUUGUUCCACAGGUGUAAAGAACUGCAACUGGGUCCCUAAGAAAAAGUUAAGUUUUUCUAGUCAAUAAUUGCUACUAAAUUUUCUCUUCUUCGUGGAAGUAUAUGUGAAUAAGAAUGAGCAUUCCAAUCCAAGCAACAAGCUCUUUUGAGAUGAUGCAGCUUUGGUUACACAGUUGAUGAUUCAGAGACUAGGCUGUCUCACAUGUGUGGCCACUGGUCAUAUAGAUUAUGGUCAGUCAAACUACAGCUAUACUUAAUUUCAUUUGCUUAUUUUGAAUAUGUACUAUGAUAUAAACGACAAACAAGGAACUGAAGGGAAGUGUUUUAACAUCGUUCGUACCUAUAAAAAGGCUCUCUCAUUUCAUUUUCUAAUUCUCAAUGGGACAAAAGUGCUCAUUUUUGGUAGGGGUCUUGCUUCGUUACUUCCACAAUCUUUCUUAUUGCCACUAUACGCAAUAUAUGUAGUGUCACUAUCCAUUCCAGUUUGGGAGGACCCAUAUAAUGUACGGUUUCUUGCAUUGCUUCGUCUUCGGUUUAAUAUAGACCAGUACCAACCAAUUGGUUGAUGUAUAUAAAUGAAUUCAUUCAUUCAUCAAAAUCAUUAUAUGGAUAUUUGGCUGUCUUUGAUGCUAAUUAGGGAUGUUAAUUUGAUCUGUAAAGGUGAUUCUUGUGAGAAUUGUCCUGUUUGAGGAUCUGAAUAGGGAGAAUUUUUCUUCAUCCCCUGAGAGAGGUUUGGGGAUGGGGCUAGAAUUUUACCGCCAGCCUCGCGGAGACUCCAUCCCCAAACACUUUAUUAAAAUAACAUUUAUAAAUGUAUAUUUAAUUACUUUAUAUAUUACUAGUUGGUCAGACACGUUCCGCACCUGUGUUUAACUUAUGUAAAAACAAGGACAUGUCUUAUGAUGAGUUUGUUAAUAAAAGAUUUUUGCCACUAAAAAAUAAAAAUGUGCCUUAUGUUAUGGUGAAUUUGUUAAUAAAAUGUUUUUAUUGCUAAAAAAAAUAAGGGUAUUGUUGGUAUUAUUUGACCCCAAAAAUAUUUGUAUCCUAUAAAUGUAGUAUUAAGUUGGUAACCGUUCAUGUAUAGGCAACCCAUUUGCCACUUAUUCACAUUUUUAUGAUUUGAUUUUUUUUAUAAAAAAUAACCAUUAUUUAAUAGAAGUUGUGAAACUAAGUCAAGGGUAAAAUAGGUAUAAUAAAAAAUUCAUCCCAAACUUAUGUAUCCUUUUUAUAGAUUAGUAUAGAUUUUUAAUUAUAUUUAAUAUGUGUAUAUUAUUUUUAAUUAUAUUUUCAUACAAUGUGUAUAAAUUUGUUUUUACGUGGUGUUUAUUAUUGUCACAAGACUCACAAUAAUGUUAUAAUUUUUGUAUUUGUUUUAUGAUUAAACUUUGUUAUUUCUUUUACGACUAGUGGGGAUCCACAUAUAUGGGGAUGAGGGGAAAAUUCUCUCCAAAGCGAAAAAUGAGAAACAUUUUAGAUGGUGGAGAAUAAAGUGGAAAAAUACUCCCUGUUCAAUCUUCAUUCCGUCGACAUCCCUAAUGUUAUUAAACUCGUUUGGACGGGGCAAUGUCCAUUUUCACUGUGGAUCGAGUAUUCGACGUUAUGGCAGAUAAUAACACACACAUCCUAAAAACAUACCGGAGCAAGAUUGAGGGAUUUGCUACGACGGUUGGAUUAAGGACCUAGACAACUUCAUACACUUUGCCACAAGGACAACUAUCUAGGAGAAGGUUUGAGAUUGGGGAACCUAGUCAAUCAAACUAAUGAACAACAAGACUAACAUAUAUAAAAAAAAUAAAAAAUCCGAACGCCUUGAUGAUAGGAGAAUUUGGUUGUGUAUAUCAAAUGACUUAUAAGUCUCAUAUUGAAUGUAACUUAAAACUCUAAAUGUUAACAUAUAAGAGUUCGUAAAAUAACAUAAGUGAAAAGACUUAUAUAUAUACUUUCGGAAGUCCUAAUAGUGGUAUUAGGGUCCAGUUUAAAUUUAACUUGACGGGGGAGGAUCAGUUUUUGGUGUUCAGUCAAAGGCACAGAGAAUCUCACACUUAAUGAAGAAAAUGCUAAUAUAUGAAGUAUGAAUCUAUUAUUAAUAUAUUAAAAUCGAUUACCACCAAAGUUACUAAUUUAUCCUUAUUUUAAGUUUUAUAUUCUUCAUUGUAAUUUCACUUAAAAUAAAUUUUUUCAAAAAUGUAUAUAAAGAAUAUAAGAUAAAUAAAAAAAAUGAUAUACUUAAAAAUAGAAACAAAAUAGAUUAUAGAUUAGAACAAAACAGAACAAUCUAUACUCAUAAAAAUAGCAACAAAACAAAUUAAUACGAUCAACUCAAUAAUCUAUUAAAAGAAAAAAGAGAAUAAAAUAGUAAAUAAAAAAAUUAUAGAAUAAAUAAGAUGAAUGUUCAUAAAAUUAGGAAAAUAGAAACAUAAAAAAUAUUAGUAAUAAUAAUAAUACAAUAAAGUUAAUUACUAAAAAAUUUAUUAAAUUAUCCUAAAUAUUUCUAAUCAAAUUUCUAACUUUUUAUUAAAAAAUAUACACGGGACUAUUAUUUGUGACAGAUAAAUAAAAAAUUAGAUAAUUUAUCAUUGAUAAUUAUAAUAAAAAAUAGCACAAUAGUUUAACUUAUAUUUUAACAAUAUUAAUAUAACAAAUUUUUAAAUAUUUUAUCCUAAAUAAAUUUUCUACCAUGAUAUAAUGACAAACUUAAAUAUCGAAUAAAAGUCAAUGACUCAUGCGAAUGCACGGAUCUUUAAACUAGUUACCAAUAUAUCUAAUACGUUAAAAAUUUUGAUUUUGGAGAAAAUGUGGUGUUCAACCUAUUGUAAAUAGAAAUAAGGGAGAAUGAGGUUUUGAUUGAAAAUAGAUGCAACACAAGAACAUAGACAUUGAGAUCACAAUAGGUAGAGUUUCAUAUUACCGUUUAUUCUUAUUCAGAGGUCAAUUCUGACAUCAAGUAAUUUCAAGCAUCUCCGUCUAUUUUUACUAUACAUGUUUGACAAAACUGAUUGCAAGUGAACAUACACAUGUCUAUGAAUAAAAGUACUCAUGUCAAUUAUUACAUAUUAUCAUGAAAUAAAUUGACUUCUUCUUUUUUUUUUUUUCAUAAUUGACUCGUUUUAUAUUACAUUCCACAUAUAUAUUGAUAUUGUUGUGGCUUUGUCUAAGGAAGGUCUUGCAUGAUAUAAAUCGCUUAUUGUGGUAAGUGAUAACGCACGCACGUCAUUGCCACUGGCUAUGAAUGGAUUCGAAUACAGGAGAAGGAAAAUAACAAGAAGCUCCUUCACAGCCAAGAAAAGUUGUGUGUGGUUUAAAAUUUUGAAAUGCAACAUACAAACAACAACAAAUAAGCUGUCUUCCAUUUUAGAUCCUAUUGGCUAGGGAUGAUAAAUAGACCAACUAAGGAUAUAUAUUAUUGAUUUUUUUUUUAUCUAAAAAAGGGCUAAAAUUAUGGAACUAAAAUGUGACNNNNNNNNNNNNNNNNAUUAUUAUUUUUUAUUUUUUAUUAUAUAUAUAUAUAUAUAUAUAUAUAUAUAUAUAUAUAUAAAGGUCGGGAGUUAAAAUAUAAAAUUUAGUUCUAGCUACUUUACUAUUUGUUAAUAUAUACUCCAUUCGGCCAUAUUUAUAAGAAAAAAACUUCUUCUUUGAUUCAUUUAAUAGUCUGUAAGUCUAGUUUACAUUAUAGAUCAGACACAUCAACUAUUCAAAUGAAUCUAAAAAAAAUGGAUUUUUGCUUAAUUAUUUGAAUAAAUUAACAUUAUUUUUAUUUUUUUUUUGCUUUCACCACCAGUUGUAUCUGGUUCGGGGGUCGGUUGAUUAUUUGAAUAAAUUAACAUUAUUAUCUUAUAUAAAUAUUCAUCUAGAAAUUGUAUUGAGUGUUCAAAAUACUCUCUGGUUUUUAAAUUAUGAAUAGAACAAGUCAAGAAAGACUACCAGACUUGUUUUUGGAAGUUGGCGAGAUCUAUUGAACCAUUAAUAUUAUCAAAUUCUAUAUAAGUUUGAUAAUUAAAUAUUUAAAUUUGGAACCACUUGUAGGUUAGUAUUGAAAUUGAAUUGUUAGUAGAGUUCUCUAUAUAUAUUGCAAUUGCAAUUUCUCAUACAGGUAGGGUUUCACUUGAUCUCUUGUCUCCUGUUUUUUAAAAUUUAUAAAACACUUGUCCCCCAUUAACAUACGCAGCUGGUCAGUUCUUGUAUCUUAAAUAUGUCAANNNNNNNNNNNNNNNNNNNNNNNNNNNNNNNNNNNNNNNNNNNNNNNNNNNNNNNNNNNNNNNNNNNNNNNNNNNNNNNNNNNNNNNNNNNNNNNNNNNNNNNNNNNNNNNNNNNNNNNNNNNNNNNNNNNNNNNNNNNNNNNNNNNNNNNNNNNNNNNNNNNNNNNNNNNNNNNNNNNNNNNNNNNNNNNNNNNNNNNNNNNNNNNNNNNNNNNNNNNNNNNNNNNNNNNNNNNNNNNNNNNNNNNNNNNNNNNNNNNNNNNNNNNNNNNNNNNNNNNNNNNNNNNNNNNNNNNNNNNNNNNNNNNNNNNNNNNNNNNNNNNNNNNNNNNNNNNNNNNNNNNNNNNNNNNNNNNNNNNNNNNNNNNNNNNNNNNNNNNNNNNNNNNNNNNNNNNNNNNNNNNNNNNNNNNNNNNNNNNNNNNNNNNNNNNNNNNNNNNNNNNNNNNNNNNNNNNNNNNNNNNNNNNNNNNNNNNNNNNNNNNNNNNNNNNNNNNNNNNNNNNNNNNNNNNNNNNNNNNNNNNNNNNNNNNNNNNNNNNNNNNNNNNNNNNNNNNNNNNNNNNNNNNNNNNNNNNNNNNNNNNNNNNNNNNNNNNNNNNNNNNNNNNNNNNNNNNNNNNNNNNNNNNNNNNNNNNNNNNNNNNNNNNNNNNNNNNNNNNNNNNNNNNNNNNNNNNNNNNNNNNNNNNNNNNNNNNNNNNNNNNNNNNNNNNNNNNNNNNNNNNNNNNNNNNNNNNNNNNNNNNNNNNNNNNNNNNNNNNNNNNNNNNNNNNNNNNNNNNNNNNNNNNNNNNNNNNNNNNNNNNNNNNNNNNNNNNNNNNNNNNNNNNNNNNNNNNNNNNNNNNNNNNNNNNNNNNNNNNNNNNNNNNNNNNNNNNNNNNNNNNNNNNNNNNNNNNNNNNNNNNNNNNNNNNNNNNNNNNNNNNNNNNNNNNNNNNNNNAAAAUAUAAAAUUUUCCACUUAUUUACCAUAAAGUUCUAGCUACUUUACUAUUUGUUAAUAUAUACUCCAUUCGACCAUAUUUAUAAGAAAAAAAUUUCUUAGAUUCAUUUAAUAGCUGUAGGUCUAGUUUACAUUAUACAUCAGACACAUCAAUUAUUCAAAUGAAUCUAAAAAAAUGAAUUUUUGCUUAAUUAUAGGCCAGAGGAGAGUGUGUGUAUCUAUAUAUAUAUAUAUAUAUAUAUAGCCAUGUAACUCAUCAAAAGUUCAAUCAUGAAAAAAUUUGAUUAUUUGAAUAAAUUAACAUCAAUUAUUUAAAUAAAUCUAAAAAUGAAUUUUUGCUUAAUUAUAGGCCAGAGGGAGUGUGUGUGUAUAUAUAGUCAUGUAACUCAUCAAAAGUCCAAUCAUGAAAGAAUUUGAUUAUUUGAAUAAAUUAACAAUAUUAUCUUAUAUUUGUAUUAAUUGAAUGGAUCCAAAUAUUCAUCUAGAAAUUGUAUUGAGUGUUCAAAAUACCCUCUGGUUUUUAAAUUAUCAAUUAUGAAUAGAACAAGUCAAGAAAGACUACCAGACUUGUUUUUGGAAGUUGGCGAGAUCUAUUUGAAACCAUUAAUAUUAUCAAAUUCUAUAUAAGUUGGAGUAUAUUGCAAUUGCAAUUGCAAUUUCUCAUACAGGUAGGGUUUCACUUGAUCUCUUGUCUCCUGUUUUUUAAAAUUUAUAAAACACUUGUCCCCCAUUAACAUACGCAGCUGGUCAGUUCUUGUAUCUUAAAUAUGUCAAAUAAUUAAAAUGGGGCCACAUAUCUAGAAUGAACUAAUAUAUUCUAUUGAUUGCUGAACAAAAUUAGAGUUAAACAAGUUUUUAAUUUUAUAAAAUUAUCAAAUUUUAUUUUGAUUCUUAUAAAAUAAAGUUGCAUAUUUUAGUCCAUAUAAAAUUAUUAUGCUUGCAGUUUUAAUUUAAUUUAAUUUUUAAGUCAACAUUUUUGUUGCUUUUAUGUUUUGAAAUUUUAACUCUAAAAGUUAUUAUAAAAUAAUUGAUCAUCCUCUAUAUUCCUAGGGUUUCCUAUAUAUAUAUAUAUNNNNNNNNNNNNNNNNNNNNNNNNNNNNNNNNNNNNNNNNNNNNNNNNNNNNGGUAUUUUCCUUGGCGAGAAUAGCCCAAGGGCGUUGUGAGAGCAGUUAACUCUGCUAUCCAUUAAUGAGGCGUCCCAUGUGGCAUAUUAUUUAGGUCUUACCUUCUUUCAAUGACUGAGUUUAUCGUUAUCUUUAGGUUUCUAUCCGUUAUGUGAUGUUCCGGUCAAACCCUCUAAGCAUGAUGAGCCUUUAAUUGUGAUAUUGUGGGCGAGCUAAGCCCAUAUAUUUUGGACGGAUGAGACCCAUAUAAUAAAGGGUGAAUCCCAUAUAAUUUUUUGGGAUUCGUCCGAUACAUUAUGUAAAAGUGAUCUUAACUAUCCAUUUUAAAUCGGACAAUUCCGAUCUGUUACAGCGUGUAAUAGCGGGAAAUCCAAAUCCCAAAUAAAUCAUGAAGCAAAACCACAAAAGUUAAGUCAGCAUGUAACAAAGACCAUAAAAUAGGAAUUAUCUCGUCCUCUAAAGUAGUACUACACAUUUGAGAUAAGAUUGAAAGCCCUAACAUAUCCUUGUUGAAAAGUAAUAAUAUGAAUUUAUAAAAAAAAUAUAAAGUUACAAAAAACAAAAAACAAAAAGAAGAGAUAGAGACAUAGAGUAGUGCAUUGUAUGGUUUUAAACAUUCCUUUCUUUUAUAUUAUUGUAGCUUGCCAGAAGUGUUGGGACCCAAAGUGUAUCUCUUUGGUAACAUAAUUGGGACAUCUCAUAUGAUCCACCACAAACCCCACGUUUGGUUUCUGCUUUAGAGACCAAGGAAAGCCAAGAGCAUAGGACCACCACAAACCCUUUUUUAUUUUUAUUUUAUAACUUUAUUAUUUAAUCAUCACUUCAUGUUGAAACUUUAUAUUUCAUACAAUUAAAUCACCCCAAAAAAGUUAUAUACUUAGAAAGCAUAAAGAGAGAACAUAAAUGCUAUAUAAAGUACACAACAUGGAGAAAAAAGGAAACAAGCAAAAUUCUAAGUUGAUACAUGCAAAUGAGAAGAUGAAGAUAGAAAGUGAGAAUACUAGAGUGUCUAAAGGAAGGCUUGUGGGAAAAAGAAUUAGUGCUCUUCUUAAAGAAGGUAGAGGAAGAUUUUAUAUAGUUAGAAGAUGUGUUAUAAUGCUUAUUUGCUCUUAAGAUUAAUAUUAGUAAGUAUUUAUUUAGAAGUUUUGUUCAUAUUAUAUAUGGCACUAUUGUAUAUUAAUUUUGCUUUCUUCAAAAAAGAAGAGAAGUUGUUAUAUAUAUAUAUAUAAUAUAGUUGAAAUAAAAACAUGAGUUGUGCAAGUAUUUAUUCAUCUUCUCUCUAUAACCUUUAUCAAUGGUGACAUUUCGUUUUGAGGAGGAAACUUAUAAUAAAACAAUGUGAAUAUAUAUGUAUUGUGCAUUUGUGUUCAUUAACAUGAAAAAUUAAUAAUGACCAACUCAAUCUAGUGUCGGAAGUAUUAUCUCUCACAAACUUAAUUAGUCUUUUAAAUAGUAUAUGAUUAAAUAUGUUUUUAAUUAGUCCUUAUAAUUAAAUCACGAGCUUUUGAGUUUAGUUCUUAAAAAAAAGUUAUUCACUGUUAAUUCUUAUUUGGAUUUUAUAUAAAGUGACUAAUUUAACUUAUUUAAGGACUAAAAGUAUCCCAUUUUUUUAAAAUGUUUUUAAAAUAGGGGCUAUUUUUAUAAACUACUAAUAUUAUGAAGAAUUAAAAUUAUCAUUAAAAUUUAAUAGGGACUAAACUUAAAAGAACAUGAUUUUAAGAGUACUAAAAAUAUAUUUAACAUUUAAAUAUAUAAAAGUAAUUGAAUAUGAAAUCAUUUUCUGUUUUCAUAAAAACAUUAUUUUAAUUCCUAAAACAUACGAAAAUUCAUCAUAUUAAUCCUUAGCAUGUUAACAACAUAGACGGGACUAUUUAGAUAAGCAGCUUCUUUGCAAUUUAUAUAGAUACUGUUUGACAUAACUUUUUUCCCUCUUAUUUUAUCUUAAAAAUAAGAAGCUAGACCAAACAACAACUUUUAAAAGCUCUAUUAAGAAAAAAAAUAACAACAGCUUCUAUAUUUUAAAAAAAAAUUAUAAUAUAUUAUCAAACAUGUCUUUUAACCAUAUAAUAAUAAUAAAAAAAAAAAACUUUUAACCUUUUUUUUAUACAAAAAGUAAGAUUUACCAAAUAACUUUAAUUUUUUAAACUAUUAUUUCUAGUUUUAUGAUUAAAAUAGCUUUUACACAAAAAAAAAAAAAAAAUUGGGUCAAAUGGUACCAUAGUACAAGUGUUUGUCAUGAUAAAUGCUUAUAUAUAAGCUUACAUAUAAGCUAUUUUUAUAGAAGAAUAAAGAUAACUUUUUUUUUAAUAUAUAUAUAUGCCACGGAUUAUUUUCAUAAGCUAUAACUAAGAACUUAUGAAAAUAAGCUGAAAAAAAAGUAAGAAAAUUUGUCAUAAAUUAUUUUUUUUUAAGUUCUCUCAAAUAGGUACUGUUUGGCAGACUUAUUUUCCACUUUUUUAUUCUUUUAAGUAGAAGGUAGGCCUAACACAAUAUAAAUUAAGUACUUAAUAAAAUUAAGAACUUAUUUUGAAAUGAAAAAUAUUGAAUAGAAGGAGCUUUGACCAAAAGUUGUUGAAAUGAACUCUCAAAAUUUAUAUCAGUAGAUAUAAACUCAAAUAAAUCAAUUCAAACAGAAAAUAAAAUUUCUAGUCCGAUCAAUUAUAGUGUUUAUUUAUAUUAUAAAUGACUAUACAAACUUUGUGUUGGGGGCAUGAGUCAUCUAUUCGAGUGAUUUCAAAUAUAUGGGUGUGUUUGUUUUAGUUUUAAAAAAAAUAUGUUUUUUUGUUUGUAUUUUAAGAAAUGAUUUUUAUGAUAUAUACACUUUGCAUGGAUAAUAUUGAUUUACAAAGAAUUAAAAAUAUUAUCUUAAAAAUUGUGCAUUCAAUUUUUUUAAAAGUUUAAAAAUAGUUUUUAUCUAUUCACAAAUUUCAGUUUAACUAACAAAAAAAUGCCGAAAUUGUUAGGUCGGACGUUAUGAUCGGGGUUCGAACUCUGACUCUCUUACUUCUAUGUGAGUUUAUAAUGGCUUUGUCAUUUCGUCUAUGUUAAAAAUAAAAAUUAUCAAUACAAAAUUUAGCACCAUCUUACAAAUUUAGGGCAAAAAAUGGACAAUGAGUGGGUGAUUUGGUGAGCUUGUUUUAAAUUUCUUUUAUUUCAAAUAUCUUGUGUUUUUAUUUUUGUAUUAAUUUUAAAUAAUAUUUAUAAUUUAGAUAGAGUCGAUUAUAAAUUUAGAACUCGUCAAUUUAAAUUGGCCUAUUUUUCUAUAAUAAGUAAAUAAUAUUGUCUCUCAAUUUACACAAUUUCCUUAUAAGAUUUCAGUUUAAAAAGUUUCUUGGCCAGAACUUGAUUUUACAUAAAUUAUAUAUAAUUAUUGAUACUAUAUCUUUAAAAUUAAAGGUACCGUAAAACCCAUGAAACACUUGUGAAUUCAAUAGGAGAGGAUGACGUCCCGUAACUCUCUAAGUACAACUUAAUUGGUAACUGCACGACGUUAUGUAAGGUUCUGUCUUAUAUAAGGUUCCCUCUGAUAAAAAUAAAUCUAUCAGAGAGAGAUGAAGAGAGAUGAUGAAUAAUACUGAGGAAAUCUGUACAAAAAUAGCUAAUUAUUUAUAAUUAACUAUAUUUAUUUUAUUUAUAAUUAAUAGUAAUAUAAUAUGUUCUACCAACUCACCCAUAUAUUUUGUUUAACAAAAAUGUGAUUGAUUAAAGCCAUUAGGUUUGGUCUGGUGAGAAGUUUAUGUAGUACGUUAUAGGUCCUGGGUUCGAUUCUCAGCUCUUUGUAAACAAAAAAAAAAAAAGUUAUUGAUUAACCACUCUACAUGUCCUGUGCAGUAUUUCUUCCCCAAUAUAGUGGAACUGGUUCUAUAAUAUAUAAGAUAAGAAUGAUGUUAUUUGAUUGAUCCAAACAAGUUCUUGCUUAAGCUUAUAAAAUCGAUUAAUGUUAAAGAGGCCAUAGUUCUUCAUUUUUGCCAUAACCCUUGAAUUCUUUAAAGUUGAAACAGAGAGUAACACUGCUUCUGCUCAAAAGCAACACAGUUUUUCCCCAGUGAACUAUACCAAACAAGCCCCAAACGAAGAUUUAAAUACUGUAUUAUUGCAAUUAUGCAUGAAGCCAGCCAUUGUUGUAUCACUCUGUCUCUAACUAUGAACAUUAUCAGCGACUCAGCAUGUAUAAAAAAUACACAUGCAAGAAUAUUACAUUAACUGGUAUACAUUAUUGAACAAAGCCAACAAAUAUUUAUGAAAUGUUACAUUGCUAAUCCAAAAUUUCAUAUUACAGAGUAAUUGUACUCGUCGUCCAUAACAAUUGUAUAACAAACUCCUACUGGGAUGCUUUAAUCAGAAACAAGUAUAUGUAAAUAAUUUGUUUGUUUGUUUUUGUUCCUCAUUGAAUGAUGACUCCUGGGCAAUAAAUAGAAGAGGGCCCAUGAAGAGUGAGCCAAGGCUAGGUUCAUGAGAUUAUUCAUUAUUAAUAUAAAGCUAUUCUUUCUUCACUUACUUUCAUCCAAAGUACCCACAAGGCAUUUCUCCAAUAAGAAUUCAGCAUUAACCCAAGCAUGGUAUUUAUCUGACAAAGGGGGUUAAGGAAAAGGUUGCAAGAAAUCAUUCAAGAACAUAAACUAUAAGCCUGGGAAACCUAGACAAAAACUGAAUCAUAGACAUAUUGCAGGUGCAUGAGCAAGAAAACAGGAAUAACUAGCGUUAAAUAGGAAUAAUCAAUAUAGUCAUCCACUGCAAGUACUUUGAAACCAAUUUAGAUUUGAUUUGUGUUGGUCAUCAUAUGCAUAAAAGACUCUGGAAUCUUAUAAAUAGGAUUCCAAGCAUUCGGGAAACUAAGAUCUCCAUCUCCUCUUACUAAACACCUCUUUAGUAGGCACAUUUAUCUUGAAAUGUGCAAAUUUCAACUCCAAUUUCUAAGUAAUGUAAAAUUGGGUCGUAAUUUCAAUUCCUCGUAUGGAACAUAAGUGUACAUUUGGAUGAGUGGUGAGUUAGGCAAAAUCUUAGUGACACCAUGAUUUUGUUGAAGCUUCAAAGUGUAGCUUCUAUCUAAAUCGUGGUGGCUCAUUGUGAUUCUACCAUUCUCACCGUGAAUCCAAACACGAACUAAGACAUGCUAAAACAUGUUAGAAGCAUUUAUCAAGCUUAACUAGCACAUCAAAUGCAAUGCAUACAGAGACAACUGUUCGAAGAGAUUGACAUAUGGAUGAGUGAAGCAACUAAAAGCUAUAAAUUCAAUGGUAACAUUAAAUUAACAGAAACAGAGAAAUCAAGUAAGUUCGCAAACUUAAAUAAUACAGUAGAGAAAUAACAAAAAGGAUACUGAAUAGAGAUGUGCAAUCUUUUCCCACUGUCUUCAUCAACAUAUCAACACCUGAUUUUCCCCAACAGGAAAUGCAUAUGACAAAUUUUAAUGAAACCAGUAACAAGAAUAAUGAAAUGUCAUAUAUGAACUUGAAGAUUGAGCUGAUAGCUGUACCUCCAGGGUGAAACUUCAUAUAUGGUGAUACAUUGUAAACACGGCCUUUUAAUACAGUCCACAUUUCACCUUCUAAUUUAUGUUUUCUAACUUCAUCCAUAGAAAUAAGUCUCCUGUUUGACUGUCCUUUUAGACCUGGAUCAACAUAAAUAGCAUCACUUAUUAUUAUUCUUAUAAAAUGUAAUGACAAGAACUAUUAAGUUCCCAGAAAUAAGUUACAACCAAAAACUUGACGAAAAAUACUAUUUGCAAAUGGUAUCUUUCAUAACUAAAGCAACUAGGAGUGCAAGUAACCUCUAUAUGCAUAUAAAUGGUCUGAAACUUUUUGGUUACAGAGCAAGACAAAGGAUUUCAAUAUAGUAAAAGAGUUGCUAUAAUUUGAAAUAGAAAUAACUUGCACAUAUGAACAAGAAAAUAAGAUUGUUUUUCUUUUGACCGAAAGCUUUUCGAUUAUUAGGAAGAGUGGAGAGAAAAACACUUCCAAUUUAGUGGCGGUGGCGGAGCUAGAAACCAAAAGUGCAGGGACAUCCAAUAAUUGAAAAUAAUAAAACAAAGGAUGGAAUCAACUAUACACAUGCUACAAGUUAAUCACAAGAAAAGGAAAUAUUAUAUAUUAAACUGAAGAAAAACAAAAUAAGUGGAGCGAACAGGAAGGAAAAAACAGGGAGCAUAAAAUGUAAGAAAUGAAAAUCAUACAAGAAGGGAUAGGGCAUUCAAGGUGGUUGGCUGAAUUCAACCUUGGAACAGGAAAAUUUAAGAGCCCAAGCUCCCCUAGGUCAUAACAAAGACUUGACAUUGAAUUAUCCUAAAUGUCAUAUUUGGAGUAGAGAGUAAUGGUAUCAUUGGCAUUGACUAUGAACUUUAGUAAUGGUAUCAUAAGGAUGGAAAAUUGGGACCGCAAGUGUGUGCAAAAACUUAAAACAGGGAACACAUAUUCAAGUUUCAACUAUUAAAUCAACCAGUAGCACUUAAUUCUUUCAAGUGUUGUUACAUCACAAAGCUCUAAGCAGUGUUGUUUAUGGCGGAAGGCAAAAAAUCCACCAUUUAAACACACCAUUGUGACUUACAGCACUACCACGAUGGACAUCCCUUCACAAUAUGUGCCUAUGGCAGUUGUCAAAAAUCAGCCAUGCCAUUCCGCCAUUGCGGUGUCUUGGCCGACAUAAACAACAUUGGUGUAACUAAGUAAUGAGAUGAAUUUUUUUACAAAUAGGGUCAACAGAAUAACUGUACCUGCAAGGUCAGGAUGAGUUCGUGUAAGCUUGAGCCAGUCCAUUUGACUAUAACCCUUUUCAAAAGGAACUUUGGCCCGAACUGUUGGCUUUUUAACAGAACUCUUCUGUUCUGGCAACUUCUGAGGCANNNNNNNNNNNNNNNNNNNNNNNNNNNNNNNNNNNNNNNNNNNNNNNNNNNNNNNNNNNNNNNNNNNNNNNAUUACACUGAAAGACAAAGAACCAACUGUACCCUCCUUUUUAGAGCUGGAAGAAUCAUUUGGUAAACCAUCCUUCCAUAAGAAACCACCAUUACUAUUUUUACUACUACUGACAUUUGAGGAUUCUUCUUUUAUGGAAAUAUCAGCAAUUUCUGAAACAAGCUCAUUUGUUUCUUCCACAGGUGUACUGACCUAAAAAGUCAUAUUUUAAAUUAGAAGGGUGCAUGGUUUUGGUUUGCAAAGUGUAAGAGUAAACCUCCGAUUUAAUUUGUAAAAGAUUAUUCUCUCUUCUACUUUCUCCUAAUAAAAACGAAAAAUAAUUCUAAAUCAUAUUAAAGCAAGUGUACCGUAAGUAGGUAUUUGUUUUACAGAAAUAUCCAAUUAAAAUGUAUCACUACAUUCCCCAACUUUUAUCUGUGCAAUUUAAAGUUGAUAAUAUGACAUUGAUAGAACAAUAGAAGUAUCAAAGUGAGUGUCAGUUGUAAAACUAAUUUACACCAACAGGAUAUACUCAUUAAACUCUAUCGCCCCGCUUGGAUAAACUAACGUAAUUAGACACUUAUAGAGUUAUAGUGUAAACACUUAUCAUAUGAGUGUUCAUGUAUAAGAUAUUUCUAUAGCAAAAGAUAAAAUAAAGUCAAAUUAUGUUCACAUAAGCCCAUAAGUUGUUUUCACAAGCUUAUGGAAAUAAGUUGAAAACAGCUCAUGCGUCAUGAUGAACAUGUCAUACAUUGUUUUAUUAAAUUCUCCUAUGCAGUCUCACAAGUGUUUAUGCCUCUGGAUAACUCAAAUGUGUAUGUUUGGUUUAGCUUUUGGAAGAGCUAAAAUUGAUUCUAGUAAGGUAGAAUUGAUUGUGACAUGUUUGGUUGCCCAAAUGUAAAAAAUUGAUUUUGGCUCCAGAAUUGAUUAUACUUGAAGUCAUAAAUUGUAGUUUAUGAUUCUAUAAUUGAUUUUUACACUCAAAUUUAUUGUUCAACUCACUUAUACGUUAAUGUAUCCAAAACAUAAAUCACUUAACCUUCAACUCAAUNNNNNNNNNNNNNNNNNNNNNNNNNNNNNNNNNNNNNNNNNNNNNNNNNNNNNNNNNNNNNNNNNNUUGAGCUUAUGAAAAAUAGCUUAUGCAAAUAAAUAAGCUUUUAUGUUAAUUCAUAACUUUUUACUAACGAAAAUUUUAUCUUCAUAAGCUGUUUUUUUCGCAAACUACAUUGACAGAUGACAAGCUUAUGAAUAAUACAUAAAAGCUUAUUUAUUUGCAUAAGUUGUUUUCCAUAAGCUCAAAAUUGUAUCUUCAUAAGCUGUUUUUUAGUAAACAGCAUCGACAAAUGACAAGCUUAUGAAUAAUACAUAAAAGCUUAUUUAUUUGCAUAAGUUGUUUUCCAUAAGCUCAAAAUUGUAUUUUCCUAAACUACAUUGACAAAUGACAAGCUGAUGAAUAAUACAUAUAAGCUUAUUUAUUUGCAUAAGUUGUUUUGUAUAAGCUCAAAAAUAAGUGAAUCCAAAUUCCCCCAAGCCCUAUAUCAAAAGUAUCCAACUAAUGAUGAUGUAACAUAUUGACAAAAUGAAUUUUGGUUAUUACUCCUAUUUUGAUAGUGUGAAUAAGUGAAUGAAAGAAUAUGAAAAUAGAAAAGAAAAUGGUAGUGGUUUUACCUGACAAAAAGUGAAAUCAUUAUCACUGUCCAUUUGAAACCAAACUGAUGAUGAUGAUUGCACGAUUUCCGGAUCGGUAAUUAUGGUGGCAGAAUCGCACGAUCUCCGGUGAUUACUGGCUAGGGUUCCGUUAUUCGCGAAUUGCGAUUCUAUCACUGUCUGCAAUGCUGCGUGCGUGCGUGCGAACCAAUACGGUUUCUUCCGUGCGAAAGGUCUGCGAUUAUGCUUUUCCCACUUUCUUUCUAUUAAUGGUUUCUUUGUUUGUUUGUUUGAAGAGAAAUAAGGAAGAGAGAAAUAGAGAAGAGAUUGUGACUUUCACUUGUUGUUUGGAAUGCAUAGAAAUAGGGAAAAAGAUAUUACAAAAUGAAGGGACCCAUUACUUGGGUUUUUUUUUUUAAUGAAAGUGAAGAAAGGGGGUGAAGUCGCUUUUAAGAGAUGUUAAUUUGUAUAUGUUGAUGAAAAUUCUCGCAGAGAUUAUCUGUUUGAGCCUUUGAGUUUGAAGAUUGUUUCCUUGUGGGGUUGAGAUGGAGAGAAAAGUCCAAGAGGAUACUUCAGGGGUAGGAAUCGGGGCUAAUAUNNNNNNNNNNNNNNNNNNNNNNNNNNNNNNNNNNNNNNNNNNNNNNNNNNNNNNNNNNNNNNNNNNNNNNNNNNNNNNNNNNNNNNNNNNNNNNNNNNNNNNNNNNNAGUAUAACUAUAAGAAUAUUCUUUUUACUUUUUUUUUUUUGACAAAUCUAUAGGAAUAUUCAUGUUAAUUUGUUUUGUGGUAUAAAUUUAAUUGUUUGUAAGUCAAAGCUAUGAAGUUUAUUGGAUUUGCUCGAAAGGGAUGUUUAAGGGUAUGUUUGGAUCACAAAAGAAAGUAAGAGGAAAGAAAGUGAAAGGAAAGAAAGUGAAAAGUGAAAUGGUUUUUUAGUUGUUUGGUAUAAGAGAAAGUGAAAGGAAAGAAAGUUAAAAAGUAAUAUUUAUAUUUGCAAAAUGAAAAAAGUAACCUUAACCUUAACAAUCUUUGAGCGGUAAGAUUUUAUAUGUGGGUCCUAGCUGAAACUUUCUUUCCUUCCUAUUUUAAAGAGUUACCAAACGAUGCAAAGUGGAUCCAUCCACCCACUUUCUUUCCCUUCUCUUAUCUUUCCUCUAAACCAAACACAGUGUAAGAGUUCUAAGUAUCCUAGAGAUUAGAGGUGUUAGAAGUACCGGUUAAAGGUGGAAAGCAAGUCUGUCAUUAGUGUUCUUUAUGGAAAAAUAAAUAAUGAAGUAGAGUUAAAAAAAACUAUUUUUUUAUUUAGUUAAAAAAAUUAUCUUUUACCGUUGAACAGACUAAUCCUCAAAUUUUGUGAGAUCUAAAUGAAUGACAAACUCUCUCUAAAAAUUAGAGAAUUUGUAUAAAAAAUCGGAGUUAAAAUAAUAAUGGCAUAUCAUAUGAUCAAUUAACAAUUAACCGAUUAGAUUUGUUUGACUUUUUUGUUGUCAAAAUUACUUCUAAAAUUACGUAUAUAAUUGAUUGUAAUGUAAAUAUUACAUGUAAACUAAACUAAAACUAAAAAAUUAAAAUAAUUGCAGGUGGUAUACAUACCUUUUUGUAUUAAACAAAUAAUAAAUGUUGACUAUUCUGUUAAUUGUCAGCACCUGUGGCCUAAUGGAUAAGGCGUUUGACUUCUAAUCAAACGAUUGUGGGUUCGAGUCCCACCAGGUGUGUUUUUCUGUUUUUUUAAUAAUUAUUUUUAUUUGACAAAACAUGUACCAUUGUGUAAACAUCUAUUGAAAAAUCAGAUUUGAACGUUAAAUUGGAAUGGUAGUCUUUUUUUUUUACAAGAACAAACUUGUUUCAUUUCUAAUAAAAUAGUUCUCAUAAUACAGGUUGGGAUAAAAUCAAAAAUUGUGGAAUUAGCAUACGACCUUGACGCCCUUGCAAUUGGAAGGGUGUGAGCAACAAGGUUUGCUUGUCUUCGAAUAAAACUAACACUAAAGUUUUGCAAACAAUUUAAUAGAGCCUUACACUUUCUAAUAAUAAUGUCAUAUUUGGCUACAUUUGUAAGAUUUCCAACGACUCCAUCCACCACCGAUUUACAAUCAAGUUCGAUGUUUACGCGUUGAAUACCCAACUCCCUUAACAAAAAUAAAGCCUCUUGAAGUGGAAUAUAUACUUGCCUCUUUCCAUAGCGACUUAGCCUUAACAAAGGAAAUCUAAAGGAAAUCUUUUCUCUAAAAUUUGUUACGUACUCAAACCCAUAAAACUGACUCUGAUGAAUUUAAGUAACAACAUCAGUAAACCAAUAAAAAAAAAAAAGGGGGAUUUGAAUUGUGACUCAUUCAAAAUUGUUUUGAGAGAUACUUGAGGAUGAGAAUCAAAAUAUUAUUCUAAGAUAUGUAUUACAAUGAACUAAGAUUGAAAACUAUAUGUAUGUAUAUGGUAUGCUUCUAAUUUAUCACGGAUCGUUUGACACAAAAGAUUUAUCCUAGUUCAUUCAAUGUGGGCUAGAUGGGUUUCCGCAAUAUGAGAUUCUCCACUUUGGUGUUUGAGAUAUCCUCCCAAAUAAUAGGAGGGGAGAUUGAAAUCCCCCGAUUCUCCAACAGAUCGACGUGGCUAGUAGCCUGGAAUCCCGGGUAGCUAGGACCUAGUCUACCCGUAUCUCCUCUGUUAGCGUGUGUGUUUCGAGAUAGGGCCCUGGAUAUGAACACGAAACUGUACAGGAAUAAGAAUCGCCCCACUUUCCCUCUUUGAAAGAGCAUAGCCCUGAGGCCAUUAUGUCAGGUUUAUAAGUCUCAAUUCUCAUUUUUUGUGUAUUCAAACAACAUAUUUUAAAAAACCAUUUACUUAUAUUGCCAAAUCAAUCUCACAAAGUUUAGAAGUUUCACCCGUGCGCUAUUGUAUGAAUCUUAUCUUAUAGUAUUAUAUUAUGAUUGUAUUGAUGAAAUUAUAAAAGUGUCUUUGAUAUAGAAUCAAGAACAAGACACUUUGAUAAAUAUCAUAUGUAACAAAGUGUCUUUAUUUAUCAAAGUGUCUUUAUUUAUCAUAUGUAAAUGUCAUGUUCUUGAUUCUCUAAGAUAAUCGUGAAAAGCAAAGAACAAAAAUGAAACGUUACUUGUUUGCAUAUUUUUCCACACAACCAACAGAAAGGAUGAAAAGUUUCUUGUUGCAUAUUUUUCUGCUUAUACAAAGCAUUGGCAGCUUCAUGUAAGCAGCUAUAUGCAGAAUCUAUUUCAUAAUUUGCAGAAAAGUCACUACCUUAAUGUAGAUCUUCUAAAAAAUAUCAGUUUUUACAUUGUUUUCGCGCAUUUUGCAAAACAAAUCAUAUGGAACACAGUUUCAACUUGACCGCAAGCAUCUGCAGCCAAGGAACAACAAACAGAUAACACUGAUAUAUUAUAGUUGGCAAAUCAUCAAUACACUUUUGAACAUCCAGAACAGCACAAGUUGAAGAUUGCGAAGGAGUGAGUUGUUAUUGAAAUGUUAGCAUUCCCCAAUAAAUGCCAAAAAUCAGUGUCUUCUUUUCUUUGUAUUUAUUAGUACUAGGAGAAGCUACCGUACCCUCAAUGGUUCAUCCAUUUCAGGUAUUCUUAAUACUGAUAUUUGAUAAAUCAACAUGUCGUAGAAGUGUGGCUACACAUGGCCCCAUUUUUCAAAGUAUACCAAAUAUUUAACUUAGUGUGUGCGUGUGUAGAGUAUGCGUGCGCAAGUGCGUGCGUGUAUGCGUGUGUGCGUGCAUGCGUGUGUAUUAUUUAUAAAAAAAAAGUUAGCACCAACUUCAUACUUUGCACCGUUAUACACCCAAAAUUUGUAAUUCACGGCUUGUGGCCGUCAAUCACUACUCCAAGUGGUUCUUAGCCAGAAGAUUGUGUCCGCGAAUCAGUAGACUUUUCCCAUGUAACUUUAUUUUGUUCAUUUCAUUGGUCAUUUAUCAUUAGUUUUAAAUGUUGACAUUUUGUUUUGUUAUUAGUUUGAUGCAAGAGUUUUCAGUCAACUUCGGACAGAGUGGCCGUCUUUAAAAUACAAUAAAGUUCAAGGUAUACGGAAUAUACUCUUUUGGACGGAGCAAUGGAAAAAGCACGGAACAAUUGCUCCUCAAUACUAAAUGCAGAGGAUUACUUUAAGCUCGCACUCGAUAUUCAUAAGCGUACAAUUCUAAAGGACAUCCUUCAAAAAAAGAGUAUUUUACGUGAUUAUACAAAGAUUCGCACGAGAAGAAAUUUUCUAUGCGAUUAAGGAAGCUAUUGAUGGCAAAAACCCAGAAAUUUUAUGUGUAGAAUAUACAAAUAAUUACUAUGUGAAAGAAAUAAGAAUGUGCUUGGACAAAACCAAAGAUCACAAAUACAUGGAUUGUCCUAGACCUUAUGUUGACUAUCCAACCAAGGUUGUCAGAAUCAGGAUUUUGCUUUAAAUCCAAAGAGGAUAGUAAGAUCAAAAAAUCAUAAAUCACAAUCAAAAUCGAAGGAUUCUACUCAAUUAAUUUUGUUGAAUCGAAAGGGGAAAUCAAGAUCGCAUAACCGAAAACCGCAAACCAAAAUCAAUGGAUUCUACUCAUAAUAGUAAAUGUAUAUAAAAUUAAAUUUAAGACUAUGUUUUCCUUCUUCUUCAUUGUGUUCUUCCUAAACAUGAUCAUGUAUCAUGUGUCAUGUCAUAUAAAUAAUAAUGUGUCAAAUCAUCAAAAUUAAAGGUUAAAUUAAGAGUGGGCCAACAAAUGUCUAAUUUUUUCAAAAUACAGGAAUAAAAUUGCACAAAAUAAAAUAGGGGGCCAAAAUUUUGCAUUUUGUAAAAUAGGGGAAAAUUGUUCAAAACAAAAAAUAGAAGGAUCGAAAUUUUCGGGGUUCAGUUCUGGCAUCAAAUGGUUACAGUCCCCUACCGAUCGCAGUUCUGGGGGAUCAAACCGUGGUCCUCCCUACCGAGUUCAGCGCCAAUCAUAUUAUAUUUAGAGAUAUAUGGAUACUAAGUUAGUAAAACUUUGAUGUUGAUAUAUUGACUUGGAAUCAAUCUUUACACCAUAUAUGGUUUCAACAAAUUAUCUUUAAUUUACUUUUGUUUGUAUAUUCAUAAAAAUUCAAACCCAAUUCUGAGGAUUGUUCUGUUUUUAAAUAACUUGCACUGCAAGUAAAGGUGCACAACUUCUGUAUGUGUUGCCAAAUUCAGAUAUUGAAACGAUUUUUACGAACCAUGUUUUUUGGGUUUCAGAGUCACAGUGUGGUAUUGGCAAAUUCACAUGUGGUGAACAAGAUUUAAGAGUAUUGUGAAUUCGUCUAAAAUCACACCAAUGAAACUUGAUGUUUGAAGCAAAAUGGAUUAAGAAACCAAUAAAGCAGUACGGCAAUUAAUCACAAGAAAAGAUAAACAACGAGAACAAGAGAAAGAACACAAGAAAAUUGUUUACCCAGUUUGGUCCUAAAUUGACCUACUCUAGAGGAGAGAGUAUCUCUCCGUUCUACUAUCGAAUAAAGUACUUUAUUACAAGAAAUUCCAAAGAGGUAGAAGAAUCAGUUUUAAUCCUAAUUAUACAUUUUCCCGAAUCUCUUCCCGUGGUCAAGAGACUCAAUUUAAUAGUUUUUCUAUGCAUAAUACAAUCCGUAUAUAUAGAAAAAUAAAACCCUUAAAAUCUAUGCAUAAUAGUCAUCACAAGUCUAAUGUUUUGAUGGUAACAAACGUAUUGAAAAAGAAUAUGCUUAUAGUCAUUACAAGUCAAUGAAUGCAGAGGAUUACUUAAGCCUGCACUCAAAAUUUGGAUUUCACAACUAAGCUUGCUGGUAUUGUAUUUCCAAAAGAAAGAUAUUAGUAUAUAUAUAUAUAUAUAUCUGCAUACUAAAUUACUAAAAUUAUGUAUAGCUGCUGCUGCCAUGCAUGUUUUGUAAUAAACUAACAAGUCUAAUCUUAAAGAUUCUAAACAGAAUAUAACUUAAAAAAAAAAUGAUCAAACCACUUAACUAUAGGUAUGAAUAAACUAGCAGACAAUAAACCAUCAUAGGUAAAACUAAGCUAAUAAUUUACUCCUCCCAUUGGAAGAACACUACUUUUAUACAUUAAUAUUUGACAAUAAUAAUCCUCUCCUUUAAUGCACAGAUCCUCCAUUAAUUGGGUACGUAGAUUAUACCAAACAAUGUUUCCGUCUUUUUUCCUGAAAAACAUAUCGCCAUUAUUCCCUGCUCCAAUAAUUUCUUUAAUAUUGCAACAAAAUGGUCCAAUACUAUAGAGUUUAAUCCAUGAUUCUUUUGCACCGACUUCGCCUAAAAUUGAUAUGUCAAAAAUAGUUGUAUCUGAAAUCCAUGAGAUAAAAGCAAUGGUUCCAUUUAACCCGGUGAUGAUCUUCCUUGAAUUUAUGUUUAAGAGUAUGGGUGUUGUAAUUAACACUUCAUUGACAAAGACAAAUGAUGCCAAGUCUAAUCCUUCAUCUUCAGUCGGACUUAAAUUCCACCAAUGACACAUUUCAUUGAUGUGCACACGUUUUCCAUGAAAACCUAAGAUAAACCAAUGCAAAUAAGGGUCAAUGGAAUCAAGUUUUUUCCAAGUGUUACUUUUAACGCUAUAUAUCUCCCAUAAGUUGUCGUAUGAUAAAUCACUUAUUAUAUAUGGAAUACCAAUUUCUUGACAUUCUUGCGAACUUAGUGUAUCAUAACUUACAUACCUAAUCAACUUAUAAUCAUCUCUAACUUUGUCAUAACCAUAUCCAGCAGGAUAAACCUUAGUUCUUAGAUAAGGUGUUUCCAAAUGAUGAGGGCUUGGAGGAAUGAUUUUGAAUUCCUCGGUUGUUGGGUUCCAAAAUACAGUUCUUCCAUCAUCUAAUUUGUAGAGACUAAGAACUCCAGUGAUACUACCAGAAUCCAUAACAUAAAAAUAAGGGUCCUCCUCUUGAAAUGGGUUUGGCCAAUUUAAUUUGACAAUAUUCUCAAAAUUAUCACCAGAAAGAGAAUAAAAAUCUCUAUCGGUACACUGUAACAUAAGAAAUGUAUCAUCAUAGUUAGAAUGAUGAUAACAUAUGAAAUUGUUGCGAAAUAUGUUCAUGAAAUGAUUAUCAUCAAAUAAAAGAUUCCAUGAUCUACAUACGCAUCCAAAUCUCUUCAAGGAUUUUAGAGGCAAUUUUGAUAAAAUGCAUAACGCAAGAUCAUCAGAUAUGUAGUUUCUAACCUUUUCACAUGAUGUGCUCCAACCUUUCUCCAUCUCUGAUUCAAAAUGUAGAUCUCCGAGCAAGAGAGGUUUAGUUUUCAAAGCAAGUGGUACUGGAGUUGGCAAAUAUAUAGCAUACUCACAAUCAAAUAUUUUUUAUCCAAAUAAACAACUAAAACGAUACUUAACCUAGAAAAAAAUACCAAAAUUGCUCAUUUUUCAAAAUAGGGGUAUCAAAAUUGAGCAAAACAAAAUAGGAAUGACAAAAAUUGCUUAUUUUGUAAAGUAAUAUAACCAAAACUGCAUUUAAGAUUAAAGAUUAUAACGAACAUUUUAUUUAAAAGAACAUUUUAUUUAAAUAUUCUUUUAUUCUAAUAAAUUGGAGACUUAAUUGAGAAGUAACUUCAAAUAAUGUCAUUCCCCGAUAUCUUUGUUUUUUCUUUUUAUAAACACAUUUCGAUAUAUUAGUUUUCUUAAAGGCAAAUGCUAACAUGUGCCCCAAGAGCAUAUUUUAAGGUACAUUUAAUUAACUAAUAUCCCAUUUAAUUUACUUCAAAAAUAGUAAUAAUUAACUUUAUUAAUUAAAAGACAUAGUCCACUAUAUUUAUUAUCUAUUUAAGAGAAUUGGAAAGACAAAAUAUGAUAUCUGUCAAAUUUGAUUUAUGAUCAGGAGAUUGGUAAUACGACCAUAAUUAUAUGCAUCCAAUUUUUUUUGGUUUGUUAACAAUCAGACUUACAGUACUCCUGGUAAUACUUGAUUUAUGCCAACUUGUGAUUUUUAUUUUUUUUCGGUGAACAAGACUGAUUAUUAUAGUAUUAUGUUGUAAUGGUAACGAUUGUUAGUACUAUUUUAACUUUUGAAUUGCUAAUAUGUUUUAGAAUUUUAUAAUACUUACUAUAAUUUAAUUUUUUUUUUCAUCUUAAAAAAAAGUUUGAAAGAAAAAAGCUUUGUAGCAAAAAAAAUUGACCAAUCGCGUGAUCAUAGAUCAAGUAUUUGGCAAAUAUCAUAUUUUGCCUUUGCAAUUUUUUAAAAUUGGUAAUAAAUAUAGUGAACCAUAUCUUUUAAUUAAUAAAGUUGAUUAUUGUUAUUUUUAAAGUAAAUUAAAUGAGAUAUUGGUUAAUUAAAUGCACCUUAAAAUGUGCCCUUAGGGCACAUGUUUUUUUUUUUUUAUAAGCCCUUAGGCUUAUGCUAAUAUAUUUACANNNNNNNNNNNNNNNNNNAAAAAAAAAAAAAAAAAAAUAUGAAACGUAACUAUACAAAUGAAAAAUAGUUAAAGACAAUUAAUUACAAUGAUUUCUAUUGAAUGAAAAUAUAUCCUAUUAAUAACAAAUUAUUCCAUUUUAUUUGCUUGUUGACUCAUGUACAGCUGCUUGUGAUAACAAUAUAUGCUGAAAUCAAGAAUCAAGUUAUUUGAUGUUACUUAUCUAUUAAGUUUGCACUUUAUAAUCUUUUUUUUGUGUGAAAAAGAAAUGAUUGUUUUUUGCACUUUAUAAUCUAUUUAUUUGGAUAAAGAAUAUCUUAUAUGGUGAGCACCAAUUAACUUGCUCAGAUCACAAAACCUCUCUUGCUCGGAGAUUUACAUUUUGAAUCAGAGAUGGAGAAAGGUUGGAGCACAACAUGUGAAAAGGUUAGAAACUACAUACCUGAUGAUCUUGCAUUAUCCAUUUUAUCAAAAUUGCCUCUAAAAUCUUUGAAGCGAUUUGGAUGUGUACGUAAAUCAUGGAAUCUUUUGUUUGAGAAUAAUCAUUUCAUGAACAUCUUUCGCAACAAUUUCAUAUCUUAUCAUCAUUCUUGCUACGAUGAUACAUUUCUUAUGCUACAGUCUACCGAUAGAGAUUUUUAUUCCCUUUCUGGCGAUGAUUUUGAGAAUAUUGUCAAAUUAAAUUGGCCAAACCCAUUUCAUGAGGAGGACCCUUAUUUUUAUGUUUUGGAUUGUGGUAGUAUCACUGGAAUUCUUUGUCUCUACAAAUUAUAUUGCGGAAGAACUGUAUUCUGGAACCCGACAACCAAGGAAUUCAAGAUCAUUCCUCCAAGCCCUUUUCAUCUGGCAUCACCUUAUAUAAAUAUUUAUGAUAUUAAUGUUUAUCUUGUUGGAUUUGGUUAUGACAAAGUUAGAGAUGAUUAUAAGUUGAUUAGGUAUGUAAGUUAUCUUCCACAUAUACGUGAUUUAUCAUACGACGACUUAUGGGAGAUAUAUAGCCUUAAAAGUAACACAUGGAAAAAACUUGAUUCCAUUGACCCUCAUUUGCAUCAGUUUAUCUUGGGUUUUAAUGGAAAUGGAAAACGUGUUUACAUCAAUGGAAUGUGUCAUUGGUGGAAUUUAAGUCCGUCUGAUGAUGGAGGAGUAGACUUGGUAUCAUUUGACUUUGACAAUGAAGUGUUAAUUACAACACCCAUACCCUUAAAAUUAAAUUCAAGGAAUAUAUACAUCACCGGGUUAAAUGGAUCCAUUGCUUCUAUCUCAUGUAUUUGGGAUACAACUAUUUUUGACAUAUCAAUUUUGGGCGAAGUCGGUGCAAAAGAGUCAUGGAUUAAACUCUAUAGUAUUGGACCAUUUUGUUGCAAUAUUAAAGAAACUAUUGGAGUAGGGAAUAAUGGCGAUAUAUUUUUCAGGAAAAAAGACGGAAACAUUGUUUGGUAUAAUCUACGUACCCAAAAGAUGGAGGAGCUGUGCAUUGAAGGAGAGGAUUAUAGUCAUAUAUUAAUUUAUAAAAAUAGUGUUCUUCCAAUGGGAGGAGUAAAUUAUUAGCUUAGUUUUUACCUAUGAUUGUAUGAAGUGUGCUUGUUUAUUCAUACCUAUAGUUAAGUGGUUUGAUCAUAAAUUCAAGUUAUAUUCUGUUUAGAAAUCUCUAUAAGAUUAGACUUGUUAGCUUAUUACACAUAAUUUCUUUGAUGAACAUAAAAAUUUCAGUAAUUUAGUAUCUAUAAAUCUCUAAGUGUAAUAUCAUUGUUUUGAAAUACAAUACCAGCAAGCUUAAUUAGUGGUGAAAUCCAAAUUUUGAGUGCAGGCCGGCUUAAGUAAUCGUCUGCAUUCACUGAGGAGCAAGUUCCACGGUUGCUUCCUCGACAAGUUAAAAUCCUCGUCAUUUUAAANNNNNNNNNNNNNGCCACUCUAUUUGAAGUAUAUGCAGGGAUGAACUCAUAUGAUGAUGCCAUGCCACGCCAUUAUAUACAUGAGAAACUCUAAUGAGCUUGCUUUUAUGUCACUCCCCUCUGAUUCAGAUGUUGUGCGUUAGGACCUAAGUUUUGACCUAAAUUUUGUUUCUUAUUUCAAUUCACAUCUUUACUUUGUCUUUUAUUUUAAUUUUUUUCUUAACAAAACCAAAUCAAUUCACUCAUCAUCAAAUUACUACUUUUCGGUAAUCAAACUUAAUACAUAUAGAAUCAUAUAUCUCACAUCUUCACUCGUCUUUGUGGAUCAAUACUCUCUUUAUUAUAACGAUAUUCUCCUGCAAUUGCAAGGCUAUCAUUUGUACACAUCACCUCUUUUACAACCCAACACAAAAAAUUGUUUUCUAUCUGAAUCGCUAUCGGAUUUUUCUAUUUCAACAAUAAAUUUUAACUUUUCAACUUCACAACGGACUCAACUAAUCAAUUCAUCUCGAUCCUUAUAUUUUUUAGGGGAAUGCUUCAUUUUACGAAUCACCACUUAAUGAAAUGCAAGAAUGAAUCACUACCAUUGAAUUUAUCUCCAGCCAGUCCAUGAUUUCUGCCACAUCCCACCGUCAUAUGUUUUUAUUUUUGUUUUUUCGUUUCUCAAGUGUAAUUCUUGUGUUUCUUGUAUCUAUUCAUAGUAAAAAAUAGCAUAUAUGUGUCAAAGUGACUACUUGUAUCAACAACAGGUCAACAACUAAGACCUCCGAUUCAGCAUUUAUCGGUUUCAAAUCAUUGGAAGGUGUACCAAUUUUGGAUUUAACAAUAUCCUAUUGCAAUUCAUAGGAGGGUUUGGAUUCAUCACCCAUAACUACACAUAAAUGAACAAUACCUUAUAAAUAAUAUGCAAUAAAUACAAAACCUGCAGAAAAUUGCGGGUCUGAAUGACAAAAAUAAAAAUUUAAGGAAAAACCAAGUUGAACUUGCAUGAAAUCUCUUCCAUAUGACAAACUUUAUCUCUUUAUUACUCCAAAUGACAUCCAGAAAGCAUCAAGCUUGUUACCAACCAGGUAGGCUCAUUUCCCACAUCAGUGCUAUGUCAAGGAUUGUGAAGCACUACCCUUGCCAUUCCAAGUACUACCAAAACAGAAUAGACAUGCAUCGUCCAUGAUCCUGAAAUACAAUAAAAAUAGGAGCAUCAGUGAUUUAAAGCAUCCUUCCUCCCAUGGAGUUGGGAAUUCAUGGCUGCAUUCAAGAUAUCAAUGCCGGCUUACCAGUUCACAGGAAAACAACUAAUUCUACAGAUACUCAAAUAAUCAAUGCCCUUAUGUCAGAGACUUAUCCCCUGAUUAUAGCUGCAGCAGCUGCGUCCGAUAUCUCACGUUCCAAAGUGACACUGUCGUAAGUUUUACGAAGCUCCAAUUAUUUGCCAUGGUUGAACCGACAAUGAUACUGAAGACCAAAAAACCAGGUACAAAUUAAACAUAAAUUUCAACAACAUACAUAAAUACUAGAAAAUAGAAAAAUACACAAAAUUAAAGGGACUUUCAUACUUAAUCAUUAUACUAAUAUUGUCAUUGACCAUCAAAAUAGGUUUUAAAUAAAGACUAAAUAGGUUUUAAAUAAAGAAGAAUCAACGUACGUGAUAUGAGAACUUAGGCACCAAAAGCGGUGCAGAAAAGCCCAAAAUACCCCCAAGUUUAUGAUUUAUUUCAAAAAAUUGGGAUUUUCAUCAAUUUUUCCCCCCCAAAAGGCAAAAGUGGCCAAAUAGCGCUAUGGAUCCGCUAAGAAAACGCUAUUCACCUGCAUAUAGCGGCCGCAAUUUCCGCUUCUCUAAAUAGCGGAAAGCGGGCCUAUAGCAUAGCGGGGAGGGGGUCUGCCGCUACGCUAUCCCACUAUAGCGCGCUAUAGCGCCGCUAUUAACAUCAUAGUCUAAAACAGAAGACUUUGGUUCAUGGUUAGAGAACUGUGCUUGAAUUCUUGGUUCGGUUCUCGAACUUAUAUAUUGGUGCAGUUAGUUUAGGUUCUGUGCAGUUUGGCAGAUUCAGUUUGGUUCGUAGUUAAUUUUUUUUUAACAGACUUAUCUGUAGACCUUUCCCAUAACCAAAGCCUUACAAGAAAGGAGGAUUAUUUCAUAGAUCUAAUCAUAUUCCUGAACUUUAUUUCGGAAAAAAGAGAAAUUGAAGAAAAUUGUGGAAAUAUGAAGAAAAUUGUGGAAAUAUGCUAAUGUAGGUUACCAUUUAAUUUCACAAAGAAAAAGUUUCUCCCAAUAUACAGUAAAUUUUUAUAACAAAGUUUAAGAUUCAAUAAUUCCAUCAGACAACCAGCUCUCUUGUGAAUCACCGACCUUUUAAGCCCGCCAAUUCCCAUCCUACCUUUUUUCAAAUAUUUUUGUCAAUGUAAAUCCUCGUAAUAAUCUUACUACAUUUUAGCAGUACUAAUGAAUAUUUUAUACUAGGAAAUUCCGGUGAGCAAAUAUUCCAUAUUUCAGUUACUUCUAUUUCUUUCAGGAAUAAUUCAAAAUACUCUAAAACUAAUAUGCUUCCAAGUGAACAAGAAAGUCAACUAAAACAGCACAAUAAAAAACGAGGAAUAUAGAACAAAUUUGACAUAAGAACAAAAUUCAAAUUUAGUCGACAAACAAACUCUAAAAAUAAUAAAAUAAGAUACAGCAUGCUAACCUGCAUAUCUCAACAACAGCAGAAUAUUGAGGAAUUUGGCAAUUCUAAUUCCCUUGCUCAAGCGAAAACGUGGAAGCAAUGUCUAACAACCACUGAUUUCAGUAGCACUUCAAUAAAGAGAAUGCCGCGUAUCUGAAUUUGUACUUUGAUGAUAAGAUUUUUUAAGCAAAGUGCUCUGAUUCUUAAAAAGAGUUUCUUUAACGCGUGAAGCCUCAUUAGGCAUCCCAGACUUCAAAAGACAUGAACUUAAAGUUCUAAUAGUAAUGUCGUCUGGGCAACAACCAGUAGCCAACAUUUUAUAAAAGAUACGAAUUGCUUCGGGCGCUCUUCCUUUCAUACAAUGACCAAUAAUAAGGAUAGUAAAUGUCAGUUUAUCCGGUUUGCAUUUCUCCUCCAUAUCUAGCACAAUUGCAUUAGCCUCAUCAACGUUCCCGGAUUUGCAAUAUCCAUCAAUGACAGGAUUGUAGACAAAGGGCUGCGGAACAAUGUCACUCUGAUUCAAUAGUCUCAGAAGCUCGUGAGCUUCUUGUAGUCUAUUACUCUUACAAAGAGCAUUGAUAAGAAUAGAAAAAGUAUACAAACUUGCAGAAACAUUUCUUGUAUUCAUUUCAUACCAAAGGUCCAAACCAUAGUCCACCUGUCCGGCUCUGCAAUAUCCAUUUAUCAACGAAGUGAACGUAAAGACAUCAGGACAACAACCAUGCAAGAGCAUCUUCUUAUGCAUACCUAAUGCAGAAGCCACAUCACCAGCCUUAACAAAUCCGUCAAUAAGUGCAUUAAAAGUAGCCGAACUAGGCCUAAUUCCGAACCUAACCAUUUCAUCAAAAAGAAACAAAGCCUCGUUCAUCUUCCCCACUUUGCAAUAACCCGAUAUCACUGUCGUAUAACUCACAUCAUUAAGUUUAGGACCAAACUCACUUCCUAAACCAACCUCUUUAAGUAACUCUCGUCCUCUAUCAACCUCAUUAAUUCUACAUAAGCCAUGUAUAAGAGUAUUAUAAGUAACAACAUCAGGGUAACAACCAAAACUUCUCAUAUCAUUCAAAAACCUAAACGCUUCAUCGAUUUCCCCAGCAACACAAAAACCUUGAAUCAAUAUAUUGAACGUAAACCUAUCAACAUUCAAAUUCAAUCUCACAAUCUCCUUAAACAAACAAACAGCAUCAUCUAACCUAUUACAUUUAACCAAAAUGUUGAAAAAUUUAUUAUAAACAACAACAUUAACAUCAACAUUAUUACACAAAGCAUCAUAAAUAAACUCUUUAGAAACAUCAAACCUAUCAGCAAAUGCAAAACAACAAACUAAAACCCCUAACAAUCUACUAUCAGGCAAUAACCCAUCAGACUUCAUACAAUCAUAAACAAAUUUCGCCGAAUGGUGUCGUCGGUCUUUACAAAGAGACCUUAAAAGAAUAUUGUAAGUCCAAAAGGAAUAUGAAAAAUUGAAUUUUUGUUUAGUAAAUUGAAAAAAAUUGAAACCUAAUUGGGGAUUGUUGAGUUUUUGAAUAACUUGUAAUGCAAGUAAAGGAGUUAAGUGAUGAGUAAUGUAAUUAGAGAAUUUAUCGUUGAAUGGAUUUGUGAAUCGAAGAAAGAGAGUUGAAACGAUUUUGACGAACCAUGGUUCGGGAUUGUUGGGUUUGAGAGUGUGGUAAUGGGAAAUUCGGAGAGUGGUGAAGAAGGGAGAGAAAUUCAUGUGAGAAUUUUGGGAGGAAAACGGUGUCGUUUCAUCUGGAGAAUUGCAGGAAGGAGGGUUUUGGGAGGAGAAGGAAGGAGUGAGUAGCGAGUAAUUGGGAUUUUCUUUUUGGAGAAGAAAUGGUUUUAUACGUUAGAUGAAGGACAUGUGGCAUUUUGAAAUAAUCAACGACUCAGAUUUGAUAAUCACUUAAAAGAUAUUUUAAGAGUUUCUGGGUUUUGUGUUACAGUAUUACUCCAUCCGUCCCAAAAUAUAAAACUUUGUUGAUUUUUGCACGUACAUCAAUACAUAAGUUUGAUUACGAAUAUUUUUAAUUGUGUAUUAGUAAAAAUUAUAAAAAUUUAAUAUUUUGAAAAUAUUCAUCGAAAUAAAUCAAACAAUAUUUUAUAUGAUAAUAUUUACAUUUAUAUACUUUUAGAAAAAUCAUGUCAAAACAAGACAUGAAUAUUACAUUUAGUCAAAGUAUGUCUUAUAAAAUGGGACGGAGGGAGUAUAUUAUAAAUUCAAUUUUAACAAUUUAUUUUUACUCAAUUUAAAUUUUUACAAUCCUAAUUUAAAAUUUAAAAUUUGGAAUUUCAGCCUUCCUAUAUUAUGAAUAAAUUUGGAUUUUAAUUCCUCUAUUUUAAAAUUCAGAAUUUUAUGUACCAAAAAAAAAAUUCAGAAUUUUAACUCCCUAUUUUGACUGGAUUUGGAUUUUAACUCCCUAAUUAUUUUAAAAAUGAGUUUAAAGUACAUGUAAUGUCAGUGUAAAGUGUAAACUAAUUUUACACUGACAACCAAUAAAAAUCAUUCAACGUUUCAUUCAUAUUAAGAAAAUGAGUUUAAGUGGGGUACAUAUUCUUUUUUCUCUUUGAAAAUAUGCCAUAAUAUAAAAAAUACCAUUAAAUAAAAUAUAAAAAUAAGUAAAUCCCAAUAAAAUAAAUUUUUCAAGACUUUAACUAUAUUAUCCACCUAAUUACUUAUCAUUAUUUAUAUUUUACAAUGGAAAUAUUUCAAAUGAGAAUAAAUACCAAAAACUUUCCUAAUUUGAAAAAUAGGGAAAUUAUAUAACGAUUUUAGAUUUUUAUAAAAUUUAACAUAGAUGAUCUAGACGAUAUAAGCUUUCAAUCCAACGGUGAAUUUUGUAAAAUUUGUAUUCGUUAAAGCGUUAUUGAGCGGUGUAACAUUACUCAAAUGUUACACCGGUGUAAUUUGAUCCCUCCCUAUAUAUAUAUAUAUAUAGGAAAACAAAAAUACAAUUAUUUUUGUCAUCUAUUUUACCAUUUUAUUGAAGGAAAAAAUAUUUUAAUCAAAUUAUUUUAAUUUAAAAACAUAUAUUGUUUAUUUGAAUUUAAAAACAUAUAUUUUAAUCAAAUUAUUUUAUUUAAAAACACAAUUACACCCCGUACCGGUACACUAGUCUCCCUCCAUGCAUCAGACACUCUAAUAUCUUUCAUUUUAAUGCCUUCUAAGUUGCUUUCUAAGACCUUAUGAAUAUGCUUUAGUUUUGAAUUUUUUAAGGAUUUGAGCUUUGAACUAUAUGUUACAUGAAUGUUUGCAGGCUGUUCGAAAGAUUUUCUAUUUAUUUAUUGAAUAUAGAAAGUAACAUAAUGUAUACUUCCAAACAGAUAAACUCACAAGGAAAAGCUAAACUACAUGUAAUUUAAUAAGGUUACUUAAUAUUUAAGCUUCUAUAUAGUUCUGUGUAUGUUUGGUAUCACGAUAGUAAAUAUAUGCUAGAAUCACGAUGAUACAAAAACUACAAAAUGUAGCUUUUAGAAAAUCAUGAUGGGGUCACCGUGAUUCUGACAUAUUCACCGUGUUAGGAGGAAAAAAUAAAAUCAAGUUUCCUUUGUUAGGAGGGGAUCAGAAACAGUCAAAUGUUGGUUUCUUCAUCUUUUAUUUUUUUAUUUUGAAGAAGCUAAAUUAACCCACCUAAAUUGGCGCCAGAGAGAAUCGAACUUCAGACCUCAAGAGGAGCACACUCCCAGGUCUCAAGUCAAUACCAAUGCACCAACCCAAGUGGGUUUUUCUUCAUCUUUUAUUAAUAUUAUAAUUUACUUGGAAACAAAUAAAAUAAUAAAAAAUAGGCAUAAAAGACAAUGUUUUGAUUGUGACCAAGGUUUUCACCAUUGACAUAUAAUUAUCAGUUCACAGCCAGAAAAUGAGAGAAACUUCAAAGGAAAACAUGUCUCAAGUUGGGUUGUUAAUAUUACUAGUUUAUAGCUUGUUAUUUGCAAUAAUAUCUGUAAAGGGCAAUAAUGUUUUAGCUAUUGAAUGCUUAGCUUCUGAUCAUGAAGCUCUACUAGACUUUAAAAUUGGCCUUAAGGAUUCUCGCAACCGUCUCUCGUCAUGGAGAAGCAGCGACUGUUGUCAAUGGCACGGAAUAUAUUGCGAUAACAUUACAGGUGCGGUUGUUGCAAUCGAUCUCCGUAACCCGCAUCCAGUGUCAUUUGAUGAUCCUCCUAGAAAGUAUGAAAUGUGGAACCUAAGUGGUGAGCUAAGACCAUCUUUGCUGAAACUCAAGUCACUAAGACAUUUAGACUUGAGCUUCAACACAUUCAAGAGAAUACCAAUUCCUAAGUUUUUAGGAUCAUUGGUGAAUUUGCAAUAUCUGAACCUGUCGAAUGCUGGCUUUGCUGGUUUAAUUCCACCCCAUUUGGGAAAUCUUUCUCACCUGCAAUAUCUUGAUCUCAAUUCCUUUAGCUUGCAUGUUGAAAAUCUACAAUGGUUGACUGACCUUGUCUCUUUGAAACAUCUUGCCAUGGAUGGAGUUGACCUUUCAUCGGUAGCGAGAACAGAUUGGGUUAGUACAAUAAACCAGCUACCUUCUUUAAUGAAUUUGCAUCUAUCUUUCUGCCAACUUUUUGGUCAUAUUUCAACUCCUUCAUCUCUCAAUUUUACUUCACUUGCUGUUUUAGAUCUUAGUUCAAAUAAAUUUGUUUCAAAGAUACCUGAUUGGCUUGUUAAUAUUAGUACCAUACAACAUAUUGACAUAAGCACUAAUGCUUUGUAUGGGAAAAUACCACUUGGUUUAAGAAACUUGCCAAAGCUAAAUUAUUUGAAUUUAGCAGAGAACGACAAUCUCACAGCAAGGUGUUCUCAACUCUUCAUGAAAGGGUGGGGAAAGAUACAAAAGCUUGAUUUGUCGAUUAAUAAAUUACAUGGGAGACUUCCUUCAUCCAUUGGAAACUUGACUUCACUCACUUACCUUGACCUCAGUCAUAAUGCAAUUGAAGGCGGUAUUCCUAGUUCCAUUGGUAAACUCUGCAGGUUGAAAUUUUUUGAUUUAUCAGAAAAUAAUAUGACAGGAACUCUACCUGAGUUUCGUCGAGGAAUAGAUGAAUGUCCUUCUAGAAAACCUCUUCCUAAAUUGGCGUAUUUUAUCAUGAACAACAACCAGCUUCAUGGUAAAAUCCCAGAUUGGUUAGUUCAGCUAGAUAAUCUAGUUGCUAUCAGUCUUGCAAAUAAUUUGCUUGAAGGUCCUAUUCCUAUAUCCAUAGGGUUGCUGCAAAAUCUCGCAUUCUUGAUACUUAGAGGGAAUAAAUUGAAUGGUACUCUACCGGAUAGUUUAGGAAAACUUUCUAAGUUGUCAAACUUAGAUGUUUCUUUUAAUCAGUUGACAGGCAUGGUAACUGAAUACCAUUUUUUAAUGCUGAUAAAAUUGGAGAUGGUAGCGUUGUCUUCCAAUUCUUUAACUCUGAAUGUCAGUGACAAUUGGAUACCACCAUUCCAAAUAUCGUUUCUUCUUAUGGGUUCAUGUGUUUUGGGGCCUACUUUUCCACCU
This 94325-nucleotide long non-coding RNA is filed under the name Trifolium pratense (red clover). RNAcentral's name for it is "long non-coding RNA (TPRA_LNC002313)". The stretch from base 77627 to 77699 matches the Rfam family "tRNA". The record is from RNAcentral. Lineage: Eukaryota; Viridiplantae; Streptophyta; Magnoliopsida; Fabales; Fabaceae.